UUGAGAUUAGGCAGACCGAACAAAACCAAAAUUCAAUGAAAAAAGAAAUACAGAAUUAGACAAAGAGCCCCAACAUGUCGUUUUCUUUUUCUUCUAGUAGAAGCACGAUAGAAAGAGUGGCAACUUUAUCCAUUUGAAAUAAUAACCAGCCAUGGCAUCGCCCUCUUGAUGCCAUUUUUGAGAAGAAUACAAUAAAUAUUUUCCUUAGCAGUAGGCCUUUUGAAGAAAAUCAACAAAUCAUCAAGAAAACUUCUUUUGAAGAAUUGUUUUCCUGGUUUCAACAUCAUCUGAACAACUUCACUUUAUCUAAUAAUUCACACGUUGGAUAAAAUCACAGUUUCUCCACAAAGAGACAAACAAUAUUGUUGAAUUCCUUAACUCUUGAAACAUAAAAUCACAGUUUCUCCACAAAGAGACAAACAAUAUUGUUGAAUUCCUUAACUCCACUUGCCAACUCAUAGUCUUACACAUCAUUGUUUUGUAAGAACUACGAAACAAGAACUGGCAGAGAAAAUUUUAAAACCUUUCAAAAAGGAACAAACAGAUCGAAUCGGUUAUCAUCAUCGUCAUCAAUCAUUCCACGUGGCUGGUUCAUACACAUGGGGCUUGUCAAUUAUUGCCAUGACCCUCAAAAAAUGAAUGAAAGUACUUCAAAAUUUUCAUUGACAGUGGAGAGCCCACCUGAAAGUGCGAAAUUAGUAGACUAUAGUUGCAAAUUUUAGUACAUCAGCAUCAGCUCAUCUGAUCUGAAAGUUGUAAAACAAACACUAAUUCCUAACUCAGAAGAUCUCUAAGAUAUCUGAUGAUAAUGAUGAUGAUGAUUAGAUGGAAGGGAAAUGAUAUUUGGUGGUAUGGUGCUUACAUCACAGGGAAAUUUGAUCCUUCUUUUUGGCUUUGGGUGAGAGAAUCUGAUAGGUAAUAUGGACCUCCUCUCAACUGGCCAGAAACUGCUAUGAUCACUUGGAAAAAUUUUCUUUGCAAAGUAGAUAUGAAUGGUCCCAUAUGCAGGCUGUUGCUACGCCCUCACAGCUAUGGGAUGUGCGUUGCCCUGCAUUUCCUCUUUCAUGAUAUGAAAGCUUUCAGUUUUCUGGAGCCAUUUGGGAAUUGGAUGCCAUCAAAUUAGAGAAGAAAAACAAUGUUUUAAUUUUACAAAUUUCAAUAUUUGCGAGAAAUUAAGUUUGCGUAAUAUGAGUAUUAAUCCAAGUUAACAACAUUUUACAGCUAUAUGUAUCGGAAAUUUUUUAAAAAUAUAUUUUGAAUUGAUAGAUUAAAUGCUUUUCAUAGAAAAGAAAUGAGUGAAUGAUCAUUUCUAUUAAAAGAAAAAGAGUAGAGAAAAAUAUUGGAGAUUUAAUUAUAAAGUGAGUAGUUACUAGAAUUUAAUUAUAAAGAGAAAGUCAUGAUUUGAUCACUAAUACACAAAUUUUAAUUGGGAUAUACUAAUAAUCUUUUAGCUGUCAAUUUUUUAAUUAAUCAAAAUAAUUGUCUGUUGUGGUUUUUUUUUUUUUUUUUAAAAAAGAAAAAGGUAAAAUUGAAGCUUAUUAUGGGAAGCCGAAGAGAUACCUAAAAUAUAAUGGUGGAUUCCUGUGGGCUUUGACCAGUUCUUGCAGUAGUAAUCAUUUUUUACACUUCUUUGCAACUUUCAAGCGACAUUUGAAAAUUUUUCAAUUUUCCUUUAUUAUUGUGAAAUGAUUUUUUUCUUGAAAACUUUGUUUCAUUUUAUAAACGUAGAUAUUUCUGUUUUUCUUUUUCUUUAAUUCAUCAUAUUAUUUUCAUGCUGUUUGCUGCUUAAGAGUAAUGUUUUGAGGUGUAGACAUUAACUAGCAGCUAUAAAACAAAACAACUACAAAGGAAUAUAACUUUCUGUUUGUUCAUUUAAACAAAGGGCCACAUCCUGCUGGCAAAUAUACAAGACAAAAAAACAAUAGCCAAAUUAAAGACUAAACCUUGUUUGUUUUGCAUAGAUUCAGAGGUUUGCUAAUUCUUGUUAAAAGCUGAAAAACUUAAUGAAAAGUUGAGGAAUAAUUGGGAUUUUGAGUUUUAUUGCAUUUGCCUUUUGCACUAGGAGAUGGAAGACUUCAAUGAACUGCUAUGGUAUUAAUUUGGAAUUUUAGGUUUCUGCAACAGUUGCUGAGAAUUUAAGAUAUCAGCAACUAGCACCAGAGAUUAAGAUUUAGUAAUGAUAAUGAACAAUAACUUUUAUGAAUUUGUUUGUUAGAAUAAUGGACUCUUAUUUUCAGUUUCAGUGAUCAAUUUCAAAUCUUAAUGACCUCAAAUAUAUAUAUAUAUAUAUAUAUAAACUUUUAUGAAUUUAAAUAACAAUUCAAAUUAAAAAGAGCAUUUACCUCAGAAUUAUUAUUGUCUCAGUAUUAUAGAAUAAGAAAUCAAAAAAAGGAGCAUCUAAUAAACAAAUGAUUUAUUCUAAUUAAAAUGAUGAAGAUAUGUUUAGACAUUUCCUUUCUGUUUUUGAGGCAAAAUGAAGAGAUUUUCAAUUAUAGAUCUCUAAAUGUACGUUACUGCACAUAAUUCUUUUGUAGCAUUUUGUGUUUGGAACCUAGCGAUUCAAUGCCUAUAUAUACUUCAUGUACAAAAAUUAACAAUCGAAAAAAGAAAAGGCAUAGGUGCAUUGAAUUUAAAAGUAUUUGGGGCCUUCUAAUAAUGGCUUCUGAAUGUGAAAGUAUUCUAGUCCAUGGCUUCUAUUUGUCUGUGUUCUAAUGAAGUCAAUGAGAUCUUCUAAUCAUGGAUUUUCAUUUUUUGGUGUAAAUGCAGGACUAACCGCAUUGGUGUCAUUAAAUGUUUCAAAUUCUUACAUAACUAAUGAUGGUUUGCUGUAUUUAAAGCCUCUAGAGAACUUACGGUCACUAUCUUUGGAGUCCUGCAAGGUAACUGCCUCUGAAAUUAAGAAGCUUCAGUCAACUACCCUUCCCAAUCUUGUCAGCUUUCGACCAGAAUAAUAUUGCUGGGGCAACUGUAACACAUGCUUUAAAUAGCUGCUAUCACCUGGAGAUAGCUCUCUUCACAAUUCAACAAAUGUAUGUUAAAACUUGAAAGGAUGCCUUUCUAAUGGGGUCAGGUUAAUUGUGUUAAUUAUAGGGACAAUCAAUGUAAGGUGAUUGUAAAUAUGUUUGGCUACUGAAUUUGGCAUUUCCUCUUUUCUUGUUUCAAAAACAAAUAAAUUUUGUCGAUAGAAAUUUUAAGUUCAUUCAAACUAUUUUCUGCACAUUGUCUUACAAGUUUUCAUAUGGAGAUUCAAAACAGAAGGUAAAAACCAGAGGGGAAGAGGUUUGGCUCGGAGUUACACUCAAUCUGAGUAACUUGUUUCAGAACAUAGUCUCAAUCACAAGCAUGCAGACAGAAUUACAUGUUUGAAUGUUUGAUGAAAUGGAAGCAAAAGCUGAAAAUAAAUCCUCAAUCCUCAAUCAUAUAUGCUACAACAUUAGAGUCUAUGCUUCUCAAUCCAGUGCAAAAAUCUAUUUAUUCUAAGCUAGAAAUUAGAAUGAGAAAGUUGCAGCUAGAAAUAACAAAUCAAUCAGGUAAGCAAUAGCAAUCUCUAAAUUAUUUGCAGCUAAGUAAUAAAUUCAGCUUGUAUAUCUUGACCAAAAAAAAAAAAAUCAGCUUGUAUAUCAAUUGGUAAGAAAUAACAAAUCAAGUGUUGUAAUAGAAUGCUGCAAACAUUAGAUAUCAAUUGUCCUCCAACGGCCUGAGAUUGAUGCUACUUCAAAUCUUGGGCUUUUUACCUGGCAAUAUGAUGAAUUUACCAUGCCAACAGAAUUUUUUUGUGAUAAGUUUUUCAGUUCAUUAUCAAAGGCUGAAUGAACAAAAAACAUUUCGAAAAAUUAAUAAUAAGGGUCGUUUGGUAUUGAUGUGUGUUUUAUGUUUUUAAAAAUUUUGUUUUGUUUUAUUUUAUUUUCGUUUUAUUUUUAAUUUAUUGAAUUUGAAAACAUGUUUGAAUAAAAUGUUUUUGGUUUAUAAAUGUGAAAACCAAAAUGUGUUAAGAGAAAUUGGUUAAGGCUUUUAGACUCCAUUUGUUAUUAAUAAUAUAAUAUUAUUAAUAUAAUAAUAUUUAUUAAUAUAAUAUUAUUUUUAUUAAUAUAUUAUAAUAUGAUCUUUAAUAUAUUAUUUACUAAUAAUUAAUAUAUUAUUUAUUAAAAUAAUAUUUAUUAAUAUAUUAUAAUAUGAUUCUUUCAACAUAUGGAACUUACGAAAAUGCAGUGCAGCAUCUCUUGAUGUUCUAUCAAAUGUGUUUGGGGUUGAAAUUUUUCCUACUUUGAUGCCCAUUAUUCAGGUAAGUUACCUAUUGGGGAUGUGAAAGUUAUAUCGUGGAAAUUCUUUGUGUUUUAUUUAUUUAUUUAUUUUUGUUUCUGUGCAUCCAAUAGGCAUGUUUCAUCAUAAGUUCAUCACUUCAUCUUGCCCAAAAGAUAUUAAAUCAGUGUGUUCCAUGGUGAAUAUGAGAAUAUCAGAUUGCUUCAUGCUGUAGAAUCUACAAAGUUAAUUCAUUUGCUAUGAUAUAGAUAUGCUAGUUUGAAUCACAAAGGUUAUUGCUGUUAAUGCCAAACUUCUGCCGCAUUUGUGCAUGAAACUUUAUUGGAGGAAAUAGUUAUCUUGGAAGUCUGAAAAAGCUUUGUACGAGUCACUUUUGAUUUCUGAUUUUCUGGUUUCAGCAUUGAUUUAGAAGACGCUGUAUUUCAUUUAAGCAUGUGUUUUUUUUUUAUCCAGUCCUUGAUUUUAAUGGUUCCAGUGUUUUUCUAUCACGAGGCUAUAAACUCACUGGAUCCUGCUAAUAUAUGUAUUAAGUAGAAUACUACAAAAACAACUGCUUCUGUCCGGUAAAAAAAAUUUAGUAUUUUGAGUUUGUGAUGAAUUGUUGAAGCUAUCUUGUUUCUUUUAAGCUUGAGUAUAUUUCGAUCAAUGUUUUUUGCCAAAUGAUUUGGUUUGUGUAGCAUUUGGUUAGCUAAUUGAUGUCCGCCCAUCUAUUCUAGAGGUGGGUAUCUUUUGUCUGUUACAUUUUAGUUUUCUCAAAUUUGUUUUUUAAUUUCAGUUGUUUUAGUUGUGUCACUUCUUUUAGUCUGUAUGUCAUACUCUUGUGUGUGUAUGUGUUUUUUAUUAUUAUUAUUUUGAAUUGCUAAUUAUUUUUCUUUUCUAUGAGCAGUUUUUUUCAAUCUCCACAUGCUUCUGUGAAUAAUCUUUCGUUGUAUUCUUAAUAGCAAGGGAUAUCACUCUGAUACAUUUUGAUAUUAUACAUUAAUUUCCUGCAGGCUUUAUAUACAUCCAUGGAUAAAUUCCUUCAGGCUUUGUUCUCUACUAAUUAACAAUUCUUGCUGAUUUUAUUUUUCAAUUUUAGUUUGUUCAUUUGUGCUUUCUAAUCCUUCAUGAUUGGCUGAUUUUUUUUCUUUAGCAAUGAAAAUUUUAUCUUGUUUACUUUAAAUUUAUUUGCAAAAAUUUUUCUCCUUUAUAAUCAUGUGCCACGUGUUCUUAACACUUCUUUUUUGUAUUUGAUUUUUAAUCAAAAUUUAAUUAGGAUUAUGAAGAGCAAAAUAUUAAAUUUUUUUUCUUCGUAUUCAACUUUCGAUCGACGGAGACAAAAUGUUAAUUAUUUUAUCUAAAUCCAAUCCAAUAAUUCCAAAGUCCAACUUGUGGUCCCAAGGAUAGGUCUGCUUUGCUGUCAGAAAAGAGUUUAUUUUGGGCCGACUGAGCCAGAAGCUAAUAAUAAGGUCUUAGGAAUUGUUUUACCGAUCUUGAAGAUAAGAACGUUGGAUGGGAUCUGCGGACUUGAGCAGCAGAUUUCGCCUUCUUUUUCGGCAGAUAUAAGUCUCAGAUUUGGCAACAGCUUCUCUCGGUUCUCGGAUUUCAACAAAUAUAUCGUUUUUGUCGAGCCGAGGUUGAUUUUUUUUAUUCAUUCCAUUUGUUUCCAGUCGGAUUUUCUUUUCUGCUUGGAUUUAUUCAUUCCAUUCGUUUUCAUGGUUCUAAUGAUGCAGAAGGUGAUGUAUGCAUUUUUGUUGUCUUGAUUGGAUAUUGUGGUUGAUAACUCUCAUGUUUCCUUUAUAUUAGGAUAGUGAUCAUUGGAAAGGUUUUUGACACAGCUCUUAUGGAUCUCCUGCGAAGAAUUUUUGAUACUAACAAGCGGGUGCAGGAAGCUGUUUGAAGAGGUUAUAAACUUGGUCCACACUUGCUGUAUUUUGGAUUAAAUUUUUAUAGAUAUCAAUAAUUGUUUUAAUCAUUUGCAGGAGGCUGCCGAAGAGGUUGCACCAAGGUUGGGAAUAGUUGUACAGUACCUUUGCGAGGUUUUGACAAAUAUCAAGUUUUUUUGCUUGCCUUUACCUUAGACUAAGCUCGAUGAACUUAUGACUUAUGAAAACCCAGCAUUGUGGGUUGUUACUUUUUUUUUUAUUUCUUAUGCUGCUUUAUCAAAACAUAAGGUGCUUUACCCUAAACAGUAAUUUUGGUACAGGAUGGAUUGAUGAUGACUCAUUCAACAUGUGGAACUUAUGAAAAUGCACUGCAGAUGUUCUAUCAAAUGUGUUUGGGAUGAAAUUCUUCCGUACUUCAUGUGUGCUCUUGGCAAAUAUCGGGUUGUUUUCUGGCCUUUUAUUAUGAUAAGUUCUUUUCAGCGUUGCAAUUAUGACUUAUGAGACUCAGCCCUGUGGGUUGUUAUCUUUUUAUAUUUUAUUUUUUUAUUUCGUAUUUCUAAUAUGUUUCUUUUCUAUGAGCAGUCUUUUCUUUCAGUCCCCGCAUGCUUCUGUGGGAAAUCUUUCAUUGUGUUCUUCUGUAAACCAAUACAUUAAAGUUUGUAUUCUUAAUUGUAAGGGAUGUCACUCCUAUACUUUUUGAUAUUAUACAUUAAUUUCUUGUAGGCUUUAUGUACAUCCAUGGAAAAAUUCCUUCAGGGUUUGUUCUCUACAUAUUAACAAUUUAGGUUAAUUUUAUUUUUUCAAUUUUAGUUUGUUCAUUUGUGCUUUCUAAACUUUCAUGAUUUGCUGAUUAUUUUUUUUACAAUGAAAAGUUUAUCUUGUUUACUUGAAAUUUACUUACAAAAUUUUUCUCCUUUUAUAAUUAUCUGCCACAUGUUCUCAGCACUUUUAUUUUAUCUAUUUGAUUUAUAUUCAAAUUUGGAGUAGAAUUAUGGAAAGAAAAUUUUUAAUUAUUUCUUUUCUUUUUUUUUCAUAUUCAAAUUUCGACGAUAGAGACAACAAUUUAAUUAUUUCAUCUAAAUGCAAUCCAAUAAUUCCAAACUGCAACUUAUGGCCCAAAGUAUAGAUCUGUUUAUGGUAAGGAAUGAGUUCAUUUUGGGCCAACUGAGCUAGAAGCUCAAAAUGACGGCAAAAAAAUUGUUUUACUGAUCUUGAAGACAAAAAUAUAAUUUAAAUCGGUUUUGUCGGUUUAUUAUAUAGUUAUUUAUAUCCAGUCAACCCAAACCCAAAGAUCUCCAAAUUUUCCCCUCCCACAAAAAAUUAUUGAAAUUUGAGAGCAAAAGCUGGAUUGGGCUGUGAUUUCUCUCUUCAUUUUCAUAAACCUCAAAAAAAAAAAAAAAUCCAUAGCCAAACACUUCCAAACAUUAAUCCAAAAACUUAAAAAAUUUCCUCUUUUAAUACAUCUCCAGAACUUGUCUCAACCCAAAGUCUUUCAAAAAACCCAUAAUUUUUUCCUCUUUGAAUCCAUAUACUCUGCUCGACUUAAAGAACCUGUUCCAACCUAAAAUCUUCCAAAAAAACCAAUCAACCAAAAAACCCAGAAUUUUUUUUCGUAGGGGUUGGAUGACUCCUGCAGAGUACUGGAGCAGCAGAUUUUGCCUUCUUCUUCGGCAUACGUAAGUCUCAGAUUUGGCAACAGUUUCUAUAAUUUCAACAAAUAUAUCGUUUUGGUGCUUGUUCGAGCCGAUGUUUGAUUUUUUUUUUACUCAUUCCAUUUGUUUACUUAGUAACUAGUUUAGUGUAUAUAUAUAUAUAUUUUUUUUCUGGUUUGAUUUUGGGUAACAACUUGCUAUAAUUCGGAUUAAAUUCUUAUACAUUUCAACAAUUGUUUUGUUCAUUUGCAGGAGGGUACCAAAGAGGUUGCACCAAGUUUGGAAAUAAUUGUGUACACUAGUUCAUGUGCGCGCUUUUGGCAAACAUCAGCUGUUUUUUGCUGGCCUUUACAUUAUAAUAAGCUCUUUUUAGUGUUGCAAUUAUGACUUAUGAAACCCUGCACUGUAAGUUGUUAUCGUUUUUGGUAUGCUGCUUUAUCAAAACAUAAGUUACUAAUAUCUGAAAAAACAAAAAAAAGUUGCUAAUUAUGUUUCUUUUCAAUAUGCAGUUUUCCAGUCUCUACAUGCAUCCCUGAGAAAGCUUUAAUUGGGUUCUGUAAACCAAUAAAUUAAGGUUUAUAUUCUUCCUUUUAAUGGAUGCCAUUCUCAUACAUUUUGAUAUUAUACAUUAAUUUCUUGAAGGCUUGGUGUACAUCCAUGGAUAAAUACCUUCCGAGUUUGUUUGUCCUUGCAAAUGACCUUUCUGCAGAAGUGCUGAAAUUGGUCAAUAGCUUUUUUUUUUUUUCUUCUUGUACUCUUGUUUUUAAUUAUAAUUCUGUCUUUUGCUUGGGAUGCUCAAAUCUGGUGUAAGCAUUUCCUAAUUUUGCUUGUAAUUUCCUAUAACUGCAAGUCUAUAAAAGCUUGGUAUGAGUCAUUUUUCAUUUCUGAUUUUCCGGUUUUGGGAUUGAUUUAGAAGAUGUAGUAUUAGAAUUAGACAUUUUUUUUUAUCUAGUCCUUGACGUUAAUGGUUCUUGGGUUUUUUCUGUCACGAGACCAAAAAAUUGCUGGGAAUUGCUAGUAUAUGUAUUAACUAGAAUACUAUGAAAAGAACUGUUUCUGUUGACUUUUAACAAGAGUUACAUAAAAAUUUUUCCUUUUUUUGUUGAGCUGUUUGGUGUCCUAUUGAUUACAUAUGGCUCUUAUGGGUCUCGUGCUGAGAAUAUUGGAUGCUAACAAGUGGGUGCAAGAGGCUACUUGUUUGGCUUUUGCAGUGCUUGAAGAGGUUGUUAUAAACUUGCUACACUACUUGCUGUAUUUUGGAUUAAAUCCUUAUAUAUUUCAGCAAUUGUUUAAUUCAUUUGAAUUAAACAUAUUUUUUAUCUAGUCGUUGAUGUUAAUGGUUCUAGGUUUUUUUCUAUCACGAGAUUAUAAACUCGCUGGACACUGCUAAUAUAUGUAUUAAGUAGAAUACUACAAUGAUACCUGUUUCCGUCUCCUACAAAAUUUUUAGUAUUUUGUUUUAGUGAAUGAAUUAUUGAAGUCAUAUCAUUUUUUUUAAGCUUGAGCAUUUUUAGAUCAAUGUUUUUUGCCUAAUGAUCAGGCUUGUGCAGCAUUUGGUCAGCUAAUUGAAGUCCGCCCAUCUUUUCUGGAGGUGGGUAUUUUUUGUUUGUUACAUUUUAGUUUUCUUAUAUUCCUUUUUCUUUUUUUUUUAUUUCAACUCUUUUAGUAAUGUGAAGUGUCACUUCUUUUAGCAUCUAUGUCAUGCUCUUGUUUUUUUUUAUGUGUAUCUACAACCUUCUUUUUCUUUUCUGUGAUGUGAUUUUUAACUAUUUGACAGCCACACUUGAAGAAUGUAAGUGAAUAUAUGUUGCAAGUCAAUAAAGGCAUUGAUGAAUGAUGUGGCCCGUGAAGCAUGUGAAUUUUGGUAACUUUCUUCUUCUUUGUGCAUUCCAUGUCUUAAUGUCUUCUAUUUAGAUUAAGAUGUCUUUUAAAGCAAUAUUUGUAUACUCAUGUCUUUUAGUCUCAAUGUCAUACUUUUGUGUCUUUUUUUCCUUAUUGAGAACCUUCAUUUUCUUUUCUGUGAUGUGAUUUUUAAUUAUUUGAAAAUCACAUUUGAAGAAUGUAAUUGAAUAUAUGUUGUGAGUGAAUAAGGACAUUGAUGAAUGAUGAAGUGGCACUUGAAGCAUGUGAAUUUUGGUAACUUUCUUCUUUGUGUAUUACAUGUCUGAAUGUCUUAUAUGUAGAUUCAGAUGUCUUUUAAAAACAUAUUUUUUUACAUAAGCUUAUUGCAAUUGACAUGCUUCAAACUAAUAGUUUUGGUAAUAUGCAAUAUUCUUUGACUUAACCAUUUUUUUUUCCUAGUCACCUUUGCUCGAUCACAUAAAAUGUUUGUUAAAUAUGUCAGAAGUGUUGGAGGUGUGCUUGCCCCUCUGCCUCUGCCUCUUUGUGCUAUCGAACCGUAGUUAUGAAGAAUUUUAAUUAUAUACCCAUCAUAUUCUUAGUCCUUUCUGUUAAAAAUGUAGAUUCAUUUUCUUGAAUCUAGGCAUAGAAAGGAAUGAAGGCCAUGCAUUUAACUUUACUAGUCUCCCCCUUCCCCCGAUCUAAUGUUUAAGAAUCAAUGUUGAGCUUGAUUGGCAGGUCUGCAUACUCUGAUGCACGGUUACUACGUGAGACUUUGAGAGAAUAUCUACCAUGUCUAAUUCAGUAUGCUAAUACUUAGCUGAGUUCUAUCUUGUUAGUUUCUUUUUUUCUUUUUUCUUUAGAGCCAUUUAUAACAUCUAUGUUCUUAAUUUCAUCUGUUACUUUUUUUUUUUUUUGUAGAUUUUGUUGUCAAACAUGGUUUAUGCUGAUGACCAAUAAGUCACUUGUUGAUGCUGAGGUUAUGUCUUUUCAACUUCUGCUUUGAGGUUAUCUGAAUUGGCGAUUAUAAUUGAUAAUUUAUUUGACGUCAAUUCAUUUUUGUAGGAAGAUAAGUCUCUUCUAGACAUGCAUCAGGUUAUUGUAAUUUUUUUUUGACAUUGUGCUCCUACUUUUGUGAAAUUUGUCUCAUGUUAGCAUUUUAUUUUGCUGUAUGUGGUUUCUAAUAGAUUCUCUCAUUAUAUUUCCUCUUCAAGAUCUAAAACCUUGAUUCCAUAUGUCGUGAUUUCCUGGUUCUGAUGAUGCAGAAGAUGAUGCAAGUAUUUUUUUUCUUUGCCAGUCAAUCAGAGUGAACUAACAUAGUUAAGUUCUAUUCUGUUAGUUUUAGAAAGAAGUGUUUUCUAGUGAGACUUUAUCCUAAAUAAUUAUUUUGGUACAGGAUGAUGACUCAUUCAACAUAUGGAACUUAUGAAAAUGCAGUGGAGCAGCUCAUGAUGUUCUAUCAAAUGUGUUCGGGGAUGAAAUUCUUCCUAUUUUGAUCGCCUAUUAUUCCAGUAACUUAUCUAUGGGGGAUGUAAAAUUUUGAUCAUUAGAAAUUGUAUCUGUUUUAUUGUUUCUAUUUAUGUUUCUUGGCUUCCAAUUCGUAUGUUGCAUUAUAAAUUCAUCACUUCAUCUUGCCCUAAAGAUGUUAAACUAAUCAAACAUCAUAUUGUUUCAUGCUGCAGAAUCUACAAACUUAAUUCAUUUACUAUGAUAUAUAUAUAUAUAUCAUAUGCUUGUUUACAUUUUUAUGGAGAAAAUAAUGUUUUAAACUGAAUUUCCAUUGGUUGGAUAUGCGCUUGAUUCUAGAUUGAUUGGAUAGUCUUCUUGGGCUAAACGGGUAUUUUGGUGGGCAAUUUUGGUUGUUGGGUUUGAUCGGGUCAACUGGGUUGCAGUCAUCAGUCAGGUUGUUAUUUGGUGUUGGGAUGUAACGUUUCUCGAUCAAAACAUAUCCUGUUUGAUGUAGUUUUGCCCUUAUGGUGGUGACUAAUACACAAAAUUUAUGUCUUGGAUAUAUCACCUAAACCUGUUUGCUUUUCAGUUACCAUAGAAUCCUUUAUGACAAACCAAUAGAUUAAGUAAAGAAUCAUUAACAAAGAGGAAAGGUGAACAACUGAACAUGUCUCGGUUACAUAUUUCCACAAUGGAAUUGUUUAGGAAGAAUAUUGUCUACCACAAAAUAGUAGCAGGAGGUGAUGCAAGCUUCUAUAUGAUAGAACCAUGCUCUUCUCCAAUAGGGAUUAAUGUACAGCACAGGCUAUACUCAGUAGCACCAUGAAGUAAGACAACAAAACUUACAUAAAAGACAUUCAUGUCAAUUGAACCAUUGUCAGUUGAAGCCCAUGGCAUUGAUGAUGAUGGUCCUGUUGAGCAGUUUGGCAAUGGUGCGCCGCAAAGAAAAGGAUUUCCCAGGUAGCUACUUUCAUCAAAUGUUGCAAAUUGCGCAGUCCUCUCAGGAGUUCUUCCAGAUAAAUUGUUGUAUGCCACACUGAAAAAAGACAAGAAAUUUAAACCCACAAGUUGAGGAGGGAUUUUUCCGCUCAAGUUGUUGUGAGAAAGAUCGAGACUCAAUUUUCUUGAGUUCAGAAAUCGCUGGAGGGAUUGGUCCUGUCAAACUGUUGAAAGACAAAUUCAAAAUAUUUGACUCUUUGGAUGUUUUUGACUGUGUGGGGAAUCUCUCCAAUCAACUUGUUGCAAGAGAGAUCAAUUCCAGACAGGUAAGUGAGGACUUUUCCCUUAUAAGAGUAAGAUAUGUUUUUUGUAGUGAACUCUAUUUGCUCUUCAAUGGAGAAAGAACUCGAACUAUUUGAAUUAGUAACAAGGAUAUAACGGACAAGAUAUUGGGAUAAAUAAUUUAGUGUUGUAAUCUUCAGGCAAGGAGGAAUUGUACCAGAAAGAUGGUUAUUAGAAAGAUCAAUCAAGCUUAGGUGGCUCAAGUUGCAUAACUGAACCGGAGUCCCACCUUCAAAGUGGUUGUUAUUUAGGAGAAGAAAUCUCAACUGAGAAAGACUGCCGAUCCAAUUUGGAAUGUUUCCAGUCAAGUGGUUAUGGCUGAGAUCUAAUGUCGCCAAUGUAGUGCUGUUACGAAAUGCAUUUAUGAGUGGCCUGUGUAGCUUGUUUCUUGAUAAAUGGAUUUGACUGAAAUGUAAUUGGCUGAAGCAAGACGGUAGAUUCCCAGAGAUAUUGUUCACUGAAAGGUCCAGAAGUUUAAGAUUGAGCUGGCAAAACUCCUCGGGGAUUGGACCUUCAAGAUGAUUUUUUGCCAUGACAAUUUCUUCCAAACUCAUAUUCCCCAUCCACCUUGGUAUAUCACCAAAAAGUUGGUUAUUGCUAAGAUCCAAUGUUGUCAACGAGAAGCAAUUAGACAAACAAUCUGGGAUCCUUCCAGAGAAGAGAUUCCCAUCCAAUUGCAAGUCCGUCAAGUUUGUCAAGUUAAAAUUUGAAGAGAACGGCUGGCCAUGCAAUAUGUUGUUUGACAAUAAGAACGCUUAAUGAGGAGCAGCCUUUUGCCAAGUGCUCCGGUAAUCCUCCACUCAAUUUGUUGUUAGACAAGUCCAAGGUUCGUAGAGAUUUCAUAUCUCCGAUUCAAACUGGAAUGCUAGCGCCAAAAAUAUUUUUUGACAUGUUCAGGAACCAUAAUGAUGGUAGUUUUGCUCCAAUUUCAUUUGGAAUGUUGCCAUAGAAGGAAUUUUUGGAGAUAUCCAAACUCACUAAAUUCGUAUGUGAAAGGAAAGGUAACUGAAAUGGUCCCAGGAGAGAGUUGUUGGCGAGAACUAAUGCAUUUAAUUUUGUGUUGUUCUCCAACAACCAAUUUGGAAAUUCCCCUAUCAAAUUGAUGUUAGAUAGAUCAACAUNNNNNNNNNNNNNNNNNNNNNNNNNNNNNNNNNNNNNNNNNNNNNNNNNNNNNNNNNNNNNNNNNNNNNNNNNNNNNNNNNNNNNNNNNNNNNNNNNNNNNNNNNNNNNNNNNNNNNNNNNNNNNNNNNNNNNNNNNNNNNNNNNNNNNNNNNNNNNNNNNNNNNNNNNNNNNNNNNNNNNNNNNNNNNNNNNNNNNNNNNNNNNNNNNNNNNNNNNNNNNNNNNNNNNNNNNNNNNNNNNNNNNNNNNNNNNNNNNNNNNNNNNNNNNNNNNNNNNNNNNNNNNNNNNNNNNNNNNNNNNNNNNNNNNNNNNNNNNNNNNNNNNNNNNNNNNNNNNNNNNNNNNNNNNNNNNNNNNNNNNNNNNNNNNNNNNNNNNNNNNNNNNNNNNNNNNNNNNNNNNNNNNNNNNNNNNNNNNNNNNNNNNNNNNNNNNNNNNNNNNNNNNNNNNNNNNNNNNNNNNNNNNNNNNNNNNNNNNNNNNNNNNNNNNNNNNNNNNNNNNNNNNNNNNNNNNNNNNNNNNNNNNNNNNNNNNNNNNNNNNNNNNNNNNNNNNNNNNNNNNNNNNNNNNNNNNNNNNNNNNNNNNNNNNNNNNNNNNNNNNNNNNNNNNNNNNNNNNNNNNNNNNNNNNNNNNNNNNNNNNNNNNNNNNNNNNNNNNNNNNNNNNNNNNNNNNNNNNNNNNNNNNNNNNNNNNNNNNNNNNNNNNNNNNNNNNNNNNNNNNNNNNNNNNNNNNNNNNNNNNNNNNNNNNNNNNNNNNNNNNNNNNNNNNNNNNNNNNNNNNNNNNNNNNNNNNNNNNNNNNNNNNNNNNNNNNNNNNNNNNNNNNNNNNNNNNNNNNNNNNNNNNNNNNNNNNNNNNNNNNNNNNNNNNNNNNNNNNNNNNNNNNNNNNNNNNNNNNNNNNNNNNNNNNNNNNNNNNNNNNNNNNNNNNNNNNNNNNNNNNNNNNNNNNNNNNNNNNNNNNNNNNNNNNNNNNNNNNNNNNNNNNNNNNNNNNNNNNNNNUGUUACCGUAUUUGGUAUGCUGCUUUAUCAAAACAUAAGUUACUAAUAUCUAAAAAAAAACAUAAGUUGCUAAUUAUGUUUCUCUUCUAUAUGCAGUCUUCCAGUUUCUACAGAAAGCUUUAAUUGGGUUCUGUAAACCAAUACAUUAAGGUUUAUAUUCUUACUUUUAAUGUCAUCCUCAUACUUUUUGAUAUUAUACAUUAAUUUCUUGAAGGCUUGGUGUACUUCCAUGGAUAAAUACAUUACGGGUUUGUUUGUCCUUGUAUAUGACCUUGCCGCAGAAGUGCUGAAAUUGGCCAAUAGCUUUUUUUUUUUUUGUACUAUUGUUUUUAAUUAUAAUUCUGUGUUUUGCUUGGAAUGCUCAAAUCUGCUGUAAGUAUUUCCUAAUUUUGCUUGUAAUUUACUAUAACUGCAAGUCUAUAAAAGCUUGGUAUGAGUCAUUUUUCAUUUCGGAUUUUCCGGUUUUGGGAUUGAUUUAGAAGAUGUAGUAUUAGAAUUAAACCUUUUUUUUUUAUCUAGUCCUUGAUGUUAAUGGUUCUUGGGAUUUUUGUGUCACAAGACCAUAAAUUUGCUGGGCAUUGCUAGUAUAUGUAUUAACUAGAAUAUUAUGAAAAGAACUGUUUCUGUUGACUUUUAAUGAGUGUUACAUAAAAUUUUUUCCUUUUUUUGGUCGAGCUGUUUGGUGUCCUAUUGAUUACAUAUGGCUCUUAUGGGUCUCCUGCUGAGAAUAUUGGAUACUAACAAGUGGGUGCAAGAGGCUGCUUGUUCGGCUUUUGCAAUGCUUGAAGAGGUUGUUAUACACUUGCUGCACUACUUGCUGUAUAUUGGAUUAAAUCCUUAUAUAUUUCAACAAUUGUUUUAUUCAUUUGAAUUAAACAUGUUUUUUAUCUAGUCGUGGAUAUUAAUGGUUCUAGGUUUUUUUCUAUCAUGAGAUUAUAAACUCGCUGGACACUGCGAAUAUAUGUAUUAUGUAGAAUACUACAAUAAUAUCUGUUUAUGUCUCCUACAAAAUUUUUUGUAUUUUGAUUUAGCGAAUGAAUUGUUGAAGUCAUCUCGUUUCUUUUAAGCUGAGCAUUUUUGGCCUAUGUUUUUGGCCUAAUGAUCAGGCUUGUGCAGCAUUUGGUCAGCUAAUUGAAGUCUGCCCAUCUUUUCUAGAGGUGGGUAUCUUUAGUUUGUUACAUUUUAGUUUUCUUACAUUUUGUUUUAUUGCAAUUCUUUCAGUAGUGUGAAGUGUCACUUCUUUUAGUAUCUAUGUCAUACUUUUGUUUCUUUUUAUGCGUAUCUACAACCUUCUUUUUCUUUUAUGUGAUGUGAUUUUUAACUAUUUGACAGCCACACUUGAAGAUUGUAAGUGAAUAUAUGUUGCAAGUCAGUAAAGGCAUUGAUGAAUGAUGUGGCCCUUGAAGCAUGUGAAUUUUGGUAACUUUCUUCUUUGUGCAUUCCAUUUCUGAAUGUCUUCUAUUUAGAUUAAAAUGUCUUUUAAAACCAUAUUUGUAUACUCAUGUCUUUUAGUCUCAAUGUCAUACUUUUGUGUCUUUUUAUGCCUAUCCACAACCUUCUUUUUCUUCUCUGUGAUGUGAUUUUUAACUAUUUGACAGUCACAUUUGAAGAAUGUAAUUGAAUAUAUGUUGCGAGUGAAUAACGACAUUGACGAACGAUGAGGUGGCACUUUAAGCAUGUGAAUUUUAGUAACUUUCUUUUUUGUGCAUUUCAUGUCUGAAUGUCCUAUAUGUAGAUUAAGAUGUCUUUUAAAACCUUAUUUUUUAUAGCUUUUGCAGAUUGACAUGCUUCAAAAUAAUAGUUUUUGGCAGAAUGCUCUAUCUCUUGAAUUUAGCCUUUUUUUUAUUUGCUCACCUUUGCUUGUUCACAUAUAUAUUUUUUAAAUAUGUCAGAAGCGUUGGAGGUGUGCUUGCCCCUGUGCCUCUGCCUCUAUGUGCUAUUGAACUGUAGUUAUCAAGAAUUUUAAUAUUAUAGCCAUCAUAUUCUUAAUCCUUUCUGUUAAAAAUGUAGAAUCAUUUUCUUGAAUCUAGGCAUGGAAAGGAAUGAAGGCCAUGCAUUUAACUUUACUAGAAUUUUAUCCUCCCCCUCCCUUGGUCUAAUGUUUAAGAUUCAAUGUUGUGCUUGAUUGGCUGGUCUGCAUAUUGCGAUGCACUGGCAACAUGUGAGAAUUUGAGAGAAUAUCUGCCAUGCCUGAUUCAGUAUGCUAACACUUUGCUUGAGUCUAUUUUGUUAGUUUCUUUUUUCUUUUUUUAGGAGCCAUUACAAGCAUCCUAUGGUUUCUUAAUUUCAUGUAUCUGUUACUUUUUUUUUUUUUUUUAGAUUUUGUUGUCAAACAUUGUUUUAUACUGAUUGACGAUGAGUCACUUGUGAUGUGAGGUUUCUUUUCAACUUCUGCUUUCAGGUAUCUGAAUUGGCAGUUAUAAUAUAAUUUAUUUGAAGUCAAUUCAUUUUUGUAGGGAAGAUUAAGUCUCUUCUAGACAGACAUAGGUAUUAUAGAAUUGUUUUCGUUAAUUGAUGCUCUUAGAUUUGUGUAAUUUGUCUCAUGUCAGCAUUGUAUGUUGCUGAAUGAGGUUUCUAAUAGAUUCUCAUUAUAUUUCCUCUUCAAGAUGUAAAACCUUGAUUCCAUACAUCACGAUUUCCUGGUUCUGAUGAUGCAGAAGAUGAUGCAAGUUUUUUUUUUCUUUGCCAGUCAAUCAGAGUGAACUAACAUAGCUAAGUUCUAUUCUGUUAGUUUUAGAAAGAAAUGUUUUCUAGUGAGACUUUACCCUAAAUAAUUAUUUUGGUACAGGAUGAUGAAUCAUUCAACAUACGGAACUUAUGAAAAUGCAGUGGAACAGGUCAUGAUGUUCUAUCAAAUGUGUUUGGGGAUGAAAUUUUUCCUACUUUGAUCGCCUAUUAUUCCUGUAACUUAUCUAUUGGGAAUAUAAAAUUUUGAUCAUUGGAAAUUGUAUCUGUUUUAUUGUUUCUAUUUAUGUUUCUUGGCAUCCAAUUGGUAUGUUGCAUUAUAAAUUCAUCACUUCAUCUUGUCCUAAAUUUGUUAACUAAUCAAAGAAUCAUAUUGUUUCAUGCUGCAGAAUUUACAAACUUAAUUCAUUUACUAUGAUAUAUAUAUAUAUAUAUAUAUGCAUAUAUAUAUUAUAUGUGAGUUUACAUUUUUAUGGAGAAAAUAAUGUUUUAAACUGAAUUUCCCUUGGUUGGAGAUGCUCUUGAUUCUAGAUUGAUUGGAUAGUCUUCUUGGGCUAAACGGGUAUUUUGGUGGGCAAUGUUGGUUGUUGGGUUUGAUUGGGUCAACUGGGGUUGCAGCCAUCAGUCAGGCUGUUAUUUGGUGUUGGGCUGUAAUGUUUCUCGAUCAAAACAUAUCCUGUAUGAUGUAGUUUUGCUCUUAUGGUAGUAUCAAAUGCAAAAAAUUGAUGUCUUGGAUAUAUUAUGUACACCUGUUUGCUUUUCAGUUACUAUAGAAUCCUUUAUGACAGACUAAUAGAUUAAGUAAAGAGUCAUUAACAAAGAGGAAAGGUGAACAACUGAACAUGUCUUGGCUACAUAUUUCCGCAAUAGAAUCGUUUAGGAAGAACAUUGUCUACCACAAAAUAGUAACAGGAAGGGAUGCCUGCUUCAAUAUGAUAGAACCAUGCUCUUCUCCAAUAAGGAUUAAUGUACAGCACACUGGCUAUACUCAGUAGCACCAUAAAGUAAGACACAACAAAACUUGCAUAAAAGACGUUCAUGUCAAUUGAACCAUUGUCAGUUGAAGCCCUUGGCAUUGAUGAUGAUGGUCCUGUUGAGCAGUUGUUGGGUAGAGGUGCGCCACAAAGAAAUGGAUUUCCCAGGUAGCUACUUUCUUCAAAUGUUGCAAAUUGCGCGGUCCUUUGAGGUGUUCUUCCAGAUAAAUUGUUGAAAGCCACGCUGAAAGAGGACAAGAAAUUUAACCCCACAAGUUGAGAAGGGAUUUUUCCGCUCAAGUUGUUGUGAGCAAGAUCAAGACUCUCAAUUUGCUUGAGUUCAGAAAUCGCUGGAGGGAUUGGUCCUGUCAAACUGUUGAAAGACAAGUUCAAUGUAUGGAUUUUUUGGAUGUUUUUGAAUGUGUAAGGAAUCUCUCCAAUCAACUUGUUGCAAGAAAGAUCAAUUCCAGACAGGUAAGUGAGGACUUUUCCCUUAAAAGUAGGAUAUGCUUUUUGUUGUGAACUGUAUUUGCUCUUCAAUGGAGAAAGAACUCGACAUAUUUCCAUCAGCAGUUAAGAAAUAAUGGGCAUAAUCUUCGGAUAUAUCAUUUAGUGUUGUAAUCUUCAGGCAAGGAGGAAUUGUACCAGAAAGAUGGUUAUUAGAAAGAUCAAUCAAGCUUAAGUUGCUCAACUUGCAUAACUGAACAGGAAUCCCACCUUCAAAGUGGUUGUUGUUUAGGAGAAGAAAUCUCAACUGAGAAAGACUGCCAAUCCAAUUUGGAAUGAUUCCAGUUAACUGGUUAUGGCUGAGAUCUAAUGUCACCAAGAUAGUGCUGUUACGAAAUGCAUUUGUGAGUGGCCCUUGUAGCUUGUUUCUUGAUAAAUGGACUUGACUGAUCUGUAAUCGGCUGAAGCAAGAUGGCAGAAUCCCAGAAAUAUUGUUCAUUGAAAGAUCUAGAAGUUUAAGAUUGAGCUGGCAAAACUCCUCGGGGAUUGAAGCUUCAAGAUGAUUUUUUGCCAUGGCAAUUUCUUCCAAACUCAUAUUCCCCAUCCAUCUUGGUAUUCCACCAAAAAGUUUGUUAUUGCUAACAUCCAAUGUUGUCAAAAAGGAGCAAUUAGACAAACAAUUUGGGAUCCUUCCAGAGAAGUGAUUCCCAUCCAAUCUCAACUCACUCAAGUUUGUCAAGUUAAAAUUUGAAGGGAACAUCUGGCCUUGCAAUCUGUUGUUUGACAAUAUAAGAACAUUCAAUGAGGAGCAGCCCAUUGCCAAGCGCUCCGGUAAUCCUCCACUCAAUUUGUUGUCAGACAAGUCCAAGAUUCGUAGAGAUUUCAUAUCUCCGAUUGAAACUGGAAUGCUGCCGCCAAAAUGAUUUUUUGACAUGUUCAGAAGCCAUAAUGAUGGCAGUUUUGCUCCAAUUUCAUUUGGAAUGUUGCCAUAGAAGGAAUUUUUGGAGAUAUCCAAACGUGAUAAAUCUGUAUGUGAAAGGAAAGGUAACUGAAAUGGUCCCAGGAGAGAGUUGUUGGCGAGAACUAAUCUAUUUAAAUUUGUGUUGUUCUCCAACAACCAAUUUGGAAAUUCCCCUGUCAAAUUGAUGUUAGAUAGAUCAACAUACCGCAAGUCAUGUUGAUGAUAGAGAAAUUGAGGAAAUGAUCCAGCAUCUCCACAACAAGAUAUGCUGAUCUCAUUCAGUUGGAAUGUUGGGGCCAAAGAAUGCAUCUCGGUUUCAGCAUAUAUGAUAUUGUUGUCUGCUUCAAUGUAUUGGAGUUUUGAAAGGUUGAACAAGGGACCUAAUGAGCUGGGGAUUUCAAAGUAAUUGUCUGAAAGACCCAACGUUCGGAGGGAUGUUAAACUCUUAAGGGCAGAUAUACUUCCAGAAAAUUGAUUGGAAUAAAGAAGCAAACUUUCAAGCGAUGUGAGAUUGGAGAAGCACUCGGGCAAGUUACCCCUUAAAUUAUUGUGGCCAAGAUCCAAGUUUUGGAGAUUUGUCAAUUCACAAAAACCUGCAAAAGUAGCAUUAUAUUAAAUAAAUGAAGAAGGUGCCAUGGGUUGGAACAAAAAAAAAAAAGCCUAGUCUCUCCAUCCUCUGCAUAUUGUCACCUAUUGACUUUUUACGAAAUUUAGAAAGAUCAAAAGAAAAAAAGGUAAUACAUAAUGAAAAUUUAAGAAAAUUUGGUGUUUGUUCAGUAUAUAAUAAGUUUUGUUAUUUUUUAAGUAGUUAUGAUGAAGGGUAAUAUUAUAUAAGAAUAAUAUAUGAAGAGUAACAUUUCGUAUGGGAGAAUAUUUCAAAUGCAAAAGGGACAACAUGAGUAUAGGAUGGUGGGACUAAGGAGAACUUAAAACAAAGGUAAGGUGUCUAUCAAUCUCAACCUUGGGAAUAUAAGGUGCCAUUGAGUCCGCAGUCCCAUAAUUCUAGAUUCUUGAGAGAAGGCAUUGCUCCAAUUUUUUGAAGAAAGUUGUUUUCCAGGGAAGUGUCCCGUAUGACCAAGGAUUCCAAAUUCUUCAAAUGAAGUGGACCUAUUUCAAAUAAAUAUAUUUACGGAAACAUAUGAAGAUAUAUUUUAAGUAAAAAAAAAGGGGGGGAUAAUAUCAUAAUAUGUAUGCAAUUAACAAUAUACUCACAUCCUAUCAUAAAUUACAGCUUUAACAAUUGUAUAAAUAUUUAUUUCAUACUAUUAAGUCAAUUAAUCAAGAUGUUUAUUUUGGAAGAAAAUCAAGAUGCUUUUUUAGGAAAACAGAAGUAAAAAAAUAUGUCAAAAAAGCUUAAAUUAAUUCAGAUAAAUAUUGUUAAUGACAAGAAACAAAGUUACCGAAGACUUAAAAUCAACAAAUUUCCUUUUUUCUUGUUAUUUAUAUAAUUGCUAAACUAUUUUGCUUUUUAUUUUUUGUUGAUUACUAAUUUACAUAGACUCAUAAUUGUGAUACAUUCAUUACAAAAUCUUGUAAUUUUAAGUAUAUGCAAUGCUUAUUUGAAUGGCUAGAGGUAAGAGACAUCCAAAAAAAAAAAAAAAAGAAAUAAAAUGGAUCUAUAACUACAAAUUUGAAAUAUCUAAUUUACCAUGAAAAUUGAGGCUGCCGUUGACGUCACAAACUUUCACUUCCAAAUUUUUAAGAGAAGCCAACAUUCCAAUAUCUUGAAUAAAGUUGGAAGGAAGAGAUGAAUCUUCUAAUAUCAACUCUUCCAAACUUGUCAAAUAUUUCCAUUCUAUUCAAUAAAAGUUACGAAUUAUGUUUUGAAUUGAAAGACAUAAUUACAAAUGAUAACCGAAAAAAUGAUACUACUACUGAGUAAGUAAAUAAAAAAUUAAAAUAUUUAAUUUAUCAUGUAAAUUGAGGCUGCCAUUGAACUCACAAAAAUACAUGUACAAAUUUUUAAAGGAAGUUAACAUUCUAAUAUCUUGAAUAAAAUUGGAAGGGAAAAAUGAAUCUUUUAACAUCAACUCUUUCAAACUCGUCAAAAUUUGCCAUUUUGAUCAAUGAAAGUUAAAAAUUAUGAAAAUUAAGAAGUAUGUUAUGACAAAAAAAUAGUUGCAAAUGACAACCAAUAAAAUAGUUCUCCAAAAUAAGUCUCUAGUAUAGUAUAUGCAUAUAAGCUAUGAGAUUUGGCCAACGAUUCAUGUUUUCUCUAUGAGGGUUGAUCCUGUAAGGUGAUAAUUUAAAUCUUUGUCACUACUUAAGUUAGAGAUUAUCAUAGAAAAAAGUAUAUACAAAUAUAAAUACAGUCACUUUUGUUGACUCAUUUUAAUGGACAGAGACAAAAGUUUUAGUAAAAGGCUCAAUAUUAAAUUUAACAUAUGUAAUAUUAUUUAUUUUUAUAAUUUUUUAUAUAUUAAUCAAAUUUAUUUACAUAAAAAGACUAUUGAUUAAAUUUACCAUUAGUCAAGCAUAUUUGAAAAAAUCAUUUAACAAAAGAUAAAAAUCACAAUGAAAAAGAAUUUUAGGGCAAAAGUUAACCAUUAAGUAUAUGAAAAAUUUUCUAUCUAUUUAUUGGAAUAAUAAGAGAAAUUAUGUUAAAAAAACUUUCAAAAAGUAUUCAAUAAUGUCAUAUGUGAGAAAAAUGGGAAGAAUUUAUAAGAAUAAAUAGGGGAAACAAAAUGAUUUGAUAAAAUUAAGGAGAGGGUAGAGCAGGGAAUAAAAAUUUAAUACAAAAUUUUUAAUUUUUUUAUUGAUCUGAAAAAAAUUAAAUCAAAUUAUAUAAAUAUAUAUAUAUACACACACACACACACAAAUCUCAAUGCCAUAACAUUAAAGUUAUCCCAUUUCAAUCUAAUGCAAGUAUUUGGUUAACAUAAGGCUUGACGUUUUUAUUAUUAUUUUUUAAAAAAAUGUUAUAAUUUUUGAUAUUUUUCAAAUAAUAUGUUCUAUUAUCAACAAAAAUAAUUCUAACAAAAUUAAAUAAUUAUUAAAAAUAAAGGAAGUAAAUAGAAUUAAAAAUGAAAUAAAAUAAAAAAAUUGACAAUUUGAGUAGAAAAAGUUUUAAAUAUUUAGAAGUGAUAAAGAAAAGAAUAAAAAAUGUUAUACUUGAUUAAUAUAUUUAUCUAACCUUUAGAUAAAAAAUUAAUAGAUAAAAACAUAUUAAUCAACAUAAUAAAAAAAAUUAAGAAACAUACUCCUGUUUUUUUUUCUCAAAUUAAAUCUCCUCAUCCUUUUUAGAUUGUCUCAAAAUUGUUUUCAUUUCUUUUAACACCUACAAUUCAUAUUUUAGAAAAUUUUCAUAUUUUUACUCUUUAGAAUUUAAAUAUAUAGUUUAUCAAUAUUGCAAAAAAAGUGAAGAAAUAAUGUUGAAAUAAUAAUAAAAAUUUUAUUUGGCUUAUAUAAAAAAAUAAACAACAAAAAAUUGUCACACACUAUUAAAAUUAAGUUUAAAAUUAUCUAAACAAAAAAUUAAGUUCCAAAUUGGGAUUGGGGUGACAUGGUAAUAAAAGGUAUUUAAUUCAAAUAAGAAAUAGAUAAAAAGUAAAAUAAAUGUUUGAUCAGUACCUUUUCCUAAUUGAUUAAAUAAAUGUAGGUAAUAAUAGUAAUUAUAAGAGCAAAUCAUUGCAUAUAAUCAUCAAAACUUACGGGUAGUCAAUGUUCCAUAAAAAUUAAAACCACCCAAUUCAAGAGUCUUCAAUGACGGGAAUAAGUCCAGCAAUUGCAAUGAAAGGCUGCAAGCUGUAAGUGAGACAAUCAUUACAAGAUGGAAUGUAAAGAAGUUAGUAAUACAAUUAAACCUUCUUGUAUGAUUUGUAAAUACACAUAUUAUAAAUCUUUAAACCCUUAAAUUUAAACCAAGGCAUACUUUCUUGUAAAAGUAAAUGUAGUCUUCUAAUUCAAAAUAGAGAAAGGCACAAUAUUGAGUUGCAAUCAAUUUAAAUUUGCUUUUAAUUUUUGCAAUAAGAAAAUAAAGAAGAAUUGUGGUUUUUUUAUUUUUUGUACAACCAAAAUUUCAUUAAUAAUAUUGUCCAGCAAAAGUGUACAUAUACAAAAGCAGUUAAAUAUUAAUAUAUAAUAUAUUAACAUUACUAAUUAAUCACUGAAAUAAAAGAUUACCUAAAUUGAAGAAAAGGCAAAUGUUUCGGUCAAUUUGAAUUUUAAUUUCUUAAAGUGUUUAGAGAUGUAACUAAUUCAAACAUGUAUGAACAAAUUGAUGAAGACACAAGUUUAUUUGAGCAGUACCUCUGAUGUCAUCAGGGUUAUAGCAGGAUAGAAAUAGAUUUUCCAAGUUGCUCAAAGUAUCUAACCCUGAAGAGAAUCACAAUAAAAAUAUAAUUAAUUAAAUUAAAUUAAAAUAAAACAUAAUAUUCAGGCAUUUGGGCUUUAAAGCAUAUAUUUAGGUAUUAUAUAAUAAUAAGAUAUCAUCCAAUAACUUUAGAAAAAGAGAAAGGAAGGAGGGGUAAUUUUACCUUUAAGAUCUAUUAAAGUUCUUGUAAUUUUAAGUAUAUGUAAUGCUUAUUUGAAUGGCUAUAGGUAAAAGACAUCCAAAAAAAAAAAAAAAGAUUUGUAACUGUAAAUUUCUGAAAGAUCUAAUUUAUCAUAUAAGUUGAGCUUGACAUCACAAUCAAAUACUUGAAAAUUUUUAAGAAAAGCAAACAUUCUAACAUCUUGAAUAAAGUUAGAAGGAAGAAAUGAAUAUUCAAAUGCCAACUCUCUUAAAUUUGUCAAAAUUUUCCAUUUUAUUCAAUAAAAGUUACAAAUUAUGUUUUGAAUUGAAAUAUAUAAUUAUAAAUGACAAUCGAGAAAAUGGUAUUAUUACUUACUAAGUAAUUGAAAAAUGGAGAGAUUUAAUUUACCAUAUAAAUUGAAGCUCCCAUUGAACUCACAAUUAAACAUGUACAAAUUUUUAAGAGAAGUGAGCAUUCUAAUAUCUUGAAUAAAAUUAGAAAGGAAAGAUGAAUCUUUUAAUGUUAAUUCUUUCAAAUUCAUCAAAUUUUGUUAUUAUGAUCAAUGAAUAUUAGAAAUUAUGAAAAUUAAGAAUUAUGUUAUGACAGAAACAAUUGCAAAUGACAACCAAUAAAAUAGUACUUCAAAAUAAGUCCAAGUAUAGUAUAUGCAUAUGAGCUAUGAGAUUUGUCCAAUGAUUCAUGUUCUCUCUUUGAGAGUUAAUCCUCUAAGGUGAUGAUUUAAAUCGUGGCACUACUUAAAUUUGGGAUUAUCAUAGAAAAAAGUAUUCACAAAUAUAAAUAUAAUCAGUAAAAUUUUACUUGUGCUGACUCAUUUUAAUGGACAAAGACAAAAGUUUUAGUAAAAUGCCCAAUAUUAAAUUUAAUGUAUAUAAUAUUAUUUUUUGUAAUUUUUUAUAUAUUAAUUAAAUUUAUUUACCCAAAAAUACUAUAUUGAUUAAAUUUUUCAUUAGCCAAACAUAUUUGCAAAAAUCAUUUAACAAAAGAUAAAAAUCACAAUGCAAAAGAAUUUUAGGGCAAAAGUUAACUAUUAAUUAUAUUUAAAAUUUUCUCUCCAUAUAUUGGAAUAAUAAGAGAAAUUAUAUUAAAAAAACCUUUCAAAAAGUAUUCAAUAAUGUAAUAUUUGAGAAAAAUGAGAAGAAUUUAUAAGAAUAAAUAGGGGAAACAAAAUAAUUUGAUAAAAUUAAGGAGAGGGUGGAGUGGGGAAUAAAAUUUUAAUAUAAAAAUUUUAAUGUUUUAUUGAAAUUCAAAAAAAAUUUUAAAUCAAACUAUAGAUUAUAUAUAUAUAUAUAUAUAUAUCAAUAACGGAACAUUAAAGUUAUGCCAUUUCAAUCUAAUGUAAGAAUUUGGUAACAUAAGGCUUGAUGUUUUUAUUAAUUUCUUUUUUAAAAUAUUUUUAUAAAAUUUUAUAGUUUUUUAUAUUUCUCAAAUAAUAUGUUCUAUUAUCAACAAGAAAAUUUUAACAAAAUUACAUAAUAAUUAUGAAAAAAAUAAAGGAAGUAAAUAGAAUUAAAAUUGAAAUAAAAUAAAAAAUUGACAAUUUGGAUAAAAAAAAGUUUUAAAUAUUUAGAAGUGAUAAAGAAAAGAAUAAAAAUGAUAUAAUUGAUUAAUAUAUUUACCUCACUUUUAAAUAAAAAAUUAAUAGAUAAAAACAUAUUAAUCAACAUAACAAAAACAAAUUAAAAAACAUACUCCUUUUUUUCUUAAAUUAAAUUUUCAUAUAUUGUUUGGAUUGUCACAAAAUUGUUUUCAUUUCCUUUAACACCUACAAUUCAUAUUUUAAAAAUUUUUCAUAUUUUUUAUUUUUUAGAAUUUAAAUAUAUAGUUUAUUAAUAUUGUAAAAAAAGGGGAAGAAAUAAUGUUAAAAUAAUAAUAAAAAUUUUAUUUGGCUUAUAUAAAAAAAUAGAAACAAGAAAAUUGUCACACAUUAUUAAAAUUAAGUUUGAAAUUAUCUCAAAAAAAUUAAGUUUGAAGUUGGGAUUAGGGUGACAUGGAGGUAAAAGUUAUUUAAUUCAAAUAGGAAACAGAUAAAGAGUAAAAUAAAUGUUUGACCAGUACCUUUCCCUAAUUGGUUAAAUAAAUGUAGUUAAUAAUAGUAAUUAUAAAAGAAAAGCAUUGCAUAUAAUCAUUAUAACUUACGGGUAGCCAAUGUUCCAUUAAAACUAAAACCAUCCAAAUAAAGAGUCUUCAACGAUGGGAACAAGUCCAACGAUUGCGGUGAAAGGCUACAAGCUGCAAUUGAUACAAUUAUUACAACAUGAAAUGUAAAGAAGUUAGUAAUACAAUUAAAUCUUUCUGUAUGAUUUGUAAAUACACAUAUUAUAUAUUUUUAUUCCCCCAAAUUUAAAUCAAGAUGUACUUUCCUGUAAAAAUAAUGUAAUCUUCUAAUUCAAAACAGAGAAAGGCACAAUAUUAAGUUACAAUCAAUUUAAAUUUGCUUUUAAUUUUUCUAAUAAAAAUAAUUAAAUAGAAUCGUGGUUUUUUUAUUUUUGUAUAGCCUAAAUUUUAUUAACAAUCAGAGUUAGAGAAGUACAAUAUUGUCCAGCAAAAGUGUACAUAGACAAAAGUAGUUUAAUAUUAAUAUAUAAUUCAUUAACAUCACUAAUUAAUCACUGAAAUAAAAAAAUUACCUAAAUGAAAGAGAGGGCAAAUAUUUCGGUUAGUUUGAAUUUUAAUUUCUUAAAGUGUUUAGAGGUGUAAUUAAUUCAAACAUGCAUGAACAAAUUGAUAAAGAAAUAAUUUUGUUUUAGCAGUACCUCUGAUUGAAUAAUAGGAUAUAAAUAGAUUCUCCAAGUUAGUUUAAAGUAUCACAAAUAGAAAUAUAAUUAAAUUAAAUUAAAAUUGAAACAUGAUAUUCUUGCAUUUGUGCUUUAAAGCAUAUACUUAGGUAUUAUAUAAUAAUAAGUUAUCAUUCAACAACUUUAGAGAGAGAAAUAAAGGAAUGAGGAGGGGGUAGUAUUACCUUUAAGAUCUAUUGAUCUGUUCAAGUUGUGGUGUCCUAAAGACAAAACUUUAGAUUUGAAAGUCUACCAAGGGAUGACAAUAUGCUACAAUUGAAGAUAUUCCACCACAAAUCAAGCACUUCCAGAUUGAUCAACCUUAGUCUUCUGUUUCAUUAUCUACAUAACAUUAAUUUACAUAAUUAAUUUCAUUACUUUUUAAUUUCUUAAUUAAUUCUAAAUAAUUGAAAACUCUUUUUGAAAGAGUAUCAAAUUUUCCACUGAAAUAUUCUAAUUCGUAAACAUGUAAAUUAUACAUUUACCAACAAAUUAUGUUAAAUACCUUGGGAUGGAACAAAGUCAUUCACUUGGUUAUUCGAGAUGUCUAAUUCCACUAAAUUGGUCAAAGCAUUUAAUUCUGAAGAUAGAAUUACAAAAAAAACUAGUAAUUAAUUAACAAAUCAUAUAAAACCCAAACAUAUAUAGAUUUUAAACCAUAUUUACCUUUAAUAUGUAUCGGCCCAUCCAAUUUGUUUCUUUCUAUAUACAAAGACUUCAAAUUUGAGAGCAUAGCAAGGAUAAGAAUAUGCUGUUGUUGAAGAGAUUUUCACUUAAACCAAGCACCUCAAGUUUGAUCAACCUCAAUUGUUCAUUCUGUGAAAGAUUAGUAACAUAAUUUCAUCUUAAAAGAAUAUCUAAUUAUUAUAUAUAUUUAUUAUUCAAAUUCAGUAUAUGUUGACUUACACUUUGAAAUAAAGAUCCGAGACUCUCAAUUUGAUUUUCGCCUAAAUACAACUCCUUUAAGUUUGUCAAAUUAUUGAAUUCUGUUCAAAUCAAAUCAAAUAUAUAUCAAUCUAGUUAUUCCUUUUUAAAACCAUGAGAUUUUUAAAACAACCCUACCUCGCAAAUUAACAGUUCCUUUUAAUCCGCAAUUCUGCAAACGUAAAGAUUUUAAAGAUGUGAAACCAUCUAGAUGUGAUAGGAUGUUGUUUCCUAAUACAUUGCCAUAUAAAUCCAGAGUCUCUAACUUGUUCAAUUUUGAUAACCUCUUCAUACCUGUUUCCAAUAAUAUUACAAAAUUUUAGUAAAUAAUCACUAUUUUAUAAAUAUAUAUAUCUCAAUUACAAAACAAACGUUAUUUACUUUAACCUGAUUUUUAUAUAGAACACAAUAUUAACAUUACCCUUUAUAGGAUUUGACCCAGUGAAUUGGUUUUCUGCUAGAUUUAAAGACCUGAGUGAUGAAAGUUCGCUUAAGGAUGCUAAAAUGCUAUCAUUGAAUUGAUUAACACUUAAGUCAAGGAUCUCUAGUUUGUCCAAUUUCAGUGACAGCCUUUCAAAACCUACAAGGAAAAAUGUAGCAUUUAGUGACUUUCUGAAAAAAAUGAAAUAAAAAAUAUUUAGAUAAGAUGAACAAAACUGGUGAUCAAUAAAAAUGAAUUUUCAAAUGCAAAAUAUUUAUUGAAGUAGCAGUUAGUAAUUAGGUGAAUAUGAAUUAACCUUGAUUGUCAACACAACCAGCAAUGGAAUUGCCAACCAAAUAAAGACUCUUCAAUUCCUCAAAAGGAAGAAACAAAGAGGCAUUGAGAUACCAAGAAUCUCUCCCACUCCAAUCGUACUCUCCCAAAUAAUAAUAAUAAUAAUAAUAUUAUAAUUAUCAUUAUUAUUAUAAACUAAAUCACCAUAGACUUCAAAAGUUGUAAGAUUAAGGAAGAGUCGGAUCACUCGUCCAGUGGAGGUGUUGCACUCAACCCUUUUCCACUGACAACAAUCUGAACUCUGUUUUCCCUCAUCCAUCCAAUAAUUCUUACAUCUUCAAUAUGAGUAAAGAAAUGUUUGAGUUGCAAGAGAGCAAUUUUUUCUUGCUCCCAGCACCUUUCACAUUCACAACACCUUCCUAAUAGGAAUGCUACCAAAACCACCCAUAACCAUUUCCACUCCAUCUUAAUUAAUUAAUGCACUCUCAAAAAACUUAAUAUUAACUCUGCUGCUAUGCAUUUGGCAUCACUAUAUCCAUGGGGUUUAUAUACUAAAAAGUCACUUGAAAAGAUACAGCCUUAUUUCCUAGAAAUUCAUUGAAAAUGGCACACUCAGUCUUGACGUACUUGUCAAAUUCCAUAGCACUAAGAAAACACAUUGCAUGAAGCUUCCUACAAAUUUUCUUUGUGGAAAAGUAAGCACAGACUCUGACAAUUAUAAUAAACACUCCAUCUUAAUUAUAACAUCAUUAAUGUCUUGUAGUGACAUUGCUAACAAAAAUUAGUGCUUACUUUUUUUUUCUUUGUAAAUCCUUAUUAAAACUUUUGUUUUGUUUUUUUAAUUUAAUUUUUUAGAAUACUUUAGUUUUCCUUUUAACAGCUUCAUUUUUUUUUUUGUUGCUAAAACAAUUUUAGGAUGUAUUCCAUAGUAAAAAAAGUGAAAAGAUGAAUAAAACAAGGUCAAAAGUGGAAAAAAAAUAAAUUUUAGCUAUGUUUUGUAAAAAUAAAAAAUAAAAAAAAGAUUAUUAUCACUUAUUAAUACAAAAAAAUCACUCCAAAUGUAAAAGAAAAGAUGAAAGAAAAUAGAAGAGGUAUGAGCAUUGUGUUACAUAUUUAUAAAAUUAUCCGUCAUAUUUAGAUUUUUUUACAAAAUGUUAUAAUAAUAAAAUCAUAUUUUUUUUCUUUCAUUUUCUAACUCUACCAAACAAUAAUGAAAAAUAUUAUAUUUUCUUUCUUUUUCAUUUUUUUUAACCAAGCACAUCAAUAAAAAUAAAAUAUAUAUUUUUUAUCUUUUUAUUUUUCUAUUCCCAUACUAAGCAAGGCCUCUAUUUAGUAAUUUUUUUUGGUUUGCCCACCUUGCUAGGGUUAUUGCCAAAUUUCAUGUCAAUAUUAAAUAUUUCCACAACUAAAGGGAGACAUGAUGGCCCAUUGUAGCUUUUUUACCUAUAUCAAGUUAGGGAGGAAGAUAUUACAUAUAUUAAUUCAUUGUCAUGACUAGUUGAUGUCUAGACUUUUGUUUAGCAACUGUAUUAUUAUUUAGGAGACCUUGACUUUGGCAUCAACUAUGAAAUAGAACGAUGGAUCAGUCUACACGCCAACCUCAUGAUAGGAUGGUGGAUUCCUCCUCUCUCUCUUUCCUGGAAGAUAUAAAUUUGGUGUGGAAGUAAUCAAAUAAACAAAAAGUUAUCUUUAUUACAUUGUUUGCCGCGUUUCUUGCUUCUACUUGAUGAAUGGUUUACAGUCUAUCAAAAGACUUUGACUUAGCGUCAACUGACACAAAUUAUUUGCAAACUAAAAAACUAUCAGUUAUGCAAGGGAAUAAGAAUAUAUAAUUUAUUUUUUAUUUAAUUAUUGAUUUCGCUAUGAUGAUAUUUGCUUAUUUUUUGUUAAAUAUUUGAUAAAUAUGCAUUUUUUAAAACUUAAUUACUAAGAGAAAUAGGUAUACUAAUAAUUUAUUAUUUUUCUCGGCUAUAAUAAUGUGUUACAUAUUUAUAAAAUUAUUCAUCAUAUUUAAAUUUUUUUACAAAAGGUUAUAAUAAUAAUAUCAUAAUUUUUUUCUUCCAUUUUCUAACUCUACCAAACAAUGCAUGAAAAAUUACAUAUUCUUUCUUUUUCAUUUUUUUAACAAUGCACACUGAUAAAAAUAAAAUAUAUUUUUUUUAUAUUUAUAUUUUUAUAUUUUUAUAUUUUUAUUUUUUUAUCCCCAUACUAAGCAAUACCUCUAUUUAGUUUUUUUUUUUUUUUAUUUGCUAACCUUGCUAGGGUUAUUGUCAAAUUCCAUGUCAAUAUUAAAUAUUUCCAUAACUAAGGGGAGACAUUAUGGCCCAUUGUAACUUUUCUACCUAUAUCAAGUUAGGGAGGAAGAUGGAACGUAUAUUCAUUGUCAUGACUAGGUGAUGUCUAAACUUUUGUUUAGCAACUGUAUUAUUAUUUAGGAGACCUUGACUUUGGCAUCAACCAUGGAACGUAUGGAUAGGUUUACAUGCCAACCUCAUGAUAGGAUGGUGGAUUCCUCCUCUCUCUUUCCUAGAAGAUAUAAAUUUGGUGUGGAAGUAGUCAAAUAAACAAAAAGUCAUCUUUAUUACAUUGUUUGUCGUGUUUCUUGCUUCUACUUGAUGAAUGGUUUACAGUCUAUCAAAAGACUUUGACUUAGCGUCAAUUGACACAAAUUAUUUGCAAACUAAAAAACUAUCAGUUAUGUAAGGGAAUAAGAAUAUAUAAUUUUAUUUUUUAUUUAAUUAUUUGUUUCGCCUAUGAUAGAUAUUCGCUUAUUUUUGGUUAAAUUAUUGAUAAAUAUGCCAUUUUUUAAACUUAAUUACUAAGAGAAAUAGGUACACUAAUAAUUUGUUAUUUUUCUCGGCUAUAAUUUAAAAUUUUUUUAAAUUUUUUGUAAAAUUUAUAAAUUUAGUAGAAUUUUAAAAAAUUUAUACUGAUUUAUCCAAAAAAGAAGAAAAUUUUUUAAGCUCCUGAAUAAAAAAUUAUAAAUUUUAUAAUUGCAAUGAGCUGCUGACCAAACUCAAAGGAAGUUGGGCUCAAGGUAAUGAUCAGGUCUGAUUUGUCUGUAUAAUUUGGUCCUAUUAGCCCAUAGUUGUAGGCCUGCUCAUAGCUUUAGGUAAGGGAUUUAUCCAAAAUUUUGUGUUAAAUGAAAAUAAAAUUGUCGGGGCCCCUAGAUAAAAAAAUGCAGGAGAAGUUGGGGUUCAAUUAUAGUAGGCGAUAACAAAGGCCCUAUUGAUAUUGCCACGCACAAGAGGUUAAUGUUCACAAAUAGGAGGCCCAAAACUGCCUGGACCUCUUAGUUAUGUAAGACGACCGAGCCCAAAGGUUCAUGGUGACUACAACAAAGAAAAGGCAGGCUUGGACUACGGUGAUCAACAAUAUGGGCAGCACUGUUCAGGACAUGAGCCCACUUGACUUGACCAUACGUCUUUCUUAGUUUUGUCUGGAAAGGUGAGAUCAAAUGUUUUCUCCAAUAAUAGGGACAAGCCUUAUGUCCGGUAACAAUUGCUUUUUAGGUCCAAUAUUCGCAUAUUCAAGUAGUGUGGGACAGUUUUUCUGUGAUCAACACGCAUGCCAUAGUCUAUAUUCUUUUCGAGUUCAUCUAAUCUAAACUUUCAAGAACUAUAUACAUGCUUUAAGCUUUCUGGUUUCAUGGGAUCUUCAUUAGUUGUAAAAUCCUUCAUAUCGGCAACCAUCAUGCCUUGCAAUGAAAAAAAAAAAUCUAUAGAUUGUGAGCUGUGAGCUUUCUUAGAAUUUCUUUGCCGAUUUCAAUGUGUGCAUCUUUUUGUGCUAAAUGAAACCAGUUCAUGAACUGACUAUCAUAGUUCCAUCAGCGGACAUGCUCAGCUCAGCUAUGGUCUGAAAAUGAAGAUUAAACUGAUAGAAAGGAUGGUACCCAUAUCUUCAAUAUCGUAAGGUGUUGUUACACUGUAUGCUGCUUGACAGUAAUGUUUUGAGGUGUAGACGUUAACUAGCAGCUAUAAAACAAUACAACUAGUUUCAUCUUCCAUUGCAAUGUGGUCGAUUUGGCUUAGUCGAAUUCUUUAAUUCUUUAACAUAUGUCUGCCAGUGCCUUCAAAGUUGCAAUGAAUGCCAACCUCUUUUAUUCAAUUUAACUAAACAUUGCAGCCCACGGUAUCCACAUUCUUUAAAUUCCUGUCCAUAAAUACAAAGAAAUAUAACCCUCUGUCUGUUCGUAUAAAAAAAGUGCCCCACCCUGCUGGCAAAUACACAAGACAAUAAAUAACUAAAUAAAUAAAAACAAUAGCAAAAAUUAAAGGCUACUCCUUGCUUGUUUUGCAUGGAUUCAGAGGUUUGCUAAUUCUUGACAAAAGUUGAAAAGCCUAGUUAAAAGUUGAGAAACAAUUGGGAUUAGGAGUUUUAUAGCAUUGGCCUUUUGCACUAGGAGAUGGACGACUUAAAGGAACAGGUAUGGUAAUUGGAAUUUUAGAUUUUUGCUAGAGUUGCUGAGAAUUUAGGAUACCAGUAACUAAUCACAAGAGGUAAGGAUUUAAUGAUGAUAAUGAACAAUAAUUUUUAUGAAUUUGCUUGGAAGAGUAAUGAACAAUACCGUAUUUGAAAACUUUUAUGAAUUUACAUAAUAAUUCAAGUUGAAGGAGCUAUUAUCUAAAUACUUUUAUAGAAUAAAAAAAAUCAGAAAAGCAGUAUCUAAUAAACAAAUUAUUUAUUCUAAGUAAAUUGAUGAAGAUAUAUUGGCCAUUUCCUUACUGUUUUUUUAGGCAAAAAUGAAGAGAUUUUCGGUUAUAGAUCACUAAAUGUAUGCUACUGUACAUAAUUCUUUUAUGACAUUUUGUGUUUGAAACCAAAUGACUCAAUACAUAUAUCAAUAUAUAUAUAUAUAUAUAUAUAUAUUUGACAUUAGGCAGAUCUAACAAAACCAAAAUUCAAUGAAAAAAGGAAUACAGAAUUAGACAAAGAGCCCCAACAUGUCGUUUUCUUUUUCUUCUAGUAGAAGCACAAUAGAAAGAGUGGCAACUUAUCCAUUUGAAAUAACAACCAGCCAUGACAUCACCCACCCUCUUGAUGCCAUUUUUGAGAAGAAUACAAAUAAAUAUUUUCCUUAGCAGUAGGCCCUUUGAAGAAAAUCUACAAAUCAUCAAGAAAACUUCUUUUGAAGAAUUGUUUUCCUGCUUUCAACCGUCAUCUGAACUGACCAAAUCACAGGUUGGAUAAGAAGAUUGAAACAUAAAAACACAGUUUCUUCACAAAGAGACAAACAAUAUUGUUGAAUUCCUUAACGCCACUUGCCAACUCAUUGUCAUACACAUCAUUGUUUUGUAAGAACUAUGAAACAAGAACUGGCAUAGAGAAUUUUAAAACUUUCAAACUCCAAUCCAUCCUUAUUCCUAUCAUGAAAGAAAAAGGAAAAAAAAGAUCGAAUCGAUUAUCAUCAUCGUCAUCAAUAAUCCCACGUGGCUGGUUCAUGCACAUGGGGCUUGUCAAUUAUAGUCAUGACCCUCAAAAAUAGAAUGAAAAGUACUUGAAAAAUUUUCAUUGACAUUGGAGAGCCCACUUGAAAGUGCGAAAUUAGUAAACUACAAUUGCAAAAUUUAGUACAUCAGCAUCAGCUCAUCUGAUCUGAAAGUUGUAAAACAAACACCAAUUCCUGAGUCAAAUGAUCUCUAAGAUAUUUGAUGAUGAUGAUGAUGAUGAUUAGAUCGAAGGGAAACAAUAUUUGGUUGUAUGGUGCUUACAUCACAGGGAAGUUUGAUCCAUCUUUUUGGCUUUGGGUGAGAAUCUGACAGGCAACAUGGACCUCCUGUCAACUGGCCAAAAACUGCUAUGAUCACUGGGAAAAAUUUUCUUUGCAAAGUAGAUAUGAAUGGUCCCAUAUGCAGGCUGUUGCAAAGCCAUCACAGCUUUCAUAUGGUAUGUGGGUUGGCCAGCGUUUUCCCUUUCACAAUUUGAAGGCUUUCAGUUUUCUGGACCCAUUUGGGAAUUGGGAGCCAUCAAAAUAAAGAAAAAAAAGUUUUAAUUUUACAAAUUUCAUUAUUUGCGAGAAAUUAAGUUUGCGUGAUAGGAGUACUAAUCCAAGUUAACAGCAUUUACAGCUAUACGUACGGGAAAAUUUUAAAAUAUAUAUAUUUUUUGAAUUGAUAGUUUAAAUUCUUUUUCAUAGAAAAGAAAUGAGUGAACGAUCAUUUCUAUUAAAAGAAAAAGAGUAGUAUAAAAUAUUGAAGAUUUAAUUAUAAAGUGAGUAGUUACUAAAAUUAAUUAUAAAGAAAUUUUAUUAUUUUUUAGAUCAAUUAAUAUAUUAUUGAAAUUGAUAUUUAAAAGUUAUAGAUUUAAAUAAAUUUAAGUAUAUAAUAUUUUAUUCAACCAGCUUUGUAAUUAGAUAGGAAAAAUUUUAAAGAUAGAUUAAAAAUUAAAAGAAAAAAAAAAGAGAGUCAUGAUGUGAUUACCAAUACACAAAUUUUAAUUUGGGUGUAAUAAUCUUUUAGCUGUCAAUUUUUUUAAUUAUUCAAAAUAAUUGUGUCUGUUGUGCUUUUAAAAAAAAAUAAGAAAAUGGCAAAAUCGAAGCUGUGGAUUCCUGUGGGCUUUGACCAGUUCUUGCAAUUGUAGUCAUUUUUUGUGCUAAUUUGCAACUCUCAAGCGACACCUGAAAAAUUUUUAAGUUUCGCUUUAUUAUUGUGAAAUAAUUUUUGUCUUCAAAACUUUGUUUCAUUUUUUAAACGUAAAUAUUUCUGUUUUCUUAUCUUCUUUAAUUAAUCAUAUUAUUAUUUACCACCUUUCCUUCUUUUAUCCCCCAUUAGUACGAUUAUUACCAUAAUUUCAAUCAAAUUUAGGGAUGGUCCAACUGAGUUGAAGUUGAUAAUUUACUAGUUUUCAUUUUCUUCCCCGACGGUAAGGUCAUCUUCAAGGUCUAAUUUCGUUCAAUUUACUUCUCCCUUGCGUGUGUAUAAGUAGAAUCCAGUUACGUGAAUUUCCCACAACUUCUCCAUUUUCGAUACCUGUAAAACAAGAAAAAAGAAGAAAAUUAAGAAUAAAACUAUCAACUGUAAAUCAAAACCUAAAUUAAAAGACAAAACAAAAUUAUGAAAAAAAAAAAAAAAAAAAAAGAAAUACAGACGGAAGAAAGAAAAAGAACGGGACGAGUCAAAACGGGAAAAGUGGAAAAAGAUCAAACAGAAGAAACGGCUGAAAUGGAAAGCGGGAAAUGUCAAACCAAACGGAACACCAAAAAGAAAAAAGAACUGCGCUGGAAUGGAAUGGUGUUUGGAGAACAAAACAAAUGGAAGAAAUAAUACUUGAAACCAAUCAACACUGAGAUCUGGCCUGGAUUGUCAGAUUAGAGUUAAUUUGAUUAGAUUAGAUAUUUUUAAGAGAUUUUAAGAGUUUUUGUUUUUGUCCAAAAGCUCCUCAAAUUUGCCAUUGGCUGCAAAUAUGUGUAUUUACACCAACAAAAUAUAUGAUAAUAUGUUCCUCGGAUUUUACGGUUUCGGUCACCCGGAGUACACUAAAAUUCAUUUCCGCCCCGAAUCCUUCGUUCAGAUUUCCAACUUCUUCGCCGCAAUCUGACUUCACCGCCACCGUCCGCGGCUUUACUCCAAAGUUCGAUCUCCAAUCACCGGAAAAUCUCGGAGACUUAACCAAAAAUCGUUAAAAGAUUACACAUACCGCAAAGGAAUCUUCAUUAAUCCUCGGCUUUUGACAUCACGGAGAGCCGGCUCGGCCUCGGCUGGAACGCUGCGCGGCGACGCUGCUGGUGAGAGGAAGGUCUAAUCAAAGCCGACAAAGCUCUCUUAACCAGAUCUCCUUCGACUCCUCCGAUUCUCACCAGCGAGUUCGUCAUAGCAGACCUACGCGCGUUGAGCCGAUUAUUAGGCGCGCAACUUGUCACCGCGUGCGAAUUAUUAAAACUCUUAUGAAGGCUGCAACGGAACGAUCCCGGGUGCGUCGUAGGGGAACACAUGCAAGUCCGCUUCGGCUGUUUACUCUGUAAAUUCUUCAACACCUCGUUGUUUCUACGGACGGUAGUAAUCGAACGGUUGGGCGAGAUCGGGGACGGUUAUCGAGCCGAGAAUCGCACGGACGGCGCGGAUGGAGAGUGCGUUGGUAGAGAGAUUGACACCGUGGUGGAGAGAUGAAUCUGUGUUGAUUUAAAGAAAGUUAGAGAGCGUGAAGAAAAGCUUGAACCUUUGAAUAAGCGAAGCCCGAAGAAGAAGAUGGAUGGAGGACGUGUGAGUGGUAGGUGAGAAACUGAAACCGGGCCAGAAAGUGCAGAGAGAGUCGCGAGAACCGGGACCGCUCGAUUUUCUAGAGAUUUCGCCAUUGUUUUUUUUUUUUUUGGCAGAAGAGAGAGAAAGAAAGUUAUGAGAUUUUUUUUUUGAAUUUCUAAAAAGCCGCGUGUGGCUGUUUAGUUGGGCAAACCUAGCUUUACUCGAGCCACGUAUUUAUAGGGUGAGGGGAGGGGUCUGGCCGUCUGGGUUUUGGAAAUUUCGCGAUAUUUUCAAAGUUGGGCUUUUUAGUUCUUGGUUUUGCGAUUGUGCCCCUAACUUUUUUUAUUUAUUUUUCUACCCGUGGAAUUAUUAUUCUUUGCGGCUGUACACGUCAUUGUUAUUUCCUUAUUUUCCCAUUGCUUUUCUUAUGAUAUUUCUAUUUUCCUUUUGAUUAAUUACAAUUUAUAAUAAAUAUAAAGAAGGUUGGGAAAUUAUUUAAUGCAUAAAAUAUUUCAUAAAAUUAAAUGAAUUUGCAAUAGCUAAGAAUAUUUAACUUGUUUUUGAAUUUAAAGUAAUUUUAUUCAUUCAAAAAUGAAUUAAAAUGCAUUUAAAAGAAUGGACCACUUUAUUGUCAUUUUAAUGCUCAACAAUCUAAUUAUAUCAAAAAAAGACAUUACAAUAUGGUAUAUUUGAUAGCAUUUUAAUUGAACUGUGCAUAACAUGAUGUUUACCUAAUUGUAAUCAAGUAUAACUUGAAAAUUACUGCAAAUGAUAAGGCUUUCUUCAACUAUGUGGAGAUAAUGAGGAGGCUCAACUUUUUAAUUUCAAAUUAAAUGUUACCAUGGUUCGAGUUGCUUACCUAUUACUUAGGUCUUGAAUAAGAUCUUUUAGAUUUAUGAUCGAUUUUACUCUUGAUAUAUAUUAUUAUAAUGAUAUAUAAUUAUUUUUAUUUAAGUUUCAUUCAAAAUAUAGAUAUAUUUUAAUAUUAAUUAAUUAGUAGUUGUCAGCCGCAUUUUAUCAUAGUUGUUGAUUUUUUGAGUUUGGUGAUUGAAUGCUUUAUGAAGGAGCUAGCAAAAUGGUUAAUUUAGAUGUUGGAGUGAUCUAUUAUAAAGAAUAAUCAGCGAGCGUCAGAGGUAAGAAUUUAGAGUAUGUUCUGAUAUUCAAAUCAGCAAAGAUGAAAAAAAGGAAAAUUAGAAAGAUGGAAGAGAACAAGGUAAUGAAGUAUUUAGACAUAAGUAAAUAAAAUGAGAGUAAAAGAUUUACAUUUGAGAUAUAUAUGACUCAAUUUUAUUUUGUAUACACAUUUUGUGUUAAUGUGAUCAAUUAAUUUAUAUGAUAUUGAUUAAAUAGUGAACUUACUAAAGUAAUCGCUAAUAUAACAAAUACAAGAAUAUUGAUUAGGCAAUUAGGAUACAAUAAUAAUCACUUAAGAAAUUCCAAGACAAAUCUGGUGAUAAGAUGAAUGAGAGCCAUGGAGUGAUUGUCGUAUUCCCUUUUGGAAAAUAGUAGUAUUUAAGAAAAACAAAAAUAAAAACAAGAGAAAAAACAAAGGCAGCCAAGCCUAAUUAUUUUGGUCACACACCGAAAGCACUUUGUCAAAGCCAACUUUAGGUAUUUCGGAUCAAUGAUUCAUUUCCUACUCAGAAGAUUCUCAACUUUUCAGCAAAAUAACAAUGAAAGACACGUAGCGCCAUGUGGAAAGGUCGGUUUGACAAAGUCAAUAUCGAACAAAACCAAAGUAAUUCAAAUUGUUUGGGGCAUGCAAAGACGUGUUACCCACACUGUUGUUAUGGUUAAGUUUUUAGAAUAUUUGAUUUGAUUGUUAUACCAAUUUUAAUUCCAUUCUCGUGGAAAGAUUUAGUUGGAUUUAGGUUCAACUUCUCAACUCCCAAAAACCAAUUACAAAUUGUAUGAUUAAUUUUAUCAUACUUCAGUUGUUAGGCUACAAUACCCAAAUUAAUACUUCGAUUGUUAUUAUAAAAAAAAAAAAAAUCGUUGCAGAAGGUUAAACAAUCUUGUAAUUUGAUGAUAUAAUCUGGUGUUAUAAUAUUAAAUUAUUAAUUUUAAUUAUUAUAUUAAAUCAUUAAUAAUAUCAAAUAUCUUAUAAAGAAUUCAAAUUUACAACGAAAUCCUUUAUUAUUUAGUAAACGAUUUUCAUUUGAUGUUUAAAACAGUAAUAGUAAUGAUUUAAAAAUGGAAUGGUAGGCGUUUUUAACAUUAUUAUUAACAUUUAAACAGCUUGGAUUUAAUAUUUACAAAAAUAACAAUUAAAGCAAACCCUUUUGGUGAUUUCUGUGUAGCCCCAAUCUUCUGGUUCAAGGAAUGAGAAUCCACCAUUAUCGCCAAGCAAUGUGUUUUUUAAUAUUACACAAUGACCCAAAGGGCCGUAUUUGUUAAAUAUAAUAGCUGCAAAAUUGAUUUAUUAGUGGAGGAGAGAAGAGAUUAGGAUCUCCUCUGAUUCUCAGAAAAAAAAAAUGGAGAAACCCUAAUUUAUAUUCAAAUUUUUUUUCAAUAAACAUACAAUUCAUGAUAGAAGUUUCACUAAGUUUUUAGUCCUUUAGGAUCCCCCCACCCAUAUUUUUUUUUUGCAAUUUUUUCAAUCACAACUGGCCAAUAAAAUUUUCCUUUUUCCUUUUCUAAUUAAGAAAGAAAACAGGAUUAAAAUGAGUAUUUAACUUUCAUAAAACAACCCUCUCGAAAUUUCUAGUAUAUAUGAAUUUCUACACAAAAGGGCUCCACUUCCUUCAAUUUCAUUACAAAGUAUUAGUAGUUGGUAUAGAAAUAUAAAGAAAGGUUCCAGGCAGUUGUAGCACAAGUGACUUUUGCCCCCAGACCCACGAAAAUUGAAUGAAAGUAAGACGCGAAGGAAUCAAAAAAGUGUUAUGAGAUUGGCCGACGCCAGCCAAUGAGACCACACUACCCAAUCAGCUAGCCACCUCCUUUGGACUCAUUUGUUCUCAACACUUGACAAACUUUUUAAUUAAAGAAUUUAACAUUUUUCAACAUACACUAAAAGUUAAAAAAUUUGAGUUUAAAUUUAAUUCAAUUUAUUUAUAUAAUUAUUUUUAAAACAUAAUAUUCAAUAAAUUUGAAUUUCAAAUUUCAAAAAAAAAAAUUUAUUUCAUUUUUAGAUUGUAAUUUUUUAUAAAAAAUUAAAAAAAUUUGAUCAACAAUCUCAAACUCUCUCUCUCUUUCUCCCUCUCUUUAGUUUCCUUUCUAGUUUAAUUUCCAUUCCCUCUCAAUUAUUCUCCUCCAAAUAUCAGAAUUUUAAACCAAACGCGUUUAGAAUAAUAUAAAUAAAAUUGGAAGAUUCUUAUGUCAUAGACUAUGAUUAUAUUAAUCAAUAAAAUUAAUUAAUCAAGUUUGAAGGUACUGAUUAAGAUGGCUUUGAUCAUAACCUUUUUUUGGCACAACCUUUAAUUGUUCAUGUCUAUAAUUAUUUAUUUGGUUAUCUUUGAUUACAUCAUUGAUUUGUUUGUUUUUUAAUUUUACCAAAGCUUGUUUCCGCUAUGGAUUUCAUCACUUAGAAAACUUAAUCACAUGAAUGAAUAAUGAUCAUGUGAUCAAGUAGGUAGACAACCAAACUCAUAUUCAAGAUAUAUUCAUUGUCUUUUUUCUUAUUGUUUGCCACCCCUUUUGGUUUCGAAUUCUUCCUCAGCCUUCCAUUUUUAUUAUUUGAUUGAACUAGAGAAAGUGGGAAAGUUCAGUUAAUAUCUGAAUAUUUUCACGACAAUCUAUUGUCCAAUUGAGAAAGAAAAGUUUGGAAAAAUUGAAGACAACAAUGUAAAAAAUGUUUAAUAUAUAAUAGAAUUUUGAAUUUAAUAUAAUUCAAUUGAUUCAUAUAAUUAUUUUAAAGAAAUUAUGUUUAAUAAUUUUAAAUUUUAAUACAGACAAUUUUUUUUUAUUAUUUUUGAAUUACAAUUUCUUUUAUAUUAAAAAAAUAAUAAAAGUUAUUUUUUUCUUUAACACUUGAAAUAACCUGAAUGGGGGAAUGGUCUGAAUCCCUAUAAUAUCAACUCCUCCAUGUGCAAUGACCUUUGUUUUGUUUAUAUAUGGCAGUUAAGAUAGUUGUGCUUCCACGCAAAUAUAUGGCUCAAUGGCCUCCAAUUUGUUGUGUGGACUUUUCGGCUUUGAAAACUUCGUAUUCAAAAACAAAUUAAUAAAUUUGAUUCACUUGUUGGUUUGUAUUCUUUUUUUCACAUUAAAAGCAUAUUACAUAUAAUUAUUAUAUUAUAAUUAAUCAAUUAUAAUUCAUAAAUAGAUGAAAUUUAUAAUUGUUUAUUUUCAUGGAAUAAUUAUAAUAAAAAAUUUGCAACUGAAAUGCUCCACAUGGUGUGGAAGCCCACAGGUUCCGAAGCCAAGAGCCAACCGUUUUUAUUGAUUGAUUCCCGUUCCAACCGGUCAAAAGUCAAAGCUUUGUUUGAAGCAUACGAUUUCUUACCAGCUGGUUGGCUUUGGAGUGGAUGAUAAACAAUAUAGCAGAUAGAUCAUAUUUUCAAAACCCAUAAUUUUAUUUGUACCGAAGUUAAAUUUGCAUUACUGUAUUUCACAUUGUUUCAACCAAUAUGCACAAAAUUGAAGGAAAUUUAUCAAGUAAAAACAAUAAGUUUAUUAAAAAUUAAAGUUUUAAGUAUUUAUAGAAAAAGUUAAUUUGAUUCAUUGAACCCUAAAUUGACAGUGUAAAAAAAAAGUAUUUUAAUUAAAUGGAAUAAUUUUGAAAAAUAUUCAAGAUAAGUUGAAUUUACAUAUCAUUGUAUCUUUAACUUCAAAUUAAAGCUUCUAAGCCAUCAAAGAAGCCAAAAAAAGAANNNNNNNNNNNNNNNNNNNNNNNNNNNNNNNNNNNNNNNNNNNNNNNNNNNNNNNNNNNNNNNNNNNNNNNNNNNNNNNNNNNNNNNNNNNNNNNNNNNNNNNNNNNNNNNNNNNNNNNNNNNNNNNNNNNNNNNNNNNNNNNNNNNNNNNNNNNNNNNNNNNNNNNNNNNNNNNNNNNNNNNNNNNNNNNNNNNNNNNNNNNNNNNNNNNNNNNNNNNNNNNNNNNNNNNNNNNNNNNNNNNNNNNNNNNNNNNNNNNNNNNNNNNNNNNNNNNNNNNNNNNNNNNNNNNNNNNNNNNNNNNNNNNNNNNNNNNNNNNNNNNNNNNNNNNNNNNNNNNNNNNNNNNNNNNNNNNNNNNNNNNNNNNNNNNNNNNNNNNNNNNNNNNNNNNNNNNNNNNNNNNNNNNNNNNNNNNNNNNNNNNNNNNNNNNNNNNNNNNNNNNNNNNNNNNNNNNNNNNNNNNNNNNNNNNNNNNNNNNNNNNNNNNNNNNNNNNNNNNNNNNNNNNNNNNNNNNNNNNNNNNNNNNNNNNNNNNNNNNNNNNNNNNNNNNNNNNNNNNNNNNNNNNNNNNNNNNNNNNNNNNNNNNNNNNNNNNNNNNNNNNNNNNNNNNNNNNNNNNNNNNNNNNNNNNNNNNNNNNNNNNNNNNNNNNNNNNNNNNNNNNNNNNNNNNNNNNNNNNNNNNNNNNNNNNNNNNNNNNNNNNNNNNNNNNNNNNNNNNNNNNNNNNNNNNNNNNNNNNNNNNNNNNNNNNNNNNNNNNNNNNNNNNNNNNNNNNNNNNNNNNNNNNNNNNNNNNNNNNNNNNNNNNNNNNNNNNNNNNNNNNNNNNNNNNNNNNNNNNNNNNNNNNNNNNNNNNNNNNNNNNNNNNNNNNNNNNNNNNNNNNNNNNNNNNNNNNNNNNNNNNNNNNNNNNNNNNNNNNNNNNNNNNNNNNNNNNNNNNNNNNNNNNNNNNNNNNNNNNNNNNNNNNNNNNNNNNNNNNNNNNNNNNNNNNNNNNNNNNNUAUACUAUACUAGAGACUUAUUUUGGAGAACUAUUUUAUUGGUUGUCAUUUGCAACUAUUUUUUUGUCAUAACAUACUUCUUAAUUUUCAUAAUUUUUAACUUUCAUUGAUCAAAAUGGCAAAUUUUGACGAGUUUGAAAGAGUUGAUGUUAAAAGAUUCAUUUUUCCCUUCCAAUUUUAUUCAAGAUAUUAGAAUGUUAACUUCCUUUAAAAAUUUGUACAUGUAUUUUUGUGAGUUCAAUGGCAGCCUCAAUUUACAUGAUAAAUUAAAUAUUUUAAUUUUUUAUUUACUUACUCAGUACUAGUAUCAUUUUUUCGGUUAUCAUUUGUAAUUAUGUCUUUCAAUUCAAAACAUAAUUCGUAACUUUUAUUGAAUAGAAUGGAAAUAUUUGACAAGUUUGGAAGAGUUGAUAUUAGAAGAUUCAUCUCUUCCUUCCAACUUUAUUCAAGAUAUUGGAAUGUUGGCUUCUCUUAAAAAUUUGGAAGUGAAAGUUUGUGACGUCAACGGCAGCCUCAAUUUUCAUGGUAAAUUAGAUAUUUCAAAUUUGUAGUUAUAGAUCCAUUUUAUUUCUUUUUUUUUUUUUUUUGGAUGUCUCUUACCUCUAGCCAUUCAAAUAAGCAUUGCAUAUACUUAAAAUUACAAGAUUUUGUAAUGAAGGUAUCACAAUUAUGAGUCUAUGUAAAUUAGUAAUCAACAAAAAAAUAAAAAGCAAAAUAGUUUAGCAAUUAUAUAAAUAACAAGAAAAAAGGAAAUUUGUUGAUUUUAAGUCUUCGGUAACUUUGUUUCUUGUCAUUAACAAUAUUUAUCUGAAUUAAUUUAAGCUUUUUUGACAUAUUUUUUUACUUCUGUUUUCCUAAAAAAGCAUCUUGAUUUUCUUCCAAAAUAAACAUCUUGAUUAAUUGACUUAAUAGUAUGAAAUAAAUAUUUAUACAAUUGUUAAAGCUGUAAUUUAUGAUAGGAUGUGAGUAUAUUGUUAAUUGCAUACAUAUUAUGAUAUUAUCCCCCCCUUUUUUUUUACUUAAAAUAUAUCUUCAUAUGUUUCCGUAAAUAUAUUUAUUUGAAAUAGGUCCACUUCAUUUGAAGAAUUUGGAAUCCUUGGUCAUACGGGACACUUCCCUGGAAAACAACUUUCUUCAAAAAAUUGGAGCAAUGCCUUCUCUCAAGAAUCUAGAAUUAUGGGACUGCGGACUCAAUGGCACCUUAUAUUCCCAAGGUUGAGAUUGAUAGACACCUUACCUUUGUUUUAAGUUCUCCUUAGUCCCACCAUCCUAUACUCAUGUUGUCCCUUUUGCAUUUGAAAUAUUCUCCCAUACAAAAUGUUACUCUUCAUAUAUUAUUCUUAUAUAAUAUUACCUUUUAUCAUAACUUUUAAAAAAGUAACGAAACCUACUAUGUUCUAAACAAACACCAGAUUUUUUAAAAUUUUCUUUAUGUAUUAUCUCUUUUCCUUUUGAUCUCUCUAAAUUUUAUGAAAUGUUAGUAAGUGACAAAAUAUAAGGGAUGGAGAGACUAAUUGUUUUUUUUUUUUUUUUUUUGUUCCAGCGCAUGGCACCUUCUUCAUUUAUUUAAUAUAAUGCUACUUUUGCAGGUUUUUGUGAAUUGACAAAUCUCCAAAACUUGGAUAUUAGAGACAAUAAUUUAUGGGGUAACUUGCCCGAGUGCUUCUCCAAUUUCACAUCGCUUGAAAGUUUGCUUCUUUAUUCCAAUCAAUUUUCUGGAAGUAUAUCUGCCCUUAAGAGUUUAACAUCCCUCCGAACGUUGGAUCUUUCAGACAAUUACUUUGAAAUCCCCAGCUCAUUAGGUCCCUUGUUCAACCUUUCAAAACUCCAUUCCAUCUUUGCAGACAACAAUACCAUAUAUGCUGAAACCGAGAUGCAUUCUUUGGCGCCAACAUUCCAACUGAAUAGGAUCAGCAUAUCUUGUUGUGGAGAUGUUGGAUCAUUUCCUCAAUUCCUUUAUCAUCAACAAGACUUGGUGUCUGUUGAUCUCUCUAACAUCUAUUUGAAAGGGGAAUUUCCAAAUUGGUUGUUGGAGAACAACACAAAUUUAACUACAUUAGUUCUCGUCAACAACUCUUUCCUGGGACCAUUUCAGUUACCUUUCCUUUCACAUACAGGGUUAUCACGUUUGGAUAUCUCCAAAAAUUCCUUCUAUGGCAACAUUCCAAAUGAAAUUGGAGCAAAACUGCCAUCAUUAUGGUUUCUGAACAUGUCAAAAAAUCAUUUUGGCGGUAGCAUUCCAGUUUCAAUCGGAGAUAUGAAAUCUCUACGAACCUUGGACUUGUCUGACAACAAAUUGAGUGGAGGAUUACCGGAGCCCUUGGCAAUAGGCUGCUCCUCAUUAAGUGUUCUUAUAUUGUCAAACAACAUAUUGCAUGGCCAGAUGUUCUCUUCAAAUUUUAACUUGACAAACUUGAGGCAGUUGCAAUUGGAUGGGAAUCUCUUUUCUGGAAGGAUCCCAGAUUGUUUGUCUAAUUGCUCCUCGUUGAUAAAAUUGGAUCUUAGCAAUAACCAACUUUUUGGUGAUAUACCAAGGUGGAUGGGGAAUUUGAGUUUGUACGAAAUUGCCAUGGCAAAAAAUCAUCUUGAAGGUCCAAUCCCCGAGGAGAUUUGCCAGCACAAUCUUGAAGUUCUGGAUCUUUCAGUGAACAAUAUCUCUGGCAAUCUACCGUCUUGCUUCAGCCAAUUACAUUUCAGUCAAAUCCAUUUAUCAAGAAACAAGCUACAAGGGCCACUCAUAAAUGAAUUUCUUAACAGCACUAUGGUAACAUUAGAUCUCAGCCAUAACCACUUAACUGGAAACAUUCCAAAUUGGAUCGGCAGUCUUUCUCGGUUGAGAUUUCUUCUCCUAAUAACAACCACUUUGAAGGUGAGAUUCCGGUUCAGUUAUGCAAGUUGAGCCACUUAAGCUUGAUUGAUCUUUCUAAUAACCAUCUUUCUGGUACAAUUCCUCCUUGCCUGAAGAUUACAACACUAAAUGAUAUAUCCCAAGAUUAUGUCCGUUUUAUCUUUACUGCUGAUAGAAAUAUGUCGAGUUCUAUCCCCAUUGAAGAGCAAAUAGAGUUCACAACAAAAAGCAUAUCCUACUUUUAUAAGGGAAAAGUCCUCACUUACCUUUCUGGAAUUGAUCUCUCUUGCAACAAGUUGAUUGGAAAGAUUACUCACACAUUCAAAAACAUCCAAAAUAUCCAAACAUUGAAUUUGUCUUUCAACAGUUUGACAGGACCAAUCCCGCCAGCGAUUUCUGAACUCAAGCAAAUUGAGAGUCUCGAUCUUUCUCACAACAACUUGAGCGGAAAAAUCCCUUCUCAGCUUGUGGGGUUAAAUUACUUGUCAUUUUUCAGUGUGGCAUACAACAAUUUAUCUGGAAGAACUCCUGAAAGGACUGCACAAUUUGCAACAUUUGAAGAGAGUAGCUACCUGGGAAAUCAUUUUCUUUGUGGCGCACCACUGCCAAACUGCUCAACAGGACCAUCAUCAUCAAUGUCAAAGGCUUCAACCGACAAUGGUUCAAUUGACAUGAAUGUCUUUUAUGUAAGUUUUGUUGUGUCUUACUUUAUGGUGCUACUGAGUAUAGCCUGUGUGCUCUACAUUAAUCCUUAUUGGAGAAGAGCAUGGUUCUAUCAUAUAGAAGCAGGCAUCACUUCCUGCUACUAUUUUGUGGUAGACAAUGUUCUUCCUAAACGAUUCUAUUGUGGAAAUAUGUAGCCAAGACAUGUUCAGUUGUUCACCUUUCCUCUUUGUUAAUGACUCUUUACUUAAUCUAUUGGUCUGUCAUAAAGGAUUCUAUAGUAACUGAAAAGCAAACAGGUUUACAUCAUAUAUCCAAGACAUCAAUUUUUUGCAUUAGCCACCACCAUAAGGGCAAACCUACAUCAUACAGGAUAUGUUUUGAUCGAGAAACAUUACAGCCCAACACCAAAUAACAGCCUGACUGAUGGCUGCAACCCCAGUUGACCCAAUCAAACCCCAACAACCAACAUUGCCCACCAAAAUACCCGUUUAGCCCAAGAAGACUAUCCAAUCAAUCUAGAAUCAAGAGCAUCUCCAACCAAGGGAAAUUCAGUUUAAAACAUUAUUUUCUCCAUAAAAAUGUAAACUCGCAUAUAAUAUAUAUAUACAUAUAUAUAUAUAUAUAUCAUAGUAAAUGAAUUAAGUUUGUAAAUUCUGCAGCAUGAAACAAUAUGAUUCUUUGAUUAGUUAACAAAUUUAGGACAAGAUGAAGUGAUGAAUUUAUAAUGCAACAUACCAAUUGGAUGCCAAGAAACAUAAAUAGAAACAAUAAAACAGAUACAAUUUCCAAUGAUCACAAUUUUAUAUUCCCAAUAGAUAAGUUACCGGAAUAAUAGGCGAUCAAAGUAGGAAAAAUUUCAUCCCCAAACACAUUUGAUAGAACAUCAUGACCUGUUGCACUGCAUUUUCAUAAGUUCCAUAUGUUGAAUGAUUCAUCAUCCUGUACCAAAAUAAUUAUUUAGGGUAAAAUCUCACUAGAAAACGUUUCUUUCUAAAACUAACAGAAUAGAACUUAGCUAUAUUAGUUCACUCUGAUUGACUGGCAAAGAAAAAAAUACUUGCAUCAUCUUUUGCAUCAUCAGAACCAGGAAAUCGUGAUGUAUGGAAUCAAGGUUUUACAUCUUGAAGAGGAAAUAUAAUGAGAGAAUCUAUUAGAAACCACAUACAGAAAAAUAAAGUGCUGACAUGAGACGAAUUACACAAAAGUAAGAGCACAAUGAUGAAUAAAAUUACAAUGACCUGAUGUCUGUCUAGAAGAGACUUAUCUUCCUACAAAAAUGAAUUGACUCCAAAUAAACUAUCAAUUAUAAUUGCCAAUUCAGAUAACCACAAAGCAGAAGUUGAAAAGACAUAACCUCAGCAUCAACAAGUGACUUAUCGGUCAUCAGCAUAAACCAUGUUUGACAACAAAAUCUAAAAAAAAGUAACAGAUACAUGAAAUUAAGAACAUAGGUGUUGUAAAUGGCUCUAAAAAAAAGAAAAAAGAAACUAACAAGAUAGAACCCUGCAAAGUAUUAGCCUACUGAAUUAGAUGUGGUAGAUAUUCUCUCAAAUUCUCAAGUAACUGUGCAUUGGAAUAUACAGACCUGCCAAUCAAGUUCAACAUUGAUUCUUAAACAUUAGAUCUGGGGAGGGGGAGGACUAGUAAAGUUAAAUGCACGGCCUUCAUUCCUUUCUAUGCCUAGAUUCAAGAAAAUGAAUCUACAUUUUUAACAGAAAGGAUUAACAAUAUAAUGGCUAUAAUAUUAAAAUUCUUGAUAACUACGGUUUGAUAGCACAUAGAAGCAGAGGCGGACGCAGAGGGGCAAGCACAGCUCCAACACUUCUGACAUAUUUAACAAACAUUUUAUGUGAUCAAGCAAAGAAGACUAAGAAAAAAAAAAGGCUAAAUUCAAAAGAUAUUGCAUUCUGCCAAAAACUAUUAGUUUGAAGCAUGCCAAUCUGCAUAAGCUAUCAAAAAUAUGGUUUUAAAAGACAUCUGAGUCUACAUAUAAGACAUUCAGACAUGUAAUGCACAAAGAAGAAAGUUACCAAAAUUCACAUGCUUCAAGUGCCACUUCAUCAUUCAUCAAUGCCUUUAUUGACUUGCAACAUAUAUCCACUUACAUCUUCAAGUGUGGCUGUCAAAUAGUUACAAAAUCACAUCACAGAGUGUUAUGCAUAAAAAGAAACAAGUGUAUGACAUAGAUACUAAAAGAAGGUAACACUUCAUGCUACUAAAAGAACUGCAAUAAGAAAAUGUAAGAAAACUAAAAUGUAACAAACAAAAGAUACCCACCUCCAGAAAAGAUGGGCGGACUUCAAUUAAGCUGACCAAAUGCUACACAACCUGAUCAUUAGGCAAAAAACAUUGAUCUAAAAAUGAUCAAGCUUAAAAGAAACAAGAUAACUUCAACAAUUCAUUCACUAACUCAAAAUACUAAAAUUUUGUAGGAGACAAACAGCUAUUAUUGUAGUAUUCUACUUAAUACAUAUAUUCGCAGUGUCCAGUGAGUUUAUAAUCUCAUAAUAGAAAAAAAACUAGAACCAUUAAUAUCCACGACUAGAUAAAAAACAUGUUUAAUUCAAAUGAAUAAAACAAUUGUUGAAAUAUAUAAGGAUUUAAUCCAAUAUACAGCAAGUAGUGCAGCAAGUGUAUAACAACCUCUUCAAGCAUUGCAAAAGCCGAACAAGCAGCCUCUUGCACCCACUUGUUAGUAUCCAAUAUUCUCAGCAGGAGACCCAUAAGAGCCGUAUGUAAUCAAUAGGACACCGAACAGCUCAACCAAAAAAAAAAAAAGGAAAAUUUUUUAUGUUAACUCUUAUUAAAAGUUAACAGAAACAGUUCUUUUCAUAGUAUUCUAGUUAAAACAUAUAUUAGCAAUGCCCAGCAAUUUUAUGGUCUAGUGACAGAAAAAACCCAAGAACCAUUAACAUCAAGGACUAGAGAAAAAAAUGUCUAAUUCUAAUACUACAUCUUCUAAAUCAAUGCUGAAACUGGAAAGUCAGAAAUGAAAAAUGAUUCAUACCAAGCUUUUAUAAACUUGAAGUUACAGUAAAUUACAAGCAAAAUUAGGAAAUACUUACAGCAGAUUUGAGUAUUCCAAGCAAACAACAGAAUUAUAAUAAAAAAACAAGAGUACAAGAAGAAAACAAGAAACUGUUGACCAAUUUCAGCACUUCUGCGGCAAGGUCAUAAGCAAGGACAAACAAACCUGGAAGGUAUUUAUCCGUGGAUGUACACCAAGCCUUCAAUAAAUUAAUGUAUAACAUCAAAAAGUAUCAGAACGACAUCCAUUAAAAGUAAGAAUAUAAACCUUAAUGUAUUGGUUUACAGAACCCAAUUAAAGCUUUCUCAGAGAAGCAACUCAACAAACUGCAUAUAGAAAAGAAACAUAAUUAGCAACUUUUUUUUUUUUUGAGAUAUUAGCAAUUUAUAUUUUGAUAAAGCAGCAUACAAAAUAAAAAAUAUAGUAAUAGGGUUUCAUAAGUCAUAAUUGCAACAGUAAAAAGAGCUUAUUAUAAUGUACAGGCCAGCCAAAAAAACCUGAUGUUAGACAAAAACACGUUCAUAAGCUAGCGUACACAAUUAUUUCCAAACUUGGUGCAACCUCUUCAGCAGCCUCAAAUGAAUAAAACAAUUGUUGAAAUCUAUCAGAAUUUAACCUGAAUUACAACGUGCAGCAAGUUUAUAAUAACCUCUUCAAGCAUUGCAAAAGCCAGUCAAACAGCCUCUUUUACCCACUUGUUAGCAUCCAAUAUUCUUCGCAGCAUACCCAUAAGAACAGCAUCAAAUUGCUCAUAGCCUUUCUGAUGCCCACUAGACUGAUAUAAAGGAAACACGAGAGCUCUCAACUACAAAAUCCAAUGCAUAGACAAAACAACAAAAAGUACUUUAGGAGUGCUAUGUGCCAAAAACAGAAAAUAAAAGGCAUAAGAUGCAAAAAUGGUCAUGGUGGUUAUAUAUAUUUAUUAGAUUAAAAAUAUAUAUUAACAGCCAAACAGCAUCAAACAGAAGGAAAAUAGGCUUGAGGAGAAACAACCAAUGGAGCAAUUUUAAUCCAUACCUGAACUGAAUCGAGAAAGUGUCCAAGAAGAAUUCUUCCGCAUGAUCUAAAAGGGGACUUAGAAAUGCCACAACAUGCAGACAUAAAUAUGACUUUUUUUUUUCAAAUUCUGCGGCAAGCAUGUCAAAGAAGAAUAAAGUAAAAGCAAUGCAAUAGCAAAAAUAAAAAAUUUAAGAGCAUAAAUUGAGUUAAGGAAAACCGAUGACUGUUAUAUAUGCACCAUUUAUUCUUCACCUUGUAAUCUGCCUCUAAACUUUGUGUACCGGUUAAAAACAACAAGAAUUACCUCGGACAAAUGAGAAUAAAGACCAGUAACGCAACCUUCACCAGUUGCACCAAGAGCCCAAACAGCAGCUUCCCUAUCUUUCGAGGCUUGUUCACCACUAGCAAAUAGGUAGGCCAGCAGAAAUUCACCACUAACAAUACCAAAAAUGCUGUUAAUCCAAUAAAUAUACAAUCUUUGCAAAUUCUAUUACAGAAUUAUUAAACCUAUAGUCACCAAAUUCAAAUAUUCUAUAGAGAAACACAAUCCAAUAAAAAGAAAUUUCAUUAAAGAAAUAAAAACCGUACAAUCAAAUCAAUACCCAAAAUCCUUUUCCUCAAAAAAAAAAAAAACGAAAAUCCGGAAAAGAAAAUUCUACUAAACUAGUUACUGAGAAAACAAACGGAGAGAGGAAAAGAAGCAAACCUCAGCUCGAGAAAGGAUAAAAACGAGAUAGUUGUUGAAAUCAGGGAACUCAGAGUAGUGCUGAAGCUGUUGCCAAAUCUGAGACUAUCACUAUCAGCCGAAGAAGAAAGCGAAAUCUGCUGCUCCAGUAGUCCGCCGAUCUCCUUCAACAAUUCUUCGAUUUCAUUUCUGGUUUUAGAUUAAUUUUCAGAGAGAAAAAAGAAUAUGGGUUUUUCCUCUCUUUUUUGACAAAGUUCAAAGAUUUCGGUAGGCAAACAGGCAAAUGUGACAAGAAAAAGAGAAGAAUAUUUGUUGGAGAGUUUGCUUAGGAGACAAAAAAUAGUUUUUUUUUUUGGAGGAAUGACAAAAGAAAGAAAUACGAAGAAAAUAAAAACAGUAAAAAUUAAUCGUCUUGGGUUUCAAAUUUUGAAUCUGGAUCCGAUAUAUAUAGACGGCAUCAGCCGACAUAGUCCGCGUAUUACCCGUUAGAGCCCCAACCUUUUUUGGUUGGGCUUGAGGCUCAAUAAGCCCAAAUUAAACCCUAUGGUUUAAGUAGUUCUGAUGAAACUGAUCCUUGGUCCAUUCGUCGCACUUUGACAUGAAAUUGUUACUCCAGAUAAGGUUGAAGCCUCAUAUUAUGGUCCACGUCCGGUAAUUAAUUUUCCUUGGCAAAACCAAAUCCUUAAUUAUUACUGUUUUUUUUUUUGUUCUUUUACCCUGUGAUAAACUGAAAAACUUAUCACAAAAAAAUUUACUGUUAGCAUGGUAAAUUCAUCAUAUUGCCAGGUAAAAAGCCCAAGAUUUGAAGAAGGCAUCUAUCUCAGGCUACUGGAAGACAAUUGACUUGCUUCAUUCUAUUACAACACUAGGUUUAUUAUUUUUUACCUGAUUGAUAUACAAGCUGAAUUUAUUAUUUAGUUGCAAAUAAUUUAGAGAUUGCUGUUGCUUACCUGAUUGAUUUGUUAUUUCUAGCUGCAAGUUUCUCAUUUUGAUUUCUAGUUUUGAAGAAAUAGAUUUUUGCACUGGAUUGAGGAACAUAGACUCUCUCGUUGUACUAUAUGUUAUUGAGGAUUGAGGAUUUAUUUUCAGCUUUUGCUUCCAUUUCAUCAAACAUUCAAACAUGUAAUUCUGCUUACAUGCUUGUGAUUGAGACCAUACCCUGAAACAAGUUACUCAGAUUGAGUGUAACUCACAGUCAAACCUCUUCCCCUCUGGUUUUUGCCUUCUGUUUUGAAUCUCCAGAUGAAAACUUGGAAGACAAUGUGCAGAAAAUAGUUAAUUAACAUAAAAUUUAUAUGUACAAAAUUUGUUUGUUUUUGAAACAAGAAAAGAGGUAAUGUCAAAUUCAGCAGCCAAACAUAUUUACAAUCACCUGUCAUUGACUGUCCAUAUAAUUAGCACAAUUACCCUGACCCCAUUAGUAAGGCAGCCUUUCACGUUUUAACAUAUAUUUAUUGAAUUGUUGAGAGAGCUAUCUCCAGGUGAUAGCAGCUAUUUACAGCAUAUGUUACAGUUGCCCCAGCAAUAUUAUUCUGGUCGAAAGCUGACAAGAUUGGGAAGGGCAGUUGACUGGAGCUUCUUAAUUUCAGAGGCAGUUACCUUGCAGGAUUCCAAAGAUAGCGACCGUAAAUUCUUUAGAGGCUUUAAAUACAGCAAACCAUCAUUAGUUAUGUAAGAAUUUGAAACAUUUAAUGACACCAAUGCGGUCAGGCCUGCAUUUACACCAGAAAAUGAAAAUCCAUGAUUAGAAGAUCUCACUGACUUCAUCAGAGCACAGACAGAUGGAAGCCAUGGACUAGAAUACUUUCACAUUCAGAAGCCAUUAUUAGAAGGCCCCAAAUAAGCUCUCAAUUCACCAGUUUUACUGACUGCCCGUUCAUCUUUGCGUGUUUAGACAUUUCCUGGACCAACUAAUCAUACAUGACCAAGUUACUAGACAGUAGCAAAAGUACUGCAAAUCACUGGUCCUGCAGCAGAAUGCCAAGCGGGACAAUUGCCAGAUGAGAUAAUCUGACACUAGAGAUACAAGUAGCUGUCUUAUAUAUGUCUCUGUAUCAUUUUCUAUACAAGCAUAGCAAGGUUUGUUCUAUUCAAGAAUUGCACUAACAAUGGCCAAAAAGGAGAAAAAAAAGAAGCUAAAUAAACACCAUAAAACCAUGAGGAAUAAAAGCAAAACUUACCUGAAAUCAGUUCCAAGGAUUUGUUUGUCAGGUUGCAGUUUUGUGAAAGGUUCAAUAGCGUUAAAGAGGUAAGAUCUUUGAUAUUUUUCACCCCAGCAUCAGUUAAACCACCUCCACAUAUUUCAAGGGAUUGGAGGUUCUUGAAGCCUGUUUAGCAUGAAAACAAGCAGGUGCAAGAACAUUUAACACAAAAUUAGAACAUGUAAAACAAAAUUCUUGAGAAAAGUUUACAAUGAAAAUGAGAUUAUGCCAAACUCAAUAUUAGGCCUAUUGAUGAAGACCAUAACAACCUUUUAAUAAACAUGAUUCUAAAAGUUCUCAUGAGCCUACUGAUUAUCCUACCAUUGGAGAUAUAAAUACACCUCAAUAAAUCAACUAAAAGGGACCUUAUAUUUCUCAAAGUUACUCCUGAACUUCCUCAAGUAUGUAUGUCCAAACUAUCCAGUCUUCAAGGCAAAGAGCAAACCAAAACAAUCAAGUUUUUCAAACAAACAAAAAGAAAACAUCAAAGGUUAAAAGCUAUAAUAAAACUUGAAUAUGACAAAAUGAUAGAUUCAAGUUUUUCAAACAAGAAAAAUGGUCCAUUAAGCAACUUGCAAUUUUAAUUACUUAAGCAAUGUCAAUAUUUUUGACAUACAUCGCAAAUAAUUUGUUCCAGUGUCCGAAAUCCUAGCCCCAAAAAGAUCCAGAUGCAUCAGUCCAGUCAAACCUGCAUCAGCAAAAUCAGAAAUGUGAUGACUUCAUACAUCCUUAAAACAUUACACAAUGAAGAAAAAUAGAGAAGUGUGAAUAAAAUAUUGACAAUGGAGCAGCAAUUUGGUGCCCACUUAGACUUAGCUUUUGGAAAAUGAAUUAUGUCACUACAGACAUCUUGGUGCAGCAAUAAUUGAUAUAAGAUUCUUAAAACGGAAGAAUACACUAGACCUGAAUGGUGAAUAACACUAUGAAACAGGUUUCAAUAUACAGCUAUACACCAAUAGCCACGGAUGAAAAUAAGGUAAGAAAUUUGCCAUCUUAACACAAGAAAUGAAUUAUCCAGUCCAUGGAUUUUUAAGUUAUUAUUUAUUUACUUUCAUGUAAUGUCAAUAAUGAAUCAGAGUUCUCUGAUCUGUUCAAAAAUUAUUUAUUUGCUUUCAAAGAUUUCUCCAUCUAGAGACACAAUGUUUUUAUAUAAGGAAACAUUCAUAGCUGAAAGCUCAGCAAAAUUUAUGACUCCAAACCUGGCUAUCCUGUAACAAUCUAAGGCAAGGAAAAAGGGGUCGACAACCUACAUUUCACAGUGGUCACCUUGUAAAACACAAAAAUCAAGGAAAAAUAUAGCUCCAAAUUUCUUCACUCCACAAAGACAGCAAAGAGACUUCAACCAAAAGAUACAACCAUAAGAUUUCAAAAAGCCAUAAAUAGGAUCAAAGGCACACCAGAAUGUCUCCAACUUAGAUGCACAAAGUUAGAAGAAUGGUACAAAGAAAUAAGUGAAAGUACUAACUUGUCAGAGCCAACAGCCCAGCAUCUGUAAUUUGGCGAGCAUCCAGAUUAAGUGACUUAAGAGCAGUCAAUCCAGACAACUUUUGUAAACCACUAUCAGUCACUAAACUGAAUGAUAAAUUCAAGGUCUCCAGAUGUGUCAAUCCUAAUAUAACAGAACCAAGUCAGCAUCAUGCAUUUAACAUUAUAAUGCACUGAAAAUUUCAGAAAAAAUUGAAACCAAGAACAUAUAAUUUAAUAAAGAACCAUGUGGAAAAGGGCAAGGAUCAUAAUAGAUGGUUUAUAACACCACAACCCUAAUCUUAAAGAUUUGUUGCUUUGCCUUGUUAGGUCAUUGAUGAAGCAAACACUAUAACAAUAUGAUUGCCGUGAAUUCUGUAAUACAUUCUAUUCAUUAAUAUAUAUUCAGCCGACAUCCAGUGUCAAUGUGUAAGGCAUAAAUAAAAUUUCAGAAACAAAUGAAAAAACGUAUAUAUGGAAGAACUGAAAGUAUCAAAUGUUUCUCUUUUCUCCAACACAUCAUCACAUACAGAAGGAAACAGAAAUGGAGCAAUAAGUCAAAGAAAUCCAGGUAAAAUAACCAUUUCAAAUGUAUAUAACAACUGAAUUAAGAGAACUUGUUAACUCAAUAAAAAAGAUGAUUCCUCAAAGAAAAGCAACUUAACAAAAUCUGUGAACAAUUUUAUAGGUAAGAGCGGGGCUAACUGGAAGAUAGGUUUCUAAAAGUAUCACUGAAAUUGUGUCAUGCUUAUAGCUAAUAUCAAGGGUUCAAAACUGGUCAUAUCACACACAAGCAAGAUGAUAAGAGAUAGAUUACUAACCAGAGAGGUAUCGGAGCCCACUGCUUCCAACUUCAGUAUCAGACAACUCUAGACUUUUGAGGAGUGAAAGGCCUGAAGAGCAAAUCACAAGAUAAACUAGGUCAUGAAAAUGUUUAAAGCAAACAGAGAUCCUCCCAACAUAACAGUUUAACUAGCAGCAAAAUGAAACAUGAUAUAGAAACCUAUCAAAUUAGCAAGGCCUUCAUCACCAAUUUUACAUGAAUCUAAAUUCAGGCUCUCCAACUUUGUUAAUCCUGCAAAGAAAGAUAUACCAUAUCAAACAAACUUAUCACCAUUUCAAAUAAACAAGAGACCGGAAUCAAAUGUAAAAUAAACCAAAGGAUCAAUGGUCUCAUUUAUUCAAAUUCUUAUCAACAAUAAACUGCAAACAAGCAUGAGUACAUAAGGGCAAGCAUAAAAAAAUAUGGAAUCAGAAUGAAAAUUGUCCACUCUUUGGACCAAAGGUUCUUUAUUUCACAGUAGAACUGCGAGAAAAUUAUUAGGACGAGUAUCUUUUUUGAUAGUCAACCAAUCACAUACAGAAAAUGAACCAGAAAUCAGUUAUCAUAGCAUUAUCAGACUUUUUAAACCUUCAGUGAUGCAUUGAAACCACUAUCUGUAAGUGAAGGUCGCCUCAGACAAUCUUUGUGUCAAAAUUAUUAACUAUCAUCUUGUGUUCUCAAGUGAACAGCAUAAUAUUUGUCAAAAUUGAAAGCAUGAGGUUGCAAAUAUCAUUAUUAUAGUUAGAUCAUAACUUUUUUCUGAAUAAAGUCUGAAAUGUAGGCCUAUCUGUGCACCAAUUAGAAGAAAUGAGGCUUUGGAUUUAGGGGUGACCAAAGCUUCUAGAGGUAGACCACGAAAAACAUGGAUGCAAGUAAUAAGAGAUGAUAUUAGACUUAAGGAAGUAGAUGAAAAGGCUGUUUUUUAUAGAAAUGAGUGGUGCAAGAAAAUUCAAAACUAUGACGUAACAUGAUUCCUUUUUUUUGGCCUUUCAUACAACCGACUUCAAAGUUGUGGGAUAUAAGGCUUAGUUUUUUGUUGUUGUUGUUGUAGGUCUGAAAUACAAAUCAAUAGCCACUAACUUUAACAAUAGUAAGGUCUUACAAUUGUCAUGAUUUAUGGAAAGCAACGGUGCAAUUCACUGAGCUAACCUAGUAAAAUUCAUUAACUUGCACUGCCGUCUAGAAGUUGUUCAAUGCAAAGAAAGAAUGCAAAUGGUCCACUCCCAGUAAAAGUUAAACUAACGGACCACAAUGCAGUAACAAAGGGGAAAGAGAGAGAACCUUUUAGGUGCGCUAAACAUGCAUCUGUUAUAUUGUCAAAUGGCAGGUUCAAUACCUUCAAAUUCUUAAGUCCUGCAAAUGAGUGGUAAAUACUGUAAAUAUUACUAACUAUACUUAGCCAUGCAAUCGUUCUAUGUGAUUAUUCAAUACAACAAAGGGCUAAAAAAAUAUCAACUACAACUCACCAGAAAACUUGUCACAUCCAUCAUCAGUUAGGCCACAUCUUCCAAGAUUUAAGUAUGCCAAAGCAACAAGAGCUGCAGAUAGAAUAAAUAAUUUCUUUAAUGAACUGAACAUGAUAUAUGUUCUCUGGUAUUUAAUUGAAUAAACUAUUCCAAUCCCAAUCCCUGCUUCAUAGGCAGGAAAAAAUUACAAGAUAAUUGCAUAACAUAUGAAAAUUAUUAUACUUCCAGGAAAUUGAGUAAUAGCUCAAUGUAUUCACUUUACCAAACUCCAUGAACUUGUUAACAAUUCAUUGUUUGUUGCAAUAUGGUAUAGUUGAUCUUCUACUGCAUGAUAAUGCUAGAGAGUUUAUCCUCGUCCACAUAAUCUCCAAACUAUAAGACAUUACAUCCGCUAACCAAUUUGCCACACAAACCACACAUGGUUACGUUUGAAGGUACAACCAAUUUCAAUGUAUAGCAGCAAGUAAUUGUACAAUUAUAGGUAUCACUGAAAAGGCUACUAAUAAGAAAAUGCACCUGAGAUGGAAUCCAAGCAUGCAGCGGUAAGUUUACAUCCUUCCAGAUCCAACAUGAUAAGCUUGCGCAAACCUGCCAUGGACAAUAAUAUUAACACAUAACAUAGGUUAAAGUUGUUAAAUUCUUGAGGUCAACUGGUCUUAUUAAGAAGAUAGAUUAUUAGUUCUAAUAAGUACGUAACUGACACAACAGCAAGGAAGAUUAAGAUUUCAUUACUAGGAGACGAUGAAGAUGAUGACAUAAAAGGGAAAAACUCUGUCAUUUAAGGUGUUUAGCUGUGACUUCUGGCUUUGUUUGGAGCAGUAAUAACCUUAUGUUUGGGUAAAAAGACUUAAAAGGUUUUAGAAUCUAUUUAUUGUUUUAGUUUCUCAGCCUAUCUCCAUGCUUCUGCCUAUCCAAAAACUUUUCACUAUAACGUUUUCAGUUUUCUUCUGAUUGUAUAUAACUAAAGUUAAAUGACCGCCUAUAUCUGUUUCAAACAGGUUUGGAAGAACUAUACCUGUCAGGUGUCAUCCUCUGGGAUUUGUUCAACGCGUGGACGGCUGACCCCUCAAUUUUACACUCAGAUGUCAGCUGCAGUGAAUGUCAGUUAUGGUUUGUAUCGCUAUGGUCCAUUCCUGGUUAAUUUGCAAGACUGCACUUUUGUGCGUGAUACAUUCACAGAUAUCAGUCAUGAUUAUUGUCCUGGUCUGUGGCGCUAUAGUCAAUGGAUCUACAUUGGAUUAGUAAUUGUAUCUGCUGCUGUGAUGCUGUCAUUGAUCUUCUGGGUAAUCUAUGCAAGAGAGAGAAGGCACCGUGUUUAUACUAAACGGUACGAUGCUAGAUCGGAAGGCCUAUACAAGGGUGGAUAGGACACCAAGUCCAAUUAGCAGGUUGUUAAUUUGCUUGUAUAUUUUGAGUAACAUAGCUAAAUUUUGUACAUUAUGUUUGUUAUCCCUAGGCUUGAAUCUUUGUGCAAUGCAGUCUAUAGCAAUGCACAAGGAAUGACUUUCUUUUCCAUGAACCUUGACCAUUUUCUCUAAGUGUAAUGCAUCUCUCUCAUGAAGAACAGAAAAUUCUUUUGUUUUGUUAAUGUCAAGCUUCACCGACGGGCUAUAAACCACUGGUUCAUGGCAUGCAUGAAAAUUUUAAUUUAGGUUCUUUUGCUUGAUAUUUUUGUUCAUUUUUUUUCAAAAAAUAAAUAACCAAAACAUCAAAUUAAAUGGAACUUAGCUCUUCAGCUGUUAAGCAAUAAGGAUUGAGGUUGCUUUGAACUGAGUGGCUAGGCUCAGUGUUAAGGCCCAAAGAGACCCAGAGUUUAGUUCAUUCCUAUGGUGCAAAAACACAGGCUAUCUUAUCUGAAAGAGUGAUGGGACUUCAUCUUUCGGCUUUAAGAGUUUGUCCCAUUUUUCAGGUGCCUAGGAGGAGCAUCUUGCCCCGUAGCAUCUGCCACUGUCGGAUUCAUGUUGGUUGGAGAGGAAAACUUGCUUGUAACAUUUCAAUUCAGGAAUAUGCUUGUAACUCUUGUUGCAAGUUGAUUUUGUAUAUAAAUAUGUGAAAGAUUUCCUAAUACAAAAGUUAUUAUCAUAUUUCAACUAAUGACAACACAACAAGAAACAUCACCAUUUGACCAUUUCAUGUAUUCAUUACAAUCCCUUUCUCGCAAUUAUUUUUGUAUAAAAAAAUUAAUUAAAUUAGCUACACCUAGAUUUCCAUAGGUUGACCUAAAUAAGCAAGUUUAUAAGGUGAAAUUAAUUAGGGGGUAAAAUUAAGUUAGAUCCUGUCAAAAAAAAAAAAAGUGGCAGUCGGCAAGUAACUUUAUGAUAUACUUAUCUAAUGGACUACAGAUAGAUUGUAUGCUUGCCUUCAAUCAACAUCAGUAAGAGAAAGUUUGAUCAACUGCCAUAUCACUUUCUAUACACACAACCCACCAUGUAACUCUUUCAGUGAAAAUAAAAGUUGGUUCUUUUACAAGCUAAUCCAUGAGGAAAAUAUUAUAGGAGGUGACAAUUUUUUUCCUAAUAUUAUUUCUAAAAAAUAUAAAAACUAAUUGUGUUUCAAAAUUAAUAAAUUUUAUUGAUAAAUUUGACUCGCAUCUCUUUUGGUUUUAACUUUUCUCACAUAAUAACCCAACCAUGUAACUCUUUGAGUUUUGGAUCAUGAUGAUCAUAAACAAGCACAAUGCAUACUUAAAAAAAAAAUAAAAAAGAAGAAGAAGAAGAGGAAGAAAGAGCAGAAUUCAGACUUUUCUUCCUCUCCUUAUGGGUUUGGGAUUGUCAAGGAUUCUGGUGUUCUGAUAUGGGUUUUUUUUAUAUGCAUGUAGGUUGUUUUAUCAAUGGCAGAAGACAUCAUAAAUUAAACCCAUAUCACCACAUCUUCUGAAAUCAUCCCUCCAUCCCAUGAAAGUGUUUUUGUGACAUUCAACAUAUUCCUUUGUAAAAUUGUCCCAAAACCAAAAUUGUCUAGAAAAGUUGGUAACGGGUCUUUAUCAGUGUGAUCAGGGUCCCUCCAUUUGCGGAUUUGAAUAUGACAAUUGUACAACGUGUCAAGUUUUAUAAAGGGGACGAUGAUGCAUGUUAUGCUGUUUGUUCUUGCUAGGUUGCUAAUGUCAUACAAGCUGUAUGCCUCUUGCCCCCACACAGCCGACCUCAAAGAUAAGCAAACAAUCUAAGUUUAACUCAAAUUUGAUACUAUUUCUGAAAUUAACAAUUUAAAUCCCUCUUUGAAAUUAGAUAUUGAGCAUGACAGAUAAGCAAUAAAAAACGAUUCAAUGAGAUGUUUUAUGUUCUUUCAAACUAUAAAAGCAGUGUCUUGUAUAAGAGUAAGACCCUUGACCUUCAUUCUAUCUAUGAGGCCAUAACCCUUUUUUCUUGUAGAGGUUAUGCAUAGAAUAUUGGUUUCUAUAUGCGUUUUACAAGGGUUUUCAGUUUGAUUUUAUCUGAAGAUUUCAAGCCAUUUCAGGGCUUCAAAAAUAUAAAUGAAAUAUUAAAUUGGAAUUGAUCAGUUUGAAAGGGCAUGAAUGAAACUGUAAGAAAGGAAGCCGUAACCGGCCUUUGUUAGGGUUCAAGCUCAAAUGUCCAUGGCACUGGACCACCAUAGCAAUUUUAGCUUUAGGACCUUUUUUUUGCCAAUUUUAGUUGUCAUUUUAAUAGUUGGAAAUUGGAAUAAAAAUGUCUCUCCUUCAUUGUCAUGCAUGUAUCUAGCAGUGACCAUUGAAUAGAGCCAAUAGAACUUGGUUAUAUCCAAUUGGUUCCAUACAUUGAAAAGGAAAAUUAAAUUAUUCGUCGGUGUAACGAUUGGUCUGUCCCUUCAAAUUUAUAUGAAAAACGAAAUGGUCUGAAUUGGUAUUGCACUUAACCAAUUGUCGACUGUUCUUAUUACCCAAAACACUAUAUAAGAUCAUGCCAUUAAUUAAAAACUAUGAAAGAAAAGGUUACCAAGGUAAUUUAAACAGGUUUUUUCAAAGCAAUAAAACCCCAAUUUUCGCCAACUUGCCAUUAGUUUGCCACACAAACAAGAGAAAUUAUCGACAUCUAGACCCCCACUUUCCGCUUGAUCAAAGCCUUUUUGAACCAUCCCAAUUUCUCAUGGCCUCAAACCCCCACAUGCCUAUGUUCCCCUACCACACAUCCAGGAUCCUUCAGGUGCAGCAUGCACAGGAAUUUCAACAAGCCACCCGGUUGGACAAGGGUGGUUCGUGUCUCACAAAGUCACUCGGAAUUAUCUGUGGUUACCAAAGCAAAUUCCAUCAAGACGUUUCUGCUUCAAAUCAUCAAGCCAUCGAGCCAUGACAUGCAAAGGAGAAGGAAUUUCCAGCCUAAGCCUUCCAGGUUCUGUUUAUUGAAUGGCAACAGAAACAGGCUUGGGGUUGCAGUUUCCUGAACAUACAUUGUGGUUUAGUUGCAAGAAUUGCCCUUGGUGCCUUUUCUUUUCUUUUUUUGGCUUCUUUGAUGGGUUCGAAGCUUAAUUUUGAAGUUAAAAGAUAAAAUGAAAUGUAAUUCAACUAUUUGAAUAUUUUUCAAAAAUUAUUCAAUUAAUUAAAUACUUUUUUAUACUGUCAAUUCAGGUUCAAUGUAUCAAAUUAACUUUUCUAUAAAUACUUAAACUUUAUUUUUAAUAAACUUAUUGUUUUACAUGAUAAUCUUCAAUUUGCAUAUUGUUGAAACAAUGUGUGAAAUACAGUAAAAUGCAAUUAACUCUCGUACAAAUAAAUUAUGGGUUUUUGAAAAUAUGAUCUAUCUCUAUUUUUUUGUUACAUUAAAUCUUUUCAAUCUCCACUCACGGCAAAUUGGUCCCACCCAAUCCCCAGCUGGUAAGAAAUCGUAUGCUUCAAACAAAGCUUGACUUUUGACCGGUGGAACGGGAAUCAAUCAAUAAAAACGGUUGGCUCUUGGCUUCGGAACCUGUGGGCUUCCACAACCAUGUGGAGCAUUUCAGUUGCCAAAUUUUUUAUUAUAAUUAUUCCAUGAAAAUAAACAAUUAUAAAUUUCAUCUAUUUAUGAAUUAUAAUUGAUAAUAAAUUAAUAUUUGUAAUAUGCUUUUAAUGUGAAAAAAAGAAUACAACCGACAAGUGAAUCAAAUUUAUUAAUUUUGGUUUUUGAAUGCGAAGUUUUCAAAAGCCGAAAAGUCCACACAACAAAUUGGAGGCCAUUGAGCCUAUAUUUCGUGGCAGCACAACUACCUUAACUGCCAUUUAUAAACAAAACAAAGGUCCAUUGCACAAUGGAGGAGUUGAUAUUAUACGGGAUUCAGACCAUUCCCCCAUUCAGGUUAUUUCAAGUGUUAAAGAAAAAAAAUAACUUUUAUUAUUUUUUUAAUAUAAAAGAAAUUGUAAUUUAAAAAUAAUAAAAAAAUUUGUAUGUAUUAAAAUUUUGAAUUUUAAAUUUAUUAGACAUAAUUUCUUAAGAAUAAUUAUAUGAAUAAAUUGAAUUAUAUUAAAUUCAAAUUCUAUUAUAUAUUAACAUUUUUUACAUUGUUGUCUUCAAUUUUUCCAAACUUUUUCUUUCUCAAUUGGACAAUAGAUUGUCGUGAAAAUAUUCAGAUAUUAACUGAACUUUCCCACUUUCUCUAGUUCAAUCCAAUAAUAAAAAUGGAAGGCUGAGGAAGAAUUCGAAACCAAAAGGGGUGGCAAACAAUAAGAAAAAAGACAAUGAUAUAUCUUGAAUAUGAGUUUGAUUGUCUACCUACUUGAUCACAUGAUCAUUAUUCAUUCAUGUGAGUAAGUUUUCCUAAGUGAUGAAUUCCAUAAGUGGAAAACAGCUUUGGUAAAAUUAAAAAACAAACAAAUCAAUGAUGUAAUCAAAGAUAACCAAAUAAAUAAUUAUAGACAUGACAAUUAAAGGUUGUACCAAAAAAAGGUUUAUGAUCAAAGCCAUCUUAAUCAGUACCUUCAAACUUGAUUAAUUAAUUUUAUUGAUUAAUAUAAUCAUAGUCUAUGACAUAAGAAUCUUCCAAUUUUAUUUAUAUUAUUCUAAACGCGUUUGACUUAAAAUUUUGGUAUUUGGAGGAGAAUAAUUGACAGGGAAUGGAAAUUAAACUAGAAAGGAAACUAAAGAGAGGGAGAAAGAGAGAGAGAGAGUUUGAGAUUGUUGAUCCAAUUUUUUUAAUUUUUUUUUAAAAAAUUACAAUCUAAAAAUGAAAUAAAUUUUUUUUUAAAAUUUGAAUUUUAAAUUUAUUGAAUAUUAUAUUUUAAAAAUAAUUAUAUAAAUAAAUUGAAUUAAAUUUAAACUCAUAAAUAAUUAAUCAUACAAUUUGUAAUUGGUUUUUGGGAGUUGAGAAGUUGAACCUAAAUCCAACUAAAUCUUUCCACGAUAAUGGAAUUAAAAUUGGUAUAACAAUCAAAUCAAAAUAUUCUAAAACUUAACAGAACAACAGUGUGGGUAACACGUCUUUGCAUGCCCCAAACAAUUUGAAUUACUUUGGUUUUGUUCGAUACUGACUUUGUCAAACCAACCUUUCCACAUGGCGUUCCGUGUCUUUCAUUGGAGUUUUGCAGAAAAGUUGAGAAUCUUCUGAGUAGGAAAUGAAUCAUUGAUCCGAAAUACCUAAAAUUGGCUUUGACAAAGUGCUUUCGGUGUGUGACCAAAAUAAUUAGGCUUGGCUGCCUUUUUCUCUUCCAUUUUCUAAUUUUCCUUUUUUUCAUCUUUGCUGAUUUGAAUAUCAGAACACUCUAAAUUCUUAUCUCUGACGCUCGCCGAUUAUUCUUUAUAAUAGAUCACUCCAACAUCUAAAUUAACCAUUUUGUUUGCUCCUUCAUAAAGCAUUCAAUCACCAAACUCAAAAAAUCAUCAACAACUAUGAUAAAAUGCAGUUGACAACUACUAAUUAAUUAGUAUUAAGAUAUAUAUAUAUAUAUUGAAUGAAAUUUAAAUAAAAAUAAUUAUAUAUCAUUAUAAUAAUAUAUAUCAUGAAUAAAAUCGAUCUUGAAUUUAAAAGAUCUUAUUCAAGACCUAAAUAAUAGGUAGGCAACUCAAACCAUGGUAACAUUUAAUUUCAAAUUAAAAUGUUGAGCCUCCUCAUUAUCUCCACCAUAGUUGAAGAAAGCCUUAUCAUUUGCAGUAAUUUUCAAGUUAUACUUGAUUACAAUUAGGUAAACAUCAUGUUAUGCACAGUUAAAUUAAAAUGCUAUCAAAUAUACCAUAUUGUAAUGUCUUUUUUUAUAUAAUUAGAUUGUUGAGCAUUAAAAUGACAAUAAAGUGGUCCAUUCUUUUAAAUGCAUUUUAAUUCAUUUUUAAAUGAAUAAAAUUACUUUAUAUUCAAAAACAAGUUAAAUAUUCUUAGCUAUUGCAAAUUCAUUUAAUUUUAUGAAAUAUUUUAUGCAUUAAAUAAUUUCCCAACCUUCUUUAUAUUUAUUAUAAAUUGUAAUUAAUCAAAAGGAAAAUAGAAAUAUCAUAAGAAAAGCAAAGGGAAACUAAGGAAAUAACAAUGACGUGUACAGCCGCAAAGAAUAACAAAUUCCACGGGUAUAAAAUAAAUAAAAAAAAGUUUAGGUGCACAAUCGCAAAACUAAGAACUAAAAGCCCGACUUUGAAAAUAUCGCGAAAUUUCCAAAACCCAGACGGCCAGACCCCUUCCCUCCCCCUAUAAAUACGUGGCUCGUGUAAAGCUAGGUUUGCCCAACUAAACAGCCACACGCGGCUUUUUAGAAAUUCAAAAAAAAAUUCUCAUACUUUCUUUCUCUCUCUUCUGCCAAAAAAAAAAAAAAAAACAAAUGGCGAAAUCUUCUAGAAAAUCGAGCGGUCCGGUUCUCCGAUCUCUCUCCCCUUCUGGCCGGUUCAGUUCUCACUACACGUCACAGUCCCCAUCAUCUUCUUCUUCGGCCUUCGCUUAUUCAAGUUCAAGCUUUUCUUCACGCUCCUCAACUUUCUUUAAUCAACACAGAUCUAUCUCUCCACCACGUGUCAAUCUCUACAACCACUCUCCAUCGGCGCCGUCCGUGCGAUUCUCGCUCGAUAACCGUCCGAUCUCGCCCAACCGUUCGAUUACUACCGUCCGUAGAAACAACAAGGUGUUGAAGAAUUUACAGAGUAAACAGCCGAAGCGGACUUGCAUGUGUUCCCCUACGACGCAUCCGGGAUCGUUCCGUUGCAGCCUUCAUAAGAGUUUUAAUAAUUCGCACGCGGUGACAAGUUGCGCGCCUAAUAAUCGGCUCAACGCGCGGAGGUCUGCUAUGACGAACUCGCUGGUGAGAAUCGGAGGAGUCGAAGGAGAUCUGGUUAAGAGAGCUUUGUCGGCUUUGAUUAGACCUUCCUCUCACCAGCAGCGUCGCCGCGCAGCGUUCCAGCCGAGGCCGAGUCGGCUCUCCGUGAUGUCAAAAGCCGAGGAUUAAUGAAGAUUCCUUUGCGGUGUGUGUAAUCUUUUAACGAUUUCUGGUUAAGUCUCCGAGAUUUUCCGGUGAUUGGAGAUCGAACUUUGGAGUCAAGCCGCGGAAGGUGGCGGUGAAGUCAGAUUGCGGCGAAGAAGUUGGAAAUCUGAACGAAGGAUUCGGGCCGGAAAUGAAUUUUAGUGUACUCCGGGUGACCGAAACCGUAAAAUCCGAGGAACAUAUUAUCAUAUAUUUUGUUGGUGUAAAUACACAUAUUUGCAGCCAAUGGCAAAUUUGAGGAGCUUUUGGACAAAAACAAAAACUCUUAAAAUCUCUUAAAAAUAUCUAAUCUAAUCAAAUUAACUCUAAUCUGACAAUCCCAGGCCAGAUCUCAGUGUUGAUUGGUUUCAAGUAUUAUUUCUUCCAUUUGUUUUGUUCUCCAAACACCAUUCCAUUCCAGCGCAGUUCUUUUUUCUUUUUGGUGUUCCGUUUGGUUUGACAUUUCCCGUUUUCCAUUUCAGCCGUUUCUUCUGUUUGAUCUUUUUCCACUUUUCCCGUUUUGACUCGUCCCGUUCUUUUUCUUUCUUCCACCUGUAUUUCUUUUUUUAAUAAAAAAUUUUUUUUCAUAAUUUUGUUUUGUCUUUUAAUUUAGGUUUUGAUUUACAGUUGAUAGUUUUAUUCUUAAUUUUCUUCUUUUUUCUUGUUUUACAGGUAUCGAAAAUGGAGAAGUUGUGGGAAAUUCACGUAACUGGAUUCUACUUAUACACACGCAAGGGAGAAGUAAACUGAACGAAAUUAGACCUUGAAGAUGACCUUACCGUCGGGGAAGAAAAUGAAACUAGUAAAUUAUCAACUUUAACUCAGUUGGACCAUCCCUAAAUUUGAUUGAAAUUAUGGUAAUAAUCGUACUAAUGGGGGAUUAAUAAAGGAUAAAGAAGGGAAAGGUGGUAAAUAAUAAUAUGAUUAAUUAAAGAAGAUAAGAAAACAGAAAUAUUUACGCUUAAAAAAUGAAACAAAGUUUUGAAGACAAAAAUUAUUUCACAAUAAUAAAGCGAAACUUAAAAAUUUUUCAGGUGUUGCUUGAGAGUUGCAAAUUAGCACAAAAAAUGACUACAAUUGCAAGAACUGGUCAAAGCCCACAGGAAUCCACAGCUUCGAUUUUGCCAUUUUCUUAUUUUUUUUAAAAGCACAACAGACACAAUUAUUUUGAAUAAUUAAAAAAAUUGACAAGCUAAAAGAUUAUUACACCCAAAUUAAAAUUUGUGUAUUGGUAAUCACAUCAUGACUCUCUUUUUUUUUUUUUCCUUUUAAUUUUUAAUCUAUCUUUAAAAUUUUUCCUAUCUAAUUACAAAGGUGGUUGAAUAAAAUAUUAUAUACUUAAAUUUAUUUAAAUUUAUAAUUUUUAAAUAUCAAUUUCAAUAAUAUAUUAAUUGAUCUAAAAAAUAAUAAAAUUUUUUUAUAAUUAAUUUUAGUAACUAGUCACUUUAUAAUUAAAUCUUCAAUAUUUUAUACUCUCUUUUUCUUUUAAUAGAAAUGAUCGUUCACUCAUUUCUUUUCUAUGAAAAAGAAUUUAAUCUAUCAAUUCAAAAAAUAUAUAUAUUUAAAAUUUUCCCGUACGUAUAGCUGUAAAUGCUGUUAACUUGGAUUAAUACUCCUAUCACGCAAACUUAAUUUCUCGCAAAUAAUGAAAUUUGUAAAUUAAAACUUUUUUUUUCUUUAUUUUGAUGGCUCCCAAUUCCCAAAUGGGUCCAGAAAACUGAAAGCCUUCAAAUUGUGAAAGGGAAAACGCUGGCCAACCCACAUACCAUAUGAAAGCUGUGAUGGCUUUGCAACAGCCUGCAUAUGGGACCAUUCAUAUCUACUUUGCAAAGAAAAUUUUUCCAAGUGAUCAUAGCAGUUUUUGGCCAGUUGAGAGGAGGUCCAUGUUGCCUGUCAGAUUCUCACCCAAAGCCAAAAAGAUGGAUCAAACUUCCCUGUGAUGUAAGCACCAUACAACCAAAUAUUGUUUCCCUUCGAUCUAAUCAUCAUCAUCAUCAUCAUCAAAUAUCUUAGAGAUCAUUUGACUCAGGAAUUGGUGUUUGUUUUACAACUUUCAGAUCAGAUGAGCUGAUGCUGAUGUACUAAAUUUUGCAAUUGUAGUUUACUAAUUUCGCACUUUCGAGUGGGCUCUUCAAUGUCAGUGAAAAUUUUUGAAGUACUUUUCAUUCUAUUUUUGAGGGUCAAGACAAUAAUUGACAAGCCCCAUGUGCAUGAACCAGCCACGAGGGAUUAUUGAUGACGAUGAUGGUAAUCGAUUCGAUCUGUUUUUUCCUUUUUUCUUUCAUGAUAGGAUAAGGAUGGAUUGGAGUUUUGAAAGGUUUUAAAAUUCUCUAUGCCAGUUCUUGUUUCAUAGUUCUUACAAAACAAUGAUGUGUAUGACAAUGAGUUGGCAAGUGGCGUUAAAGAAUUCAACAAUAUUGUUUGUCUCUUUGUGAAGAAACUGGUGUUUUUUAUGUUUCAAUCUUCUUAUCCAACCUGUGAAUUUGGUCAGUUCAGAUGACGUUGAAAGCAGGAAAACAAUUUUCAAAAAGAGUUUUCCUUGAUAUUUGUAGAUUUUCUUCAAAGGGCCCUACUGCUAAGGGAAAUAAUUUAAUUUGGUAUUCCCUCAAAAAUGGCAUCAAGAGGGUGGGUGAUGUCAUGGCUGGUUGUUAUUUCAAUGGAUAAGUUGCCACUCUUUCUAUCGUGCUUCUACUAGAAGAAAAAGAAAACGACAUGUUGGGAGCUCUUUGUCUAAUUCUGUAUUCCCUUUUUCAUUGAAUAUUUGGUUUUGUUAGAUCAUGCCUAACCUCAAAUAUAAUAUGAUAUAAUAUUAUUGGAUAUAUGGUAUUGAGGUCAUAUUGAUUCCAAAACACAAAAUGUCAUAAAAAGAAUUAUGGUACCAGUAGCAUACAUUUAGUGAUCUAUAACCGAAAAUCUCAUUCAUUUGCCUAAAAAAACACUAGGAAAAUGGCAUAUAUCUUCAUCAAUUUACUUAGAAUAAAUAAUUUGUUUAUUAGAUACUGCUUUUCUGAUUUUUUUUAUUCUAUAAAAGUAUUUAGAUAAUAGCUCCUUCAACUUGAAUUAUUAUGUAAAUUCAUAAAAGCUUUCAAAUACGGUAUUGUUCAUUACUCUUCCAAGCAAAUUCAUAAAAUUUGUUGUUCAUUAUCAUCAUUAAAUCCUUACCUCUUGUGAUUAGUUACUGGUAUCCUAAAUUCUCAGCAACUCUUGCAAACAUCUAAAAUUCCAAUUACCAUACCUGUUCCUUUAAGUCGUCCAUCUCCUAGUGCAAAAGGCCAAUGCUAUAAAACUCCUAAUCCCAAUUGUUUCUCAACUUUUAAGGAGGCUUUUCAACUUUUGUCAAGAAUUAGCAAACCUCUGAAUCCAUGCAAAACAAGCAAGGUGUAGCCUUUAAUUUUUGCUAUUGUUUUUAUUUAUUUAGUUAUUUAUUGUCUUGUGUAUUUGCCAGCAGGGUGGGGCCCUUUGUUUAUUACGAACAGACAGAGGGUUAUAUUUCUUUGUAUUUAUGGACAGGAAUUUAAAGAAUGUAGAUACCAUGGGCUACAAUGUUUAGUUAAAUUGAAUAAAAGAGGUUGGCAUUCAUUGCAACUUUGAAGGCACUGGCAGACAUAUGUUAAAGAAUUCGACUAAGCCAAAUCGACCACAUUGCAAUGAAAGAUGAAAAUAGUUUUAUUGUUUUAUAGCCGCUAGUUAACGUCUACACCCCAAAACAUUACUGUCAAGAUGCAUACAGUGUAAAAACACCUUACGAUAUUGAAGAUAUGGGUACCAUCCUUUCUAUCAGUUUAAUAUUCAUUUUCAGACCAUAGCUGAGCUGAGCUGAGCAUGUCCUGCUGAUGGAACUAUGAUAGUCAGUUCAUGAACUGGUUUCAUUUAGCACAAAAAGAUGCACACAUUGAAAUCGGCAAAGAAAUUCUAAGAAAGCUCACAGCUCACAAUCUAUAGAUUUUUUUUUUUCAUUGCAAGGCAUGAUGGUUGCCGAUAUGAAGGAUUUUACAACUAAUGAAGAUCCCAUGAAACCAGAAAGCUUAAAGCAUGUAUAUAGUUCUUGAAAGUUUAGAUUAGAUGAACUCGAAAAGAAUAUAGACUAUGGCAUGCGUGUUGAUCACAGAAAAACUGUCCCACACUACUUGAAUAUGCUAAUAUUGGACCUAAAAAGCAAUUGUUACCAGACACAAGGCUUGUCCCUAUUAUUGGUGAAAAUAUUUGAUCUCACCUUUCCAGACAAAACUAAGAAAGACGUAUGGUCAAGUCAAGUGGGCUUCAUGUCCUGAAACAGUGCUGCCCAUAUUGUAUGAUCACCGUAGUCCAAGCCUGCCUUUUCUUUGUUGUAGUCACCAUGAACCUUUGGGCUCGGUCGUCUUACAUAACUAAGAGGUCCAGGCAGUUUUGGGCUCCUAUUUGUGAACAUUAACCUCUUGUGCCGUGGCAAUAUCAAUAGGGCCUGUUGUUAUCGGCCACCUAUAAUUGAACACCAACUUCUCCUGCAUUUUUCUAGCUUGGGGCUGGGAUAAUUUUAUUCUCAUUUAACACUAAAUUUUGGACAAAUCCCUUACCUAAAGCUAUGAGCAGGCCUACAACUAUGGGAAUAGAUCAGACCUGAUCAUUCCCUUGAGCCCAACUUCCUUUGAGUUUGGUCAGCAGCUCAUUGCAAUUAUAAAAUUUAUAAUUUUUUAUUCAGGAGCUUAAAAAAUUUUCUUCUUUUUUGGAUAAAUCAGUAUAAAUUUUUUAAAAUUCUACUAAAUUUAUAAAAUUUACAAAAAAUUUAAAAAUAUUAUACAAAUUUUUUGUCAAGACGAAAUCUAAAUCGUUGAAGGAAGAAUAAACAUAUACUAUUUAUUGAUAAAAAACUCCACUAAUUUAUAUUCUUUUAAAAAAUAUACCUUUUAAUUAUACAUAGCUGAGAAAAAUAACAAAUUAUUAGUAUACCUAUUUCUCUUAGUAAUUAAGUUUUAAAAAAUGCAUAUUUAUCAAAUAUUUAACAAAAAAUAAACAAAUAUCAUCAUAUAAUGAAAUCAAUAAUUAAAUAAAGAAUAAAUUAUAUAUUCUUAUUCCCUUGCAUAACUGAUAGUUUUUUAGUUUGCAAAUAAUUUGUGUCAGUUGACGCUAAGUCAAAGUCUAUUGAUAGACUAUAAACCAUUCAUCAAGUAGAAGCAAGAAACACGGCAAACAAUGUAAUAAAGAUGACUUUUUGUUUAUUUGACUACUUCCACACCAAAUUUAUAUAUUCCAAGAAAGAGAGAGGAGGAAUCCACCAUCCUAUCAUGAGGUUGGCGUGUAAACCUAUCCAUACGUUCCAUGGUUGAUGCCAAAGUCAAGGUCUCCUAAAUAAUAAUACAGUUGCUAAACAAAAGUCUAGCAUCACCUAGUCAUGGCAAUGAAUAUACGUUCCAUCUUCCUCCCUAACUUGAUAUAGGUAGAAAAGUUACAAUGGGCCAUAAUGUCUCCCCUUAGUUGUGGAAAUAUUUAAUAUUGACAUGGAAUUUGACAAUAACCCUAGCAAGGUUAGCAAAUAAAAAAAAAAAAAACUAAAUAGAGGCAUUGCUUAGUAUGGGGAUAAAAAAUAAAAAAUAAGAUAAAAAUAAAAUAUAAAAAAUAUAUAUUUUAUUUUUAUCAAUGUGCUUUGUUAAAAAAAUGAAAAAGAAAGAAAAUGUAAUUUUUCAUGCAUUGUUUGGUAGAGUUAGAAAAUGGAAGAAAAAAAAUUAUGAUAUUAUUAUUAUAACCUUUUGUAAAAAAAUUUAAAUAUGAUGGAUAAUUUUAUAAAUAUGUAACACAUUAUUAUAGCCGAGAAAAAUAACAAAUUAUUAGUAUACCUAUUUCUCUUAGUAAUUAAGUUUUAAAAAAUGCAUAUUUAUCAAAUAUUUAACAAAAAAUAAGCAAAUAUCAUCAUAGCGAAAUCAAUAAUUAAAUAAAAAAUAAAUUAUAUAUUCUUAUUCCCUUGCAUAACUGAUAGCUUUUUAGUUUGCAAAUAAUUUGUGUCAGUUGACGCUAAGUCAAAGUCUUUUGAUAGACUGUAAACCAUUCAUCAAGUAGAAGCAAGAAACACGGCAAACAAUGUAAUAAAGAUAACUUUUUGUUUAUUUGACUACUUCCACACCAAAUUUAUAUCUUCCAGGAAAGAGAGAGAGGAGGAAUCCACCAUCCUAUCAUGAGGUUGGCGUGUAGACUGAUCCAUCGUUCUAUUUCAUAGUUGAUGCCAAAGUCAAGGUCUCCUAAAUAAUAAUACAGUUGCUAAACAAAAGUCUAGACAUCAACUAGUCAUGACAAUGAAUUAAUAUAUGUAAUAUCUUCCUCCCUAACUUGAUAUAGGUAGAAAAGCUACAAUGGGCCAUCAUGUCUCCCUUUAGUUGUGGAAAUAUUUAAUAUUGACAUGAAAUUUGGCAAUAACCCUAGCAAGGUUGGCAAACAAAAAAAAAUUACUAAAUAGAGGCCUUGCUUAGUAUGGGAAUAGAAAAAUAAAAAGAUAAAAAAUUGAAAGAAAAAAUUGAAAAGAUAAAAAAUAUAUAUUUUAUUUUUAUUGAUGAGCUUGGUUAAAAAAAUGAAAAAGAAAGAAAAUAUAAUUUUUUUCAUUCAUUGUUUGGUAGAGUUAGAAAAUGAAAGAAAAAAAAUAUGAUUUUAUUAUUAUAACAUUUUGUAAAAAAAUCUAAAUAUGACGGAUAAUUUUAUAAAUAUGUAACACAUGCUCAUACCUCUUCUAUUUUCUUUCAUCUUUUCUUUUACAUUUGGAGUGAUUUAUUUGUAUUAAUAAGUGUGAAAAAUAAUAAUCUUUUUUUUUAUUUUUCUUUUUUACCAAACAUAGCGAAAAUUUAUUUUUUUUCCACUUUUUCACCUUGUUUUAUUCAUCUUUUCACUUUUUUUACUAUGGAAUACAUCCUAAAAUUGUUUUAGCAACAAAAAAAAAAUGAAGCUGUUAAAAAGGAAACUAAAGUAUUCUAAAAAUUAAAUUAAAAAACAAAACAAAAGUUUUAAUAAGGAUUUACAAAGAAAAAAAAAAGUAAGCACUAAUUUUUGUUAGCAGUGUCACUACAAGUCAUUAAUGAUGUUAUAAUUAAGAUGGAGUGUUUAUUAUAAUUGUCAGAGUCUGUGCUUACUUUUCCACAAAGAAAAUUUGUAGGAAACUUCAUGCAAUGUGUUUUCUUGGUGCUAUGGAAUUUGACAAGUACGUCAAGACUGAGUGUGCCAUUUUCAAUGAAUUUUUAGGAAACAAGGCUGUAUCUUUUCAAGUGACUUUUUAGUAUAUAAACCCCAUGGAUAUAGUGAUGCCAAAUGCAUAGAAGCAUAGUUAAUAUUAAGUUUUUUUAGAGUGCAUUAAUUAAUUGAGAUGGAGUGGAAAUGGUUAUGGGUGGUUUUGGUAGCAUUCCUAUUAGGAAGGUGUUGUGAAUGUGAAAGGUGCUGGGAGCAAGAAAAAAUUGCUCUUUUGCAACUCAAACCUUUCUUUACUCAUAUUGAAGAUGUAAAAAAUUAUUGGGUGGAUGAGGGAAAACAGAGUUCAGAUUGUUGUCAGUGGAAAAGGGUUGAGUGCAACACCUCCACUGGACGAGUGAUCCGACUCUUCCUUAAUCUUACAACUACUGCAGUCUAUGGUGAUUUAGUUUAUAAUUAUUAUUUGGAAGAGUACGAUUGGAGUGGGAGAGAUUCUUGGUAUCUCAAUGCCUCUUUGUUUCUUCCUUUUGAGGAAUUGAAGAGUCUUUAUUUGGGUGGCAAUUCUAUUGCUAGUUGUGUUGACAAUCAAGGUUAAUUCAUAUUCACCUAAUUACUAACUGCUACUUCAAUAAGUAUUUUGCAUUUGAAAAUUCAUUUUUAUUGAUUACCAGUUUUGUUCAUCUUAUCUAAAUAUUUUUUAUUUCAGUUUUUUCGAAAAGUCACUAAAUGCUACAUUUUUCCUUGUAGGUUUUGAAAGGCUGUCACUGAAAUUGGACAAACUAGAGAUCCUUGACUUAAGUGUUAAUCAAUUCAAUGAUAGCAUUUUAGCAUCUUUAAGCGAACUUUCAUCACUCAAGUCUUUAAAUCUAGCAGAAAACCAAUUCACUGGGUCAAAUCCUAUAGAGGGUAAUGUUAAUAUUCUGUUAUAUAUAAAAAUCAAGUUAAAGUAAAUAACGUUUGUUUCGUAAUUGAAAUAUAUAUAUUUAUAAAAUAGUGAUUAUUUACUAAAAUUUUGUAAAAUUAUUGGAAACAGGUAUGAAGAGGUUAUCAAAAUUGAACAAGUUAGAGACUCUGGAUUUAUAUGGCAAUGUAUUAGGAAACAACAUCCUAUCACAUCUAGAUGAUUUUACAUCUUUAAAAUCUUUGCGUUUGCAGAAUUGCGGAUUAAAAGGAACUGUUAAUUUGCGAGGUAGGGUUGUUUUAAAAAUCUCAUGGUUUUAAAAAGGAAUAACUAGAUUGAUAUAUAUUUGAUUUGAUUUGAACAGAAUUCAAUAAUUUGACAAACUUAAAGGAGUUGUAUUUAGACCAAAAUCAAAUUGAGAGUCUCGGAUCUUUAUUCAAAGUGUAAGUCAACAUAUACUGAAUUUGAAUAAUAAAUAUAUAUAAUAAUUAGAUUUCUUUUAAGAUGAAAUUAUGUUACUAAUCUUUCACAGAAUGAACAAUUGAGGUUGAUCAAACUUGAGGUGCUUGGUUUAAGUGAAAAUCUCCUUCAACAACAGCAUAUUCUUAUCUCUUGCUAUGCUCUCAAAUUUGAAGUCUUUGUAUAUAGAAAGUAACAAAUUGGAUGGGCCGAUACANNNNNNNNNNNNNNNNNNNNNNNNNNNNNNNNNNNNNNNNNNNNNNNNNNNNNNNNNNNNNNNNNNNNNNNNNNNNNNNNNNNNNNNNNNNNNNNNNNNNNNNNNNNNNNNNNNNNNNNNNNNNNNNNNNNNNNNNNNNNNNNNNNNNNNNNNNNNNNNNNNNNNNNNNNNNNNNNNNNNNNNNNNNNNNNNNNNNNNNNNNNNNNNNNNNNNNNNNNNNNNNNNNNNNNNNNNNNNNNNNNNNNNNNNNNNNNNNNNNNNNNNNNNNNNNNNNNNNNNNNNNNNNNNNNNNNNNNNNNNNNNNNNNNNNNNNNNNNNNNNNNNNNNNNNNNNNNNNNNNNNNNNNNNNNNNNNNNNNNNNNNNNNNNNNNNNNNNNNNNNNNNNNNNNNNNNNNNNNNNNNNNNNNNNNNNNNNNNNNNNNNNNNNNNNNNNNNNNNNNNNNNNNNNNNNNNNNNNNNNNNNNNNNNNNNNNNNNNNNNNNNNNNNNNNNNNNNNNNNNNNNNNNNNNNNNNNNNNNNNNNNNNNNNNNNNNNNNNNNNNNNNNNNNNNNNNNNNNNNNNNNNNNNNNNNNNNNNNNNNNNNNNNNNNNNNNNNNNNNNNNNNNNNNNNNNNNNNNNNNNNNNNNNNNNNNNNNNNNNNNNNNNNNNNNNNNNNNNNNNNNNNNNNNNNNNNNNNNNNNNNNNNNNNNNNNNNNNNNNNNNNNNNNNNNNNNNNNNNNNNNNNNNNNNNNNNNNNNNNNNNNNNNNNNNNNNNNNNNNNNNNNNNNNNNNNNNNNNNNNNNNNNNNNNNNNNNNNNNNNNNNNNNNNNNNNNNNNNNNNNNNNNNNNNNNNNNNNNNNNNNNNNNNNNNNNNNNNNNNNNNNNNNNNNNNNNNNNNNNNNNNNNNNNNNNNNNNNNNNNNNNNNNNNNNNNNNNNNNNNNNNNNNNNNNNNNNNNNNNNNNNNNNNNNNNNNNNNNNNNNNNNNNNNNNNNNNNNNNNNNNNNNNNNNNNNNNNNNNNNGGAAAAAUGGGACAAACUCUUAAAGCCGAAAGAUGAAGUCCCAUCACUCUUUCAGAUAAGAUAGCCUGUGUUUUUGCACCAUAGGAAUGAACUAAACUCUGGGUCUCUUUGGGCCUUAACACUGAGCCUAGCCACUCAGUUCAAAGCAACCUCAAUCCUUAUUGCUUAACAGCUGAAGAGCUAAGUUCCAUUUAAUUUGAUGUUUUGGUUAUUUAUUUUUUGAAAAAAAAUGAACAAAAAUAUCAAGCAAAAGAACCUAAAUUAAAAUUUUCAUGCAUGCCAUGAACCAGUGGUUUAUAACCCGUCGGUGAAGCUUGACAUUAACAAAACAAAAGAAUUUUCUGUUCUUCAUGAGAGAGAUGCAUUACACUUAGAGAAAAUGGUCAAGGUGAAAAGAAAGUCAUUCCUUGUGCAUUGCUAUAGACUGCAUUGCACAAAGAUUCAAGCCUAGGGAUAACAAACAUAAUGUACAAAAUUUAGCUAUGUUACUCAAAAUAUACAAGCAAAUUAACAACCUGCUAAUUGGACUUGGUGUCCUAUCCACCCUUGUAUAGGCCUUCCGAUCUAGCAUCGUACCGUUUAGUAUAAACACGGUGCCUUCUCUCUCUUGCAUAGAUUACCCAGAAGAUCAAUGACAGCAUCACAGCAGCAGAUACAAUUACUAAUCCAAUGUAGAUCCAUUGACUAUAGCGCCACAGACCAGGACAAUAAUCAUGACUGAUAUCUGUGAAUGUAUCACGCACAAAAGUGCAGUCUUGCAAAUUAACCAGGAAUGGACCAUAGCGAUACAAACCAUUACUGACAUUCACUGCAGCUGACAUCUGAGUGUAAAAUUGAGGGGUCAGCCGUCCACGCGUUGAACAAAUCCCAGAGGAUGACACCUGACAGGUAUAGUUCUUCCAAACCUGUUUGAAACAGAUAUAGGCGGUCAUUUAACUUUAGUUAUAAACAUUCAGAAGAAAACUGAAAACGUUAUAGUGAAAAGUUUUUGGAUAGGCAGAAGCAUGGAGAUAGGCUGAGAAACUAAAACAAUAAAUAGAUUCUAAAACUUUUAAGUCUUUUUACCCAAACAUAAGGUUAUUACUGCUCCAAACAAAGCCAGAAGUCACAGCUAAACACCUUAAAUGACAGAGUUUUUCCCUUUUAUGUCAUCAUCUUCAUCGUCUCCUAGUAAUGAAAUCUUAAUCUUCCUUGCUGUUCUGUCAGUUUACGUACUUAUUAGAACUAAUAAUCUAUCUUCUAAUAAGACCAGUUGACCUCAAGAAUUUAACAACUUUAACCUAUGUUAUGUGUUAAUAUUAUUGUCCAUGGCAGGUUUGCGCAAGCUUAUCAUGUUGGAUCUGGAAGGAUGUAAACUUACCGCUGCGUGCUUGGAUCCAUCUCAGGUGCAUUUUCUUAUUAGUAGCCUUUUCAGUGAUACCUAUAAUUGUACAAUUACUUGCUGCUAUACAUUGAAAUUGGUUGUACCUUCAAACGUAACCAUGUGUGGUUUGUGUGGCAAAUUGGUUAGCGGAUGUAAUGUCUUAUAGUUUGGAGAUUAUUGUUGGACGAGGAUAAACUCUCUAGCAUUAUCAUGCAGUAGAAGAUCAACUAUACCAUUAUGCAACAAACAAUGAAUUGUUAACAAGUCAUGGAGUUUGUAAAGUGAAUACAUUGAGCUAUUACUGAAUUUCCUGGAAGUAUAAUAAUUUUCAUAUGUUAUGCAAUUAUCUUGUAAUUUUUUCCUGCCUAUGAAGCAGGGAUUGGGAUUGGAAUAGUUUAUUCAAUUAGAUACCAGAGAACAUAUAUCAUGUUCAGUUCAUUAAAGAAAUUAUUUAUUCUAUCUGCAGCUCUUGUUGCUUUGGCAUACUUAAAUCUUGGAAGAUGUGGCCUAACUGAUGAUGGAUGUGACAAGUUUUCUGGUGAGUUGUAGUUGAUAUCUUUUAGCCCUUUGUUGUAUUGAAUAAUCACAUAGAACGAUUGCAUGGCUAAGUAUAGUUAGUAAUGUUUACAGUAUUUACCACUCAUUUGCAGACUUAAGAAUUUGAAGGUAUUGAACCUGCCAUUUGACAUAUAACAGAUGCAUGUUUUAGCGCACCUAAAAGGUUCUCUCUCUUUCCCCUUUGUUACUGCAUUGUGGUCCGUUGGUUAACUUUUACUGGGAGUGGACCAUUUGCAUUCUUUCUUUGCAUUGAACAACUUCUAGAGGGCAGUGCAAGUUAAUGAAUUUUACUAGGUUAGCUCAGUGAAUUGCACCGUUGCUUUCCAUAAAUCAUGACAAUUGUAAGACCUUACUAUUGUUAAAGUUAGUGGCUAUUGAUUUGUAUUUCAGACCUACAACAACAACAACAAAAAACUAAGCCUUAUAUCCCACAACUUUGAAGUCGGUUGUAUGAAAGGCCAAAAAAAAGGAAUCAUGUUACGUCAUAGUUUUGAAUUUUCUUGCACCACUCAUUUCUAUAAAAAACAGCCUUUUCAUCUACUUCCUUAAGUCUAAUAUCAUCUCUUAUUACUUGCAUCCAUGUCUUUCGUGGUCUACCUCUAGAAGCUUUGGUCACCCCCAAAUCCAAAAGCUCAUUUCUUCUAAUUGGUGCACAGAUAGGCCUACAUUUCAGACUUUAUUCAGAAAAAAGUUAUGAUCUAACUAUAAUAAUGAUAUUUGCAACCUCAUGCUUUCAAUUUUGACAAAUAUUAUGCUGUUCACUUGAGAACACAAGAUGAUAGUUAAUAAUUUUGACACAAAGAUUGUCUGAGGCGACCUUCACUUACAGAUAGUGGUUUCAAUGCAUCACUGAAGGUUUAAAAAGUCUGAUAAUGCUAUGAUAACUGAUUUCUGGUUCAUUUUCUGUAUGUGAUUGGUUGACUAUCAAAAAAGAUACUCGUCCUAAUAAUUUUUCUUGCAGUUCUACUGUGAAAUAAAGAACCUUUGGUCCAAAGAGUGGACAAUUUUCAUUCUGAUUCCAUAUUUUUUUAUGCUUGCCCUUAUGUACUCAUGCUUGUUUGCAGUUUAUUGUUGAUAAGAAUUUGAAUAAAUGAGACCAUUGAUCCUUUGGUUUAUUUUACAUUUGAUUCUGGUCUCUUGUUUAUUUGAAAUGGUGAUAAGUUUGUUUGAUAUGGUAUAUCUUUCUUUGCAGGAUUAACAAAGUUGGAGAGCCUGAAUAUAGAUUCAUGUAAAAUUGGUGAUGAAGGCCUUGCUAAUUUGAUAGGUUUCUAUAUCAUGUUUCAUUUUGCUGCUAGUUAAACUGUUAUGUUGGGAGGAUCUCUGUUUGCUUUAAACAUUUUCAUGACCUAGUUUAUCUUGUGAUUUGCUCUUCAGGCCUUUCACUCCUCAAAAGUCUAGAGUUGUCUGAUACUGAAGUUGGAAGCAGUGGGCUCCGAUACCUCUCUGGUUAGUAAUCUAUCUCUUAUCAUCUUGCUUGUGUGUGAUAUGACCCUUGAUAUUAGCUAUAAGCAUGACACAAUUUCAGUGAUACUUUUAGAAACCUAUCUUCCGGUUAGCCCCGCUCUUACCUAUAAAAUUGUUCACAGAUUUUGUUAAGUUGCUUUUCUUUGAGGAAUCAUCUUUUUUAUUGAGUUAACAAGAUAUACAUUUGAAAUGGUUCUUUUACUUGGAUUUCUUUGACUUAUUGCUCCAUUUCUGUUUCCUUCUGUAUAUGAUGAUGUGUUGGAGAAAAGAGAAACAUUUGAUACUUUCGGUUCUUCCAUAUAUACGUUUUUUCAUUUGUUUCUGAAAUUUUAUUUAUGCCUUACACAUUGACACUGGAUGUCAGCUGAAUAUAUGUUAAUGAAUAGAAUGUAUUACAGAAUUCACGGCAAUCAUAUUGUUAUAGUGUUUGCUUCAUCAAUGACCUAACAAGGCAAAGCAACAAAUCUUUAAGAUUAGGGUUGUGGUGUUAUAAACCAUCUAUUAUGAUCCUUGCUCUUUUCCACAUGGUUCUUUAUUAAAUUAUAUGUUCUUGGUUUCAAUUUUUUCUGAAAUUUUCAGUGCAUUAUAAUGUUAAAUGCAUGAUGCUGACUUGGUUCUGUUAUAUUAGGAUUGACACAUCUGGAGACCUUGAAUUUAUCAUUCAGUUUAGUGACUGAUAGUGGUUUACAAAAGUUGUCUGGAUUUACUGCUCUUAAGUCACUUAAUCUGGAUGCUUGCCAAAUUACAGAUGCGGGGCUGUUGGCUCUGACAAGUUAGUACUUUCACUUAUUUCUUUGUAACAUUCUUCUAACUUUGUGCAUCUAAGUUGGAGACAUUCUGGUGUGCCUUUGAUCCUAUUUAUGGCUUUUUGAAAUCUUAUGGUUGUAUCUUUUGGUUGAAGUCUCUUUGCUGUCUUUGUGGAGUGAAGAAAUUUGGAGCUAUAUUUUUCCUUGAUUUUUUUGUUUUACAAGGUGACCACUGUGAAAUGUAGGUUGUCGACCCCUUUUUCCUUGCCUUAGAUUGUUACCGGAUAGCCAGGUUUGGAGUCAUAAAUUUUGCUGAGCUUUCAGCUAUGAAUGUUUCCUUAUAUAAAAACAUUGUGUCUCUAGAUGGAGAAAUCUUUGAAAGCAAAUAAAUAAUUUUUGAACAGAUCAGAGAACUCUGAUUCAUUAUUGACAUUACAUGAAAGUAAAUAAAUAAUAACUUAAAAAUCCAUGGACUGGAUCAUUCAUUUUUUGUGUUAAGAUGGCAAAUUUCUUACCUUAUUUUCAUCCGUGGCUAUUGGUGUAUAGCUGUAUAUUGAAACCUGUUUCAUAAUGUUAUUCACCACUCAGGUCUAGUGUAUUCUUCCGUUUUAAGAAUCUUAUAUCAAUUAUUGCUGCACCAAGAUGUCUGUAGUGACAUAAUUCAUUUUCCAAAAGCUAAGUCUAAGUGGGCACCAAAUUGCUGCUCCAUUGUCAAUAUUUUAUUCACACUUCUCUAUCUUUCUUCAUUGUGUAAUGUUUUAAGGAUGUAUGAAGUCAUCACAUUUCUGAUUUUGCUGAUGCAGGUUUGACUGGACUGAUGCAUCUGGAUCUUUUUGGGGCUAGGAUUUCGGACACUGGAACAAAUUAUUUGCGAUGUAUGUCAAAAAUAUUGACAUUGCUUAAAUAAUUAAAAUUGCAAGUUGCUUAAUGGACCAUUUUUCUUGUUUGAAAAACUUGAAUCUAUCAUUUUGUCAUAUUCAAGUUUUAUUAUAGCUUUUAACCUUUGAUGUUUUCUUUUUGUUUGUUUGAAAAACUUGAUUGUUUUGGUUUGCUCUUUGCCUUGAAGACUGGAUAGUUUGGACAUACAUACUUGAGGAAGUUCAGGAGUAACUUUGAGAAAUAUAAGGUCCUUUUAGUUGAUUUAUUGAGGUGUAUUUAUAUCUCCAAUGGUAGGAUAAUCGGUAGGCUCAUGAGAACUUUUAGAAUCAUGUUUAUUAAAAGGUUGUUAUGGUCUUCAUCAAUAGGCCUAAUAUUGAGUUUGGCAUAAUCUCAUUUUCAUUGUAAACUUUUCUCAAGAAUUUUGUUUUACAUGUUCUAAUUUUGUGUUAAAUGUUCUUGCACCUGCUUGUUUUCAUGUUAAACAGGCUUCAAGAACCUCCAAUCCCUUGAAAUAUGUGGAGGUGGUUUAACUGAUGCUGGGGUGAAAAAUAUCAAAGAUCUUUCCUCUUUAACGCUAUUGAACCUUUCACAAAACUGCAACCUGACAAACAAAUCCUUGGAACUGAUUUCAGGUAAGUUUUGCUUUUAUUCCUCAUGGUUUUAUUGUGUUUGUUUAGCUUCUUUUUUUUCUCCUUUUUUGGCCAUUGUUAGUGCAAUUCUUGAAUAGAACAAACCUUGCUAUGCUUGUAUAGAAAAUGAUACAGAGACAUAUAUAAAUAAGACAGCUACUUGUAUCUCUAGUGUCAGAUUAUCUCAUCUGGCAAUUGUCCCGCUUGGCAUUCUGCUGCAGGACCAGUGAUUUGCAGUACUUUUGCUACUGUCUAGUAACUUGGUCAUGUAUGAUUAGUUGGUCCAAGAAAUGUCUAAACACGCAAAGAUGAACGGGCAGUCAGUAAAACUGGUGAAUUGAGAGCUUAUUUGGGGCCUUCUAAUAGUGGCUUCUGAAUGUGAAAGUAUUCUAGUCCAUGGCUUCCAUCUGUCUGUGCUCUGAUAAAGUCAGUGAGAUCUUCUAAUCAUGGAUUUUCAUUUUCUGGUGUAAAUGCAGGCCUGACCGCAUUGGUGUCGUUAAAUGUUUCAAAUUCUUACAUAACUAAUGAUGGUUUGCUGUAUUUAAAGCCUCUAAAGAAUUUACGGUCGCUAUCUUUGGAAUCCUGCAAGGUAACUGCCUCUGAAAUUAAGAAGCUCCAGUCAACUGCCCUUCCCAAUCUUGUCAGCUUUCGACCAGAAUAAUAUUGCUGGGGCAACUGCAACCUAUGCUGUAAAUAGCUGCUAUCACCUGGAGAUAGCUCUCUCAACAAUUCAAUAAAUAUAUGUUAAAACGUGAAAGGCUGCCUUACUAAUGGGGUCAGGGUAAUUGUGCUAAUUAUAUGGACAGUCAAUGACAGGUGAUUGAAAAUAUGUUUGGCUGCUGAAUUUGACAUUACCUCUUUUCUUGUUUCAAAAACAAACAAAUUUUGUACAUAUAAAUUUUAUGUUAAUUAACUAUUUUCUGCACAUUGUCUUCCAAGUUUUCAUCUGGAGAUUCAAAACAGAAGGCAAAAACCAGAGGGGAAGAGGUUUGACUGUGAGUUGCACUCAAUCUGAGUAACUUGUUUCAGGGUAUGGUCUCAAUCACAAGCAUGUAAGCAGAAUUACAUGUUUGAAUGUUUGAUGAAAUGGAAGCAAAAGCUGAAAAUAAAUCCUCAAUCCUCAAUAACAUAUAGUACAACGAGAGAGUCUAUGUUCCUCAAUCCAGUGCAAAAAUCUAUUUCUUCAAAACUAGAAAUCAAAAUGAGAAACUUGCAGCUAGAAAUAACAAAUCAAUCAGGUAAGCAACAGCAAUCUCUAAAUUAUUUGCAACUAAAUAAUAAAUUCAGCUUGUAUAUCAAUCAGGUAAAAAAUAAUAAACCUAGUGUUGUAAUAGAAUGAAGCAAACAUUAGAUGUCAAUUGUCUUCCAGUAGCCUGAGAUUGAUGCCUACUUCAAAUCUUGGGCUUUUUACCUGGCAAUAUGAUGAAUUUACCAUGCUUACAGUAAAUUUUUUUGUGAUAAGUUUUUCAGUUUAUCACAGGGUAAAAGAACAAAAAAAAAACAGUAAUAAUUAAGGAUUUGGUUUUGCCAAGGAAAAUUAAUUACCGGACGUGGACCAUAAUAUGAGGCUUCAACCUUAUCUGGAGUAACAAAAAUUUCAUGUCAAAGUGCGACGAAUGGACCAAGGAUCAGUUUCAUCAGAACUGCUUAAACCAUAGGGUUUAAUUUGAGCUUAUUGGGCCUCAAGCCCAACCAAAAAACUUUAGGGCUCUAACGGGUAAUACGCGGAGUAUUUAUGCUGUCUAUAUAUAUCGGAUCCAGAUUCAAAAUUUGAAACCCAAGACGAUUAAUUUUUACUGUUUUUAUUUUCUUCGUAUUUCUUUCUUUUGUCAUUCCUCAAAAAAAAAACUCCUUUUUGUGUUUUUUUAUCCUAAGCAAACUCUCCAACAGAUUUCGCUUUCUUCUUAGGCUGAUAGUGAUAGUCUCAGAUUUGGCAACAGCUUCAGCACUACUCUGAGUUCCCUGAUUUCAACAACUAUCUCGUUUUUAUCCCUUCUCGAGCUGAGCUUUGCUUCUUUUCCUCUCUCCGUUUGUUUUCUCAGUAACUAGUUUAGUAGAGUUUUCUUUUCCGGAUUUCGUUUUUUUUUUUUUUUUUUGAGGAAAAGGAUUUUGGGUAUUGAUUUGAUUGUACGGUUUUUAUUUCUUUAAUGAAAUUUCUUUUUAUUGGAUUGUGUUUCUCUAUAGAAUAUUUGAAUUUGGUGACUAUAGGUUUAAUAAUUCUGUAAUAGAAUUUGCAAAGAUUGUAUAUUUAUUGGAUUAACAGCAUUUUGGGUAUUGUUAGUGGUGAAUUUCUGCUGGCCUACCUAUUUGCUAGUGGUGAACAAGCCUCGAAAGAUAGGGAAGCUGCUGUUUUGGCUCUUGGUGCAACUGGUGAAGGUUGCGUUACUGGUCUUUAUUCUCAUUUGUCCGAGGUAAUUCUUGUUGUUUUUAACCGGUACACAAAGUUUAGAGGCAGAUUACAAGGUGAAGAAUAAAUGGUGCAUAUAUAACAGUCAUCGGUUUUCCUUAACUCAAUUUAUGCUCUUAAAUUUUUUAUUUUUGCUAUUGUAUUGCUUUUACUUUAUUCUUCUUUGACAUGCUUGCCGCAGAAUUUGAAAAAAAAAAAGUCAAAUUUAUGUCUGCAUAUUGUGGCAUUUCUAUGUCCCCUUUUAGAUCAUGCGGAAGAAUUCUUCUUGGACACUUUCUCGAUUCAGUUCAGGUGUGGAUUAAAAUUGCUCCAUUGGUUGUUUCUCCUCAUGCCUAUUUUCCUUCUGUUUGAUGCUGUUUGGCUGUUAAUAUAUUUUUUUAAUCUAAUAAAUAUAUAUAACCACCAUGACCAUUUUUGCAUCUUAUGCCUUUUAUUUUCUGUUUUUGGCACGUAGCACUCCUAAAGUACUUUUUGUUGUUUUGUCCAUGCAUUGGAUUUUGUAGUUGAGAGCUUUCGUGUUUCCUUUAUAUCAGUCUAGUGGGCAUCAGAAAGGCUAUGAGCAAUUUGAUGCUGUAUGGGUAUGCUGCGAAGAAUAUUGGAUGCUAACAAGUGGGUAAAAGAGGCUGUUUAACCGGCUUUUGCAAUGCUUGAAGAGGUUAUUAUAAACUUGCUGCACGUUGUAAUUCAGGUUAAAUUCUUAUAGAUUUCAACAAUUGUUUUAUUCAUUUGAGGCUGCUGAAGAGGUUGCACCAAGUUUGGAAAUAAUUGUGUACACUAGCUUAUGCGCGUGCUUUUGUCUAACAUCAGGUUUUUUUGGCUGGCCUUUACAUUAUAAUAAGCUCCUUUUACUGUUGCAAUUAUGACUUAUGAAAGCCUAUUACUAUAUUUUUUAUUUUGUAUGCUGCUUUAUCAAAAUAUAAGUUGCUAAUAUCUCAAAAAAAAAAAAAAAAGUUGCUAAUUAUGUUUCUUUUCUAUAUGCAGUUUUUUGAGUUGCUUCUCUGAGAAAGCUUUAAUUGGGUUCAUUAAGUUUUAUAUUCUUACUUUUAAUGGAUGUCAUUCUGAUACUUUUUGAUGUUAUACAUUAAUUUAUUGAAGGCUUGGUGUACAUCCUUGGAUAAACACCUUCCAGGUUUGUUUGUCCUUGCUUAUGACCUUGCAGCAGAAGUGCUGAAAUUGGUCAAUAGUUUCUUGUUUUCUUCUUGUACUCUUGUUUUUUAUUAUAAUUCUGUUGUUUGCUUGGAAUACUCAAAUCUGCUGUAAGUAUUUCCUAAUUUUGCUUAUAAUUUACUGUAACUUCAAGUCUAUAAAAGCUUGGUAUGAAUCAUUUUUCAUUUCUGACUUUCCAGUUUCAGCAUUGAUUUAGAAGAUGUAGUAUUGGAAUUAGACAUUUUUUUAUCUAGUCCUUGAUGUUAAUGGUUCUUGGGUUUUUUCUGUCACUAGACCAUAAAAUUGCUGGGCAUUGCUAAUAUAUGUUUUAACUAGAAUACUAUGAAAAGAACUGUUUCUGUUAACUUUUAAUAAGAGUUAACAUAAAAAUUUUUCUUUUUUUUUUUUUGGUUGAGCUGUUUGGUGUCCUAUUGAUUACAUACGGCUCUUAUGGGUCUCCUGCUGAGAAUAUUGGAUACAAGAGGCUGCUUCUUUGGAUUUUGCAAUGCUUGAAGAGGUUGUUAUAAACUUGCUGUACUACUUGCUGUAUUUUGGGGUUUAAAUCCUUAUAUAUUUGAACAAUUGUUUUAUUCAUUUGAGCUAAACAUGUUUUUAUCUAGUCGUUGAUGUUAAUGGUUCUAGGUUUUUUUUCUAUCACUAGACUUUAAAGCUCAUCGGACACUGCUAAUAUAUGUAUUACGUAGAAUACUACAAUAAUAGCUGUUUCUGUCUCCUACAAAAUUUUUAGUAUUUUGAGUUAUUGAAUGAAUUGUUGAAGUUAUCUCGUUCCUUUUAAGCUCGAUCAUUUUUAGAUCAAUGUUUUUUGCCUAAUGAUCAGGCUUGUGUAGCAUUUGGUCAGCUAAUUGAAGUCCGCCCAUCUUUUCUGGAGGUGGGUAUCUUUUGUUUGUUACAUUUUAGUUUUCUUACAUUUUCUUAUUGCAGUUCUUUUAGUAGCAUGAAGUGUUACCUUUUUUUAGUAUCUAUGUCAUACACUUGUUUCUUUUUAUGCAUAACACUCUGUGAUGUGAUUUUUAACUAUUUGACAGCCACACUUGAAGAAUGUAAGUGGAUAUAUGUUGCAAGUCAAUAAAGGCAUUGAUGAAUGAUGUGGCCCUUGAAACAUGUAAAUUUGGGUAACUUUCUUCUUUGUGCAUUCCAUGUCUGAAUGUCAUAUAUUUUAGAUUAAGAUGUCUUUUAAAACCAUUUUUUUAUACCCGUGUCUUUUAGUCUCAAUGUCAUAAACGUGUCUUUUCAUGCCUAUCCACCACCUUUUUUUUUUUGUUUUUUCUUGUGAUGUGAUUUUUAACUAUUUGACAGUCACAUUUGAAGAAUGUAAUUGAAUAUAUGUUACGAAUGAAUAAGGCCAUUGAUGAAUGAUGAAGUAGCACUUUAAGCAUGUGAAUUUUGGUAACUUUCUUAUUUGUGCAUUCGAUGUCUGAAUGUCUUAUAUGUAGAUUAAGAUGUCUUUUAAACCAUAUUUUUGAUAGCUUAUGCAGAUUGACAUGCUUCAAACUAAUAGUUUUUGGCAGAAUGCAAUAUCUCUUGAAUUUAGCCUUUUCUUUUACUUGCUCACCUCUGCUUGUUCACAUAACAUGUUUGUUAAACAUGUCAGAAGUGAUGGAGGUGUGCUUGCCCCUGUGCCUCUGCCUCUAUGUGCUAUCGAACUAUAGUUAUAAAAAAUUUUAAUAUUGUUGCCAUCAAUAUUAGUCUAAUAAUAAAAAUAUGUAAUAAAAAAUAAAAAUUAUUUAAAUUAAAAUUUAUAAGUAAAAUUAUUAAAGGCAUUUUAGUUAAUCAUUUUUAAUAUUUUUGGAAUUAAAAUUUUAUUAAGGUGAUUUGAGUCAGUCAUUUUUAGUACUUUUAAAGUUCAAACUUUUAUAUAAUAAAGAAUAGAUAAUAUAUAGAAUAGGAGAUGUGAGAUAAUAUUUUAAUGGAUGAUAUAUAGAUGAUUAAUAAAUUCAUAUAAUAAAGAAUAUGAUAUGUGAGAAAAUAUUUUGAUAUUGUUUGUAGAAGUUGAAAAUUCCAUUGAUCAUAUAUAAAAUAUAUAUUUAUAUUUACACUAAUGUAAAAGUAAAGACUAUUACAUAUUUUUCUAGCCUAUUAUUCAUAAAAGACUGAUAAAAAUAAGCCAAUUAUUUAAUUUUCUCUUGCUUUUCUCUUUUUUCUCUUUAUUACCUAUUCUUGAAAGCAAUCUUUGUGUACAGAAUUUUUUUUAUUGAUAUUUUCUUGCUGAAAUGACAACAAUUUUGUUGAAAAUUCUCCAAUUGUGAGGGAUUCAAACUUCGGAAGUAAUAAAUUAAAGAUGAAUUAAUUUGUGAGGAAAGAUGGGUCGAGAAUUGCAUUAUAUGGAUAAGCAUAAAGCAUUAGAUUUUGAUAUGGUUCUAAUACAAUACAUUAGGGCAUUUGUAGGGGAUAAAAAAAACAAAUUGGAAAGAAGAAAAAUUGUCUACCACAAACCCCUAGAUCAAGUAGGAGUCGUUGACAAAGAGAACUGGUGACCAACCAAACAUGGGUUGGCUACAUAUUUCCACAAUGGAAUCGUUUAGGUAGAAUGUUGUCUUCCACAAAAUAGUAGCAAGAAGUGAUGCCUGCUUCUAUAUGAUGGAACCAUGCUCGUCUCCAAUAAGGAUUAAUAUACAGCACAAUGGCAAUACUCAGUAGCACCAUGACGUAGGACACAACAAAACUUACAUAAAAGACAUUCAUGUCAAUUGAGCCAUUGUCAGUUGAAGCCGUUGGCGUUAAUGAAGAUGGUCCAUCUGUUGAGCAAUUGUUUGGCAACGGUGGGCCACAAAGAAAACGAUUUCCCAGGUAGCUGCCUUCUUCGAAGGUUGCAAAUUGCGCGGUCCUUUCAGGUGUACUUCCGGAUAAAUUGUUGUAUGCCACACUGAAUGAAGACAAGUAAGUCAACCCCACAAGUUGAGAAGGGAUUUUCCCGCUCAAGUUGUUGUGAGAAAGAUCAAGACUCUCAAUUUGCUUGAGUUCAGAAACCGCUGGUGGUAUUGGUCCUGUCAAACUGUUGUGAGACAAAUUCAAAGCAAUGAUUUUUCGGAAGUCUUUUACUUCGUGGGGAAUCUCACCAGUCAACUUGUUGCAAGAGAGAUCAAUUCCAGAAAGUAAAGUGAGGACUCUUCCCUUGUAAGAGUAGGAUAUGUUUUUUGUUGUGAACUCUAUUGGCUCAUCAGGAGAGAAAGAACUGGGAGCUUGUGCAACAGCAGCAACAUAACGGACAUACUCUUGGGAUACAUCAUUCAGUGUUGUAAUCUUCAGGCAAGGAGGAAUUGUACCCGAAAGUUUGUUAUUAGAAAGAUCAAUCAAGCUUAACUGACCCAACUUGCAUAACUGAACCGGAAUCUCACCUUCAAAGUGGUUGUUAUUUAGGAGAAGGUAACUCAACUGAGAAAGCCUGCCAAUCCAAUUUGGAAUGCUUCUAGUUAAGCGGUUAUUACUGAGAUCUAAUGUCACCAAGAUAGUGCUGUUACGAAAUGCAUCUGUGAGUGGCCCUUGUAGCUUGUUUCUUGAUAAAUGAACUUGACUGAUCCAUAAAGGGCUGAAGCAAGAUGGCAGACUCCCAGAGAUACUGUUCACCGAAAGAUCCAGAAGUUUAAGAUUAAGAUUGAGCUGGCAAAACUCCUUGGGGAUUGGACCUUCAAGAUGAUUAUUUGCCAUGACAAUUUCUUCCAAACUUGACAUAUUCCCCAUCCACCUUGGUAUCCGACCAAAAAGUUUGUUCUUGCUUAAAUCUAAUGUUGACAAACUUGAAAUAUUCUCCAUCCACCUUGGUAUAUCACCAAAGAGUUGGUUAUCGCUAAGAUCCAAUGUUGUCAAAAAGGUACAAUUAGACAAACAAUCUGGGAUCCUUCCAGAGAAGAGAUUCCUAUCCAGUUGCAACUCCCUCAAGUUUAUCAAGUUAAAAUUUGAAGAGAACAUCGAGCCUUGCAAUCUGUUGUUUGACAAUAUAAGAACACUUAAUAAGGAACAGCCCAUUGCCAAGUGCUCUGGUAAUCCUCCUGUCAAUUUGUUGUUAGACAAGUCCAAGGUUCGUAGAGAAUUCAUAUCUCCGAUUGAAACUGGAAUGCUACCGCCAAAAAUAUUUUUUGACAUGUUCAAAAACCAUAAUGAUGGUAGUUUUGCUCCAAUUUCAUUUGGAAUGUUGCCAUAGAAGGAAUUUUUGGAGAUAUCCAACUGUGAUAAAGCUGUAUGUGAAAGGGAAGGUAACUGAAAUGGUCCCAGGAAAGAGUUGUUGGAGAGAACUAAUUCAUAUAAAUUUGUGUUGUUCUCCAACAACCAAUUUGGAAAUUCCCCUUUCAAAUUGAUGCUAGAUAGAUCAACAUGCCGCAAGUCAUGUUGAUGAUAGAGAAAUUGAGGAAAUGAUCCAACAUCUCCACAACAAGAUAUGCUGAUCUCAUAAAGUUGGAAUGUUGGGGCCAAAGAAUGCAUCUCGGUUUCAGCAUAUAUGGUAUUGUUGUCUGCAUCCAUGUACCAGAGUUUUGAAAGGUUGAACAAGGGUCCUAAUGAGCUUGGGAUUUCAAAGUAAUUGUUUGAAAGACUCAAUGUUUGGAGGGAUUUUAGAUUCCUAAGGACAAAUAUAUCUCCAGAAAAUUGAUUGGAUGAGAGAUCUAAAAUUUCAAGGGAUGUUAGACUCUCAAGAACAGAUAUAUUUCCAGAAAACUGAUUGGAAUAAAGAUAUAAACUUUCAAGCGAUGAGAGAUUGGAGAAGCACUCGGGCAAGUUACCCCUUAAAUUAUUGUAGCCAAUAUCCAAGUUUUGGAGAUUUGUCAAUUCACAAAAACCUGCAAAAGUAGCAUUAUGUUAAAUAAAUGAAGAAGGUGCCAUGCGCUGGAACAAAAAAAAAAAAAACAAUUAGUCUCUCCAUCCCUUAUAUUUUGUCACUUACUAACAUUUCAUAAAAUUUAGAGAGAUCAAAAGGAAAAGAGAUAAUACAUAAAGAAAAUUUAAAAAAAUUUGGUGUUUGUUUAGAACAUAGUAGGUUUCGUUACUUUUAAAAAAGUUAUGAUAAAAGGUAAUAUUAUAUAAGAAUAAUAUAUGAAGAGUAACAUUUUGUAUGGGAGAAUAUUUCAAAUGCAAAAGGGACAACAUGAGUAUAGGACGGAGUAGGGCUGUAAACGAGUCGAGCCGAGCCGAGUAGUGAGAAGCUCGAGCUCGAGCUCGACUCACAACUCGGAGUUUGAUACUCGGUUCGAGCUCGAUCGAGUUUUAUUUUUCAAGCUCGAGCUCGAUUCGUGAUCGAAUUCGAGCUACUCGAGCUCGUUCGAUUAAGCUCGAUUAAUAUGUAAAAAUAAGCUCGAUUCGUAUAUUCGACAAGAGUUCGAUUAUUCAUGCUCGAACUCGAACUCGGAUUCGAAAUAUUCUAUUUAAUUAAAAAAAAUAAAAAUAUAUUUAAAUAUAAAAGCUCGAUUAGACUCGCGAGCUACUCGAGUCAGAUAUAAGAAUACUCGAAUUCGGUUUGAUCGAUAAGUCGAGCUACUCGAGCUCAAGCUCGACUCGACAAUAAUCGAACUGAAUUUGAGUUUUUUUCGAAUCGAACCCGAGUAACUUGCGAGUACUAAUGUAUCAUUUACACCCUUAGGACGGAGAGACCAAGAACUGAAAUCAAAGGUAAGGUAUGUAUCAAUCUCAACCUUGGGAAUGUAAGGUGCCAUUGAGUCCGCAGUCCCAUAAUUCUAGAUUCUUGAGAGAAGGCAUUGCUCCAAUUUUUUGAAGAAAGUUGUUUUCCAGGGAAGUGUCCCAUAUGAACAAGGAUUCCAAAUUCUUCAAAUGAAUUGGACCUAUUUCAAUAUAUGUAUACACGGAAACGUAAGAAGAUAUAUUUAAAGUAACAAAAAAAAAAAGAUAAUAUCAUAAUAUGUAUGCAAUUAACAAUAAACUCGCAUCCUAUCAUAAAUUAAAACUUUAACAAUUGUAUAAAUAUUUAUUUCAUACUAUUAAGUCAAUUAAUUAAGAUGUUUUAUUUUGAAAGAAAAUCAAAAUACUUUUUUAAAUCUAGCAAAAAAAAAGUAAAAAACAUAUCAAUAAGCUUAAUGAAUUCAGAUAAAUAUUGUUAAUAACAAGAAACAAAAUGAUCAAUUAUUUAAAAUCAACAAAUUUCUUUUUUUUCUUGUUUUAUAUAUAUAUAUAUAUAUAUGCUAAACUAUUUUUCUUUUUUUUAUUAAUUACUAAUUUACAUAUGAGUGAUACAUUCAUUACAAAAUUCUUGUAAUUUUAAGUACAUGUAAUGCUCAUUUGAAUGGCUAAAGGUAAGAGACAUCCAAAAAAUAAAGAAAUAAAAUGGAUUUAUAACUAUAAAUUUAAAAUAUCUAAUUUAUCAUGUAAGUUAAGACUACUGUUGAUGUCACCAAAUAUUACUCUCAAAUUUUUAAGAGAAGUUAGCAUUCCAAUAUCUUGAAUAAAGUUAGAAGGGAGAGAUAAACCUUCUAGCUCCAACUUUUUCAAAUUUGUCAAAUUUUUUCAUUCUAUUCAAUCAAAGUUACGAAUUAUGUUUUGAAUUGAAAAAUAUAAUUACAAAUGACAAUCGAGAAAAUGAUACUACUACUUAAUAAGUAAUUGAAAAAUUGAAAGAUUUAUUUUACCAUGUAAAUUGAAGCUGCCAUUGAACUCACAAAAAUACACGUACAAAUUUUUAAGGGAAGUUAGCAUUCUAAUAUCUUGAAUAAAAUUGGAAGGGAAAAAUAAAUCUUCUAACAUCAAUUCUUCCAAACUCGUCAAAUUUUGCCAAAUCAAUGAAAGUUAGAAAAUUAUGAAAAUUAAGAAGUAUGUUAUGACAAAAAAUAGUUGCAAAUGACAACCAAUAAAAUAGUUCUCCAAAAUAAGUCUCAAGUAUAGUAUAUGCAUAUAAGUUAUGAGAUUUGGCCAACGAUUCAUGUCUUUUCUGUGAGGGUUGACUCUAUAAUGUGAUAAUUUAAAUCUUUGGCACUGCUUAAGUUAGGGAUUAUCAUAGAAAAAAGUAUAUGCAAAUAUAAAUACAGUCACUUUUGAUGACUCAUUUUAAUGGAUAGAGACAAAAGUUUUAGUAAAAGGUUCAAUAUUAAAUUUAACAUAUGUAAUAUUAUUUAUUUUUAUAAUUUUUUAUAUAUUAAUCAAAUUUAUUUACAUAAAAAGACUAUUGAUUAAAUUUACCAUUAGUCAAGCAUAUUUGAAAAAAUCAUUUAACAAAAGAUAAAAAUCACAAUGAAAAAGAAUUUUAGGGCAAAAGUUAACUAUUAAGUAUAUGAAAAAUUUUCUAUCUAUAUAUUGGAAUAAUAAGAGAAAUUAUGUUAAAAAAUUUUCAAAAAGUAUUCAAUUAUGUAAUAAGUGAGAAAAAUGGGAAGAAUUUAUAAGAAUAAAUAGGGGAAACAAAAUGAUUUGAUAAAAUUAAGGAGAAGGUGGAGUGGGGAAUAAAAUUUUAAUUUUUAUUGAAAUCUGAAAAAAACUUUAAAUCAAAUUAUGGAUAAUAUAUAUAUAUAUAUAUAUAUUUAUCCAAUGCCAUAACAUUAAAGUUAUCCCAUUUCAAUCUAAUAAAAGAAUUUGGUUAACAUGAGGCUUGAUGUUUUUGUCAUUUUCUUUUUUAAAAUAUUUUUCAUAAAAUUUUAUAAUUUUUUAUAUUUUUCAAAUAAUAUGUUCUAUUUUCAACAAAAAUAAUUCUAACAAAAUUAAAUAAUUAUUAAAAAUAAAGGAAGUAAAUAGAAUAAAAAUGAAAUAAAAUAAAAAAAUUGACAAUUUGAGUAAAAAAAGUUUUAAAUAUUUAGAAGUGAUAAAGAAAAGAAUAAAUAUGAUAUAAUUGAUUAAUAUAUUUACCUAACUUUUAACAAAAAAUUAAUAGAUAAAAAAAUAUUAAUCAACAUAAUAAAACAAAAUUAAAAAACAUUCUCCUUGUUUUCUUAAAUUAAAUUUUCAUAGAUUUUCUGGAUUGUCUCAAAAUUGUUUUCAUUUCCUUUAACACCUACAAUUCAUAUUUUAGAAAUUUUUCAUAUUUUUACUCUUUAGAAUUUAAAUAUAUAGUUUAUCAAUAUUGCAAAAAAAGUGAAGAAAUAAUGUUGAAAUAAUAAUAAAAAUUUUAUUUGGCUUAUAUAAAAAAAAUAAAAAACAAAAAUUGUCACACACUAUUAAAAUUAAGUUUAAAAUUAUCUAAACAAAAAAUUAAGUUCCAAAUUGGGAUUGAGGUGACAUGGUAAUAAAAGGUAUUUAAUUCAAAUAAGAAAUAGAUAAAGAGUAAAAUAAAUGUUUGACCAGUACCUUUCCCUAAUUGGUUAAAUAAAUGUAGUUAAUAAUAGUAAUUAUAAGAGAAAAACAUUACAUAUAAUCAUCAUAACUUACAAGUAGCCAGUGUUCCAUUAAAACUAACACCAUACAAUUGAAGAGUCUUCAAUGAUGGGAACAAGUCCAACGAUUGCGGUGAAAGGCUACAAGCUGCAAUUGAUACAAUUAUUACAACAUGAAAUGUAAAGAAGUUAGUAAUACAAUUAAAUCUUUCUGUAUGAUUUGUAAAUACACAUAUUAUAUAUUUUUAUUCCCCCAAAUUUAAAUUAAGAUGUACUUCCCUGUAAAAAUAAAUGUAGUCUUUUGAUUCAAAACAGAGAAAGGCACAAUAUUAAAUUACAAUCAAUUUGAAUUUGCUUUUAAUUUUUCUAAUGAAAAAAUAAAACAAAACCGUGGUGUUUUCAAUUUUGUGCAACCCAAAUUUCAUUAAUAAUCAGAGUUAGAGAAGUACAAUAUUGUCUAGCAAAAGUUUACAUAGACAAGAGCAAUUUAAUAUUAAUAUAUAAUUCAUUAACAUUACUGAUUAAUCACUUAAAUAAAAAAUUACCUAAAUGAAAGAGAGGGCAAAUGUUUCGAUUAGUUUGAAUUUUAAUUUCUUAAAGUUUUUAGACGUGUAAUUCAUUCAAACAUGCAUGAACAAAUUGAUGAAGAAACAAUUUUGUUUUAGCAGUACCUUUGGUGUAAUAGCAGGAUAUAAAUAGAUUCUCCAAAUUGCUCAAAGCAUCUAACCCUGAGAAGAAUCACAAAUAAAAAUAUAAUUAAAUUAAAUUAAAAAUAAAAAAUGAUAUUCUUGCAUUUGUGCUUUAAAGCAUAUACUUAAGUAUUAUAUAAUAAUAAAAUAUCAUUUAAUAACUCUAGAAAGAGAGAAAAGAAGGAGAGGGGGUAGUUUUACCUUUAAGAUUUAUUGAUCCGUUCAAGUUGUCUCCUAAAGACAAAGACUUUAGAUUUGAAAGCCUACCAAGGGAUGACAAUAUGCUAUAGUUGAAGAGAUUCCACCCCAAAUCAAGCACUUCUAGAUUGAUCAACCUUAGUUCCGUUUCAUUAUCUGUAUAACAUUAAUUUACAUAAUUAAUUUCAUUACUUUUUAAUUUUUUAAUUAAUUCUAAAUAAUUGAAAACUCUUUUUGGAAAAGUACAAAAAUUUCCACUGAAAUAUUCCAGUUUGUAAACAUGUAAAUUAUACAUUUCCCAACAAAUUGUGUUAAAUACCUUUGGAUGGAGCAAAGUCAUUCACUUGAUUAUCCGAGAUAUCUAAUUCCACUAAAUUAGUCAAAGCAUUCAAUUCUGAGGAUAGAAUUACAAAAAAAAAACUAGUAAUUAAUUAACAAAUCAUAUAAAACCCAAACAUAUAUAGAUUUUAAACCAUAUUUACCUUUAAUAUGUAUCGACCCAUCUAAUUUGUUUCUUGCUAUAUACAAAGACUUCAACUUUAAGAGCGCAGCAAUGGAUAAGAAUACGCUGUUGUUGAAGAGAUUUUCACUUAAACCAAGCACCUCAAGUUUGAUCAACCUCAAUUGUUCAUUCUGUGAAAGAUUAGUAACAUAAUUUUAUCUUCAAAAGAAUAUCUAAUUAUUAUAUAUAUUUAUUAUUCAAAUUCAUUAUAUGUUAACUUACACUUUGAAAUAAAGAUCCGAGACUCCCAAUUUGAUUUUCGCCUAAAUACAACUCCUUUAAGUUUGUCAAAUUAUUGAAUUCUGUUCAAAUCAAAUCAAAUAUAUAUCAAUCUAGUUAUUCCUUUUUAAAACCAUGAGAUUUUUAAAACAACCCUACCUCGCAAAUUAACAGUUCCUUUUAAUCCGCAAUUCUGCAAACGCAAAGAUUUUAAAGAUGUAAAAUCAUCUAGAUGUGAUAGGAUGUUGUUUCCUAAUACAUUGCCAUAUAAAUCCAGAGUCUCUAACUUGUUCAAUUUUGAUAACCUCUUCAUACCUGUUUUCAAUAAUAUUACAAAAUUUUAGUAAAUAAUCACUAUUUUAUAAAUAUAUAUAUCUCAAUUACAAAACAAACGUUAUUUACUUUAACCUGAUUUUUAUAUAUAACACAAUAUUAACAUUACCCUCUAUCAGAUUUGACCCAGUGAAUUGGUUUUUUGCUAGAUUUAAAGACCUGAGUGAUGAAAGUUUGCUUAAGGAUGCUAAAAUGCUAUCAUUGAAUUGAUUAACACUUAAGUCAAGGAUCUCAAGUUUGUCUAAUUUCAGUGACAGCUUUUCAAAACCUACAAGGAAAAAUGUAGCAUUUAGUGACUUUCCGAAAAAAUUGAAAUAAAAAAUAUUUAGAUAAGAUGAACAAAACUGGUAAUCAAUAAAAAUGAAUUUUCAAAUGCAAAAUACUUAUUGAAGUAGCAGUUAGUAAUUAGGUGAAUAUGAAUUAACCUUGAUUGUCAACACAACCAGCAAUAGAAUUGCCACCCAAAUAAAGACUCUUCAAUUCCUCAAAAGGAAGAAACAAAGAGGCAUUGAGAUACCAAGAAUCUCUCCCACUCCAAUCGUACUUUCUCAAAUAAUAAUUAUAAACUAAAUCACCAUAGACUUCAGUAGUUGUAAGAUUAAGGAAGAGUCGGAUCACUCGUCCAGUGGAGGUGUUGCACUCAACCCUUUUCCACUGACAACAAUCUGAACUCUGUUUUCCCUCAUCCACCCAAUAAUUCUUUACAUCUUUAAUAUGAGUAAAGAAAGGUUUAAGUUGCAAAAGAGCAAUUUUUUCUUGCUCCCAGCACCUUUCACAUUCACAACACCUUCCUAAUAGGAAUGCUACCAAAACCACCCAUAACCAUUUCCACUCCAUCUCAAUUAAUUAAUGCACUCUAAAAAAACUUAAUAUUAACUAUGCUGCUAUGCAUUUGGCAUCACUAUAUCCAUGGGGUUUAUCUACUAAAAAGUCACUUGAAAAGAUACAGCCUUGUUUCUUAGAAUUCAUUGAAAAUGGCACACUCAGUCUUGACGUACUUGUCAAAUUCCACAGCAUUAAGAAAACACAUUGCAUGAAGCUUCCUACAAAUUUUCUUUGUGGAAAAGUAAGCACAGAUUCUGACAAUUAUAAUAAACACUCCAUCUUAAUUAUAACAUCAUUAAUGUCUUGUAGUGACACUGCUAACAAAAAUUAUUGCUUACUUUUUUUUUCUUUGUAAAUCCUUAUUAAAACUUUUGUUUUGUUUUUUUAAUUUAAUUUUUUAGAAUACUUUAGUAUCCCUUUUAACAGCUUCAUUUUUUUUUUUGUUGCUAAAACAAUUUUAGGAUGUAUUCCAUAGUAAAAAAAGUGAAAAGAUGAAUAAAACAAGGUGAAAAAGUGGAAAAAAAUAAAUUUUCGCUAUGUUUGGUAAAAAAGAAAAAUUAAAAAAAAGAUUAUUAUUUUUCAGACUUAUUAAUGCAAAUAAAUCACUCCAAAUGUAAAAGAAAAGAUGAAAGAAAAUAAAAGAGGUAUGAGCAUGUGUUACAUAUUUAUAAAAUUAUCCUGUCAUAUUUAGAUUUUUUUACAAAAUGUUAUAAUAAUAAAAUCAUAUUUUUUUUCUUUCAUUUUCUAACUCUACCAAACAAUGAAUGAAAAAAAUUAUAUUUUCUUUCUUUUUCAUUUUUUUAACCAAGCUCAAUAAAAAUAAAAUAUAUAUUUUUUAUCUUUUCAAUUUUUUCUUUCAAUUUUUUAUCUUUUUAUUUUUCUAUCCCAUACUAAGCAAGGCCUCUAUUUAGUAAUUUUUUUUUUGUUUGCCAACCUUGCUAGGGUUAUUGCCAAAUUUCAUGUCAAUAUUAAAUAUUUCCACAACUAAAGGGAGACAUGAUGGCCCAUUGUAGCUUUUCUACCUAUAUCAAGUUAGGGAGGAAGAUAUUACAUAUAUUAAUUCAUUGUCAUGACUAGUUGAUGUCUAGACUUUUGUUUAGCAACUGUAUUAUUAUUUAGGAGACCUUGACUUUGGCAUCAACUAUGAAAUAGAACAAUGGAUCAGUCUACACGCCAACCUCAUGAUAGGAUGGUGGAUUCCUCCUCUCUCUUUCCUGGAAGAUAUAAAUUUGGUGUGGAAGUAGUCAAAUAAACAAAAAGUCAUCUUUAUUACAUUGUUUGCUGUGUUUCUUGCUUCUACUUGAUGAAUGGUUUAUAGUCUAUCAAAAGACUUUGACUUAGCGUCAAUUGACACAAAUUAUUUGCAAACUAAAAAACUAUCGGUUAUGCAAGGGAAUAAGAAUAUAUAAUUUAUUCUUUAUUUAAUUAUUGAUUUCAUUAUAUGAUGAUAUUUGUUUAUUUUUUGUUAAAUAUUUGAUAAAUAUGCAUUUUUUAAAACUUAAUUACUAAGAGAAAGGUAUACUAAUAAUUUUGUUAUUUUUCUCGGCUAUAAUUUUUUUUUAAAAGGAAUGUUAAAAUUAGUGGACUUUUUUUAUCAAGUAAAAUAGGUAUGGGUGUUUUAUUCCUUCCUCAAACGAUUUAGUUUUCAAUCUUGACAAAAAAUUUGGUAUAAUAUUUUUAAUUUUUUGUAAAAUUUAUAAACUUUAGUUAGAUUUUAAAAAAUUUAUACUGAUUUAUCCAAAAAAGAACCGAAAAUUUUUUUAAAGCUCCUGACAUAAAAAUUAUUAAAUUUUAUAAUUGCAAUGAGCUGCGACCAAACUCAAAGGAAGUUGGCUCAAGGGGAAUGAUCAGGUCUGAUCUAUUCCCAUAGUUGUAGACCUGCUCAUAGCUUUAGGUAAGGGAUUUGUCCAAAAUUUACUGUUAAAUGAGAAUAAAAUUAUCCCAGCCCCAAGAUAGAAAAAUGCGGGAGAAGUUGGUGUUCAAUUAUAGGAGGCCGAUAACAACAGGCCCUAUUGAUAUUGCCACGGCCCAAGAGAUUAAUGUUCACAAAUAGGAGCCGAAACUGCCUGGACCUCUUAGUUAUGAAGACGACCGAGCCCAAAGGUUCAUGGUGACUACAACAAAGAAAAGGCAGGCUUGGACUACUGUGAUCAUACAAUAUGGGCAGCACUGUUUCAGGACAUGAAGCCCACUUGACUUGACCAUACGUCUUUCUUAGUUUUGUCUGGAAAGGUGAGAUCAAAUGUUUUCUCCAAUAAUAGGGACAAGCCUUAUGUCUGGUAACAAUUGCUUUUUAGGUCCAAUAUUAGCAUAUUCAAGUAGUGUGGGACAGUUUUUCUGUGAUCAACACGCAUGCCAUAGUCUAUAUUCUUUUCGAGUUCAUCUAAUCUAAACUUUCAAGAACUAUAUACAUGCUUUAAGCUUUCUGGUUUCAUGGGAUCUUCAUUAGUUGUAAAAUCCUUCAUAUCGGCAACCAUCAUGCCUUGCAAUGAAAAAAAAAAUCUAUAGAUUGUGAGCUGUGAGCUUUCUUAGAACUUCUUUGCCGAUUUCAAUGUGUGCAUCUUUUUGUGCUAAAUGAAACCAGUUCAUGAACUGACUAUCAUAGUUCCAUCAGCAGACAUGCUCAGCUCAGCUAUGGUCUGAAAAUGAAGAUUAAACUGAUAGAAAGGAUGGUACCCAUAUCUUCAAUAUCGUAAGGUGUUUUACACUGUAUGCUGCUUGACAGUAAUGUUUUGAGGUGUAGACGUUAACUAGCGGCUAUAAAACAAUACAACUAGUUUCAUCUUCCAUUGCAAUGUGGUCGAUUUGGCUUAGUCGAAUUCUUUAAUUCUUUAACAUAUGUCUGCCAGUGCCUUCAAAGUUGCAAUGAAUGCCAACCUCUUUUAUUCAAUUUAACUAAACAUUGUAGCCCACGGUAUCUACAUUCUUUAAAUUCCUGUCCAUAAAUACAAAGAAAUAUAACCCUCUGUCUGUUCGUAUAAACAAAGGGCCCCACCCUGCUGGCAAAUACACAAGACAAUAAAUAACUAAAUAAAUAAAAACAAUAGCAAAAAUUAAAGGCUACACCUUGCUUGUUUUGCAUGGAUUCAGAGGUUUGCUAAUUCUUGACAAAAGUUGAAAAGCCUCCUUAAAAGUUGAGAAACAAUUGGGAUUAGGAGUUUUAUAGCAUUGGCCUUUUGCACUAGGAGAUGGACGACUUAAAGGAACAGGUAUGGUAAUUGGAAUUUUAGAUGUUUGCAAGAGUUGCUGAGAAUUUAGGAUACCAGUAACUAAUCACAAGAGGUAAGGAUUUAAUGAUGAUAAUGAACAACAAAUUUUAUGAAUUUAUAUGCUUGGAAUUUCUUAUAUAUUAAUGACCAAUUAAUGUAUUUGAAAGCUUUUAUGAAUUUACAUAAUAAUUCAAGUUGAAGGAGCUAUUAUCUAAAUACUUUUAUAGAAUAAAAAAAAUCAGAAAAGCAGUAUCUAAUAAACAAAUUAUUUAUUCUAAGUAAAUUGAUGAAGAUAUAUUGGCCAUUUCCUUACUGUUUUUUAGGCAAAAUGAAGAGAUUUUCGGUUAUAGAUCACUAAAUGUAUGCUACUGUACAUAAUUCUUUUAUGACAUUUUGUGUUUGAAACCAAAUGACUCAAUACAUAUAUCAAUAUAUAUAUAUAUAUAUAUAUAUAUAUUUUGAGGUUAGGCAGAUCUAACAAAACCAAAAUUCAAUGAAAAAAGGAAUACAGAAUUAGACAAAGAGCCCCAACAUGUCGUUUUCUUUUUCUUCUAGUAGAAGCACGAUAGAAAGAGUGGCAACUUAUCCAUUUGAAAUAACAACCAGCCAUGGCAUCACCCACCCUCUUGAUGCCAUUUUUGAGAAGAAUACAAACAAAUAUUUUCCUUAGCAGUAGGCCCUUUGAAGAAAAUCUACAAAUCAUCAAGAAAACUUCUUUUGAAGAAUUGUUUUCCUGGUUUCAACGUCAUCUGAACUGACCAAAUUCACAGGUUGGAUAAGAAGAUUGAAACAUAAAAACACAGUUUCUUCACAAAGAGACAAACAAUAUUGUUGAAUUCCUUAACGCCACUUGCCAACUCAUUGUCAUACACAUCAUUGUUUUGUAAGAACUAUGAAACAAGAACUGGCAUAGAGAAUUUUAAAACCUUUCAAAACUCCAAUCCAUCCUUAUCCUAUCAUGAAAGAAAAAAGGAAAAAACAGAUCGAAUCGAUUAUCAUCAUCGUCAUCAAUAAUCCCUCGUGGCUGGUUCAUGCACAUGGGGCUUGUCAAUUAUUGUCUUGACCCUCAAAAAUAGAAUGAAAAGUACUUCAAAAAUUUUCACUGACAUUGAAGAGCCCACUCGAAAGUGCGAAAUUAGUAAACUACAAUUGCAAAAUUUAGUACAUCAGCAUCAGCUCAUCUGAUCUGAAAGUUGUAAAACAAACACCAAUUCCUGAGUCAAAUGAUCUCUAAGAUAUUUGAUGAUGAUGAUGAUGAUGAUUAGAUCGAAGGGAAACAAUAUUUGGUUGUAUGGUGCUUACAUCACAGGGAAGUUUGAUCCAUCUUUUUGGCUUUGGGUGAGAAUCUGACAGGCAACAUGGACCUCCUCUCAACUGGCCAAAAACUGCUAUGAUCACUUGGAAAAAUUUUCUUUGCAAAGUAGAUAUGAAUGGUCCCAUAUGCAGGCUGUUGCAAAGCCAUCACAGCUUUCAUAUGGUAUGUGGGUUGGCCAGCGUUUUCCCUUUCACAAUUUGAAGGCUUUCAGUUUUCUGGACCCAUUUGGGAAUUGGGAGCCAUCAAAAUAAAGAAAAAAAAAGUUUUAAUUUUACAAAUUUCAUUAUUUGCGAGAAAUUAAGUUUGCGUGAUAGGAGUAUUAAUCCAAGUUAACAGCAUUUACAGCUAUACGUACGGGAAAAUUUUAAAAUAUAUAUAUUUUUUGAAUUGAUAGAUUAAAUUCUUUUUCAUAGAAAAGAAAUGAGUGAACGAUCAUUUCUAUUAAAAGAAAAAGAGUAGUAUAAAAUAUUGAAGAUUUAAUUAUAAAGUGAGUAGUUACUAAAAUUUAAUUAUAAAGAAAAUUUAUUAUUUUUUAGAUUAAUUAAUAUAUGAUUGAAAUUGAUAUUUAAAAGUUAUAGAUUUGAAUAAAUUUAAGUAUAUAAUAUUUUAUUCAACCACCUUUGUAAUUAGAUAGGAAAAUUUUUAAAAAUAGAUUAAAAAUUAAAAGAAAAAAAAAAGAGAGUCAUGAUGUGAUUACCAAUGCACAAAUUUUAAUUUGGGUGUAAAUAAUCUUUUAGCUGUCAAUUUUUUUAAUUAUUCAAAAUAAUUGUGUCUGUUGUGCUUUUAAAAAAAUAAGAAAAUGGCAAAAUCGAAGCUGUGGAUUCCUGUGGGCUUGGACCAGUUCUUGCAAUUGUAGUCAUUUUUUGUGCUAAUUUGCAACUCUCAAGCGACACCUGAAAAAUUUUUUAGUUUCGCUUUAUUAUUGUGAAAUAAUUUUUGUCUUCAAAACUUUGUUUCAUUUUUUAAACGUAAAUAUUUCUGUUUUCUUAUCUUCUUUAAUUAAUCAUAUUAUUAUUUACCACCUUUCCCUUCUUUUAUCCUUUAUUAAUCCCCCAUUAGUACGAUUAUUACCAUAAUUUCAAUCAAAUUUAGGGAUGGUCCAACUGAGUUAAAGUUGAUAAUUUACUAGAUUUCAUUUUCUUCCCCGACGGUAAGGUCAUCUUCAAGGUCUAAGUUCGUUCAAUUUACUUCUCCCUUGCGUGUGUAUAAGUAGAAUCCAGUUACGUGAAUUUCCCACAACUUCUCCAUUUUCGAUACCUGUAAAACAAGAAAAAAGAAGAAAAUUAAGAAUAAAACUAUCAACUGUAAAUCAAAACCUAAAUUAAAAGACAAAACAAAAUUAUGAAAAAAAUUAAAAAAAAAAAAAGAAAUACAGACGGAAGAAAGAAAAAGAACGGGACGAGUCAAAACGGGAAAAGUGGAAAAAGAUCAAACGGAAGAAACGGCUGAAAUGGAAAACGGGAAAUGUCAAACCAAACGGAACACCAAAAAGAAAAAAGAAAUGCGCUGGAAUGGAAUGGUGUUUGGAGAACAAAACAAAUGGAAGAUAUAAUACUUGAAACCAAUCAACACUGAGAUCUGGCCUGGGAUUGUCAGAUUAGAGUUAAUUUGAUUAGAUUAGAUAUUUUUAAGAGAUUUUAAGAGUUUUUGUUUUUGUCCAAAAGCUCCUCAAAUUUGCCAUUGGCUGCAAAUAUGUGUAUUUACACCAGCAAAAUAUAUGAUAAUAUGUUCCUCGGAUUUUACGGUUUCGGUCACCGGGAGUACACUAAAAUUCAUUUCCGUCCCGAAUCCUUCGUUCAGAUUUCCAACUUCUUCGCCGCAAUCUGACUUCACCGCCACCGUCCGCGGCUUGACUCCAAAGUUCGAUCUCCAAUCACCGGAAAAUCUCGGAGACUUAACCAGAAAUCGUUAAAAGAUUACACACACCGCAAAGGAAUCUUCAUUAAUCCUCGGCUUUUGACAUCACGGAGAGCCGGCUCGGCCUCGGCUGGAACGCUGCGCGGCGACGCUGCUGGUGAGAGGAAGGUCUAAUCAAAGCCGACAAAGCUCUCUUAACCAGAUCUCCUUCGACUCCUCCGAUUCUCACCAGCGAGUUCGUCAUAGCAGACCUACGCGCGUUGAGCCGAUUAUGAGGCGCGCAACUUGUCACCGCGUGCGAACUAUUAAAACUCUUAUGAAGGCUGCAACGGAACGAUCCCGGGUGCGUCGUAGGGGAACACAUGCAAGUCCGCUUCGGCUGUUUACUCUGUAAAUUCUUCAACACCUCGUUGUUUCUACGGACGGUAGUAAUCGAACGGUUGGGCGAGAUCGGACGGUUAUCGAGCGAGAAUCGCACGGACGGCGCGGAUGGAGAGUGGUUGUAGAGAUUGACACGUGGUGGAGAGAUAGAUCUGUGUUGAUUAAAGAAAGUUGAGGAGCGUGAAGAAAAGCUUGAACUUGAAUAAGCAAAGGCCGAAGAAGAAGAUGAUGGAGACUGUGACGUGUAGUGAGAACUGAACCGGCCAGAAGGGGAGAGAGAUCGGAGAACCGGACCGCUCGAUUUUCUAGAAGAUUUCGCCAUAUGUUUUUUUUUUUUUUUGGCAGAAGAGAGAGAAAGAAAGUAUGAGAAUUUUUUUUUGAAUUUCUAAAAAGCCGCGUGUGGCUGUUUAGUUGGGCAAACCUAGCUUUACACGAGCCACGUAUUUAUAGGGGGAGGGCAAGGGUCUGACCGUCUGGGUUUUGGAAAUUUCGCGAUAUUUGCAAAGUCGGGCUUUUAGUUCUUAGUUUUGCUAUUGUGCACCUAAAUUUUUUUAAUUUAUUUUUAUACCCGUGGAAUUUGUUAUUCUUUGCGGCUGUACACGUCAUUGUUAUUUCCUUACUUUCCCUUUGCUUUUCUUAUGAUAUUUCUAUUUUCCUUUUGAUUAAUUACAAUUUAUAAUAAAUAUAAAGAAGGUUGGGAAAUUAUUUAAUGCAUAAAAUAUUUCAUAAAAUUAAAUGAAUUUGCAAUAGCUAAGAAUAUUUAACUUGUUUUUGAAUAUAAAGUAAUUUUAUUCAUUUAAAAAUGAAUUAAAAUGCAUUUAAAAGAAUGGACCACUUUAUUGUCAUUUUAAUGCUCAACAAUCUAAUUAUAUCAAAAAAAGACAUUACAAUAUGGUAUAUUUGAUAGCAUUUUAAUUUAACUGUGCAUAACAUGAUGUUUACCUAAUUGUAAUCAAGUAUAACUUGAAAAUUACUGCAAAUGAUAAGGCUUUCUUCAACUGUGGUGGAGAUAAUGAGGAGGCUUAACAUUUUAAUUUGAAAUUAAAUGUUACCAUGGUUCGAGUUGCCUACCUAUUAUUUAGGUCUUAAAUAAGAUUUUUUAAAUUCAAGAUCGAUUUUACUCGUGAUAUAUAUUAUUAUAAUAAUAUAGAAUUAUUUUAAUUUAAAUUUCAUUCAAAAUAUAGAUAUAUUUUAAUACUAAUUAAUUAGUAGUUGUCAACAGCAUUUUAUCAUAGUUGUUGAUGAUUUUUUGAGUUUGGUGAUUGAAUGCUUUAUGAAGGAGCUAGCAAAAUGAUUAAUUUAGAUGUUAGAGUGAUCUAUUAUAAAGAAUAAUCGGCGAGCGUCAGAGAUAAGAAUUUAGAGUGUUUUCUGAUAUUCAAAUCAGCAAAGAUGAAAAAAAGGAAAAUUAGAAACAUGGAAGAGAAAAAGGCAGCCAAGCCUAAUUAUUUUGGUCACACACCGAAAGCACUUUGUCAAAGCCAAUUUUAGGUAUUUCGGAUCAAUGAUUCAUUUCCUACUCAGAAGAUUCUCAACUUUUCUGCAAAACUCCAAUGAAAGACACGUAACGCCAUGUGGAAAGGUGGGUUUGACAAAGUCAGUAUCGAACAAAACCAAAGUAAUUCAAAUUGUUUGGGGCAUGCAAAGACGUGUUACCCACACUGUUGUUCUGUUAAGUUUUAGAAUAUUUGAUUUGAUUGUUAUACCAAUUUCAAUUCCAUUCUCGUGGAAAGAUUUAGUUGGAUUUAGGUUCAACUUCUCAACUCCCAAAAACCAAUUACAAAUUGUAUGAUUAAUUAUUUAUGAGUUUAAAUUUAAUUCAAUUUAUUUAUAUAAUUAUUUUUAAAAUAUAAUAUUCAAUAAAUUUAAAAUUCAAAAUUUAAAAAAAAAUUAUUUCAUUUUUAGAUUGUAAUUUUUUAAAAAAAUUAAAAAAAUUGGAUCAACAAUCUCAAACUCUCUCUCUCUCUCUUUCUCCCUCUCUUUAGUUUCCUUUCUAGUUUAAUUUUCAUUCUCUCUCAAUUAUUCUCCUCCAAAUACCAGAAUUCUAAGCCAAACGCGUUUAGAAUAUUAUAAAUAAAAUUGAAAGAUUCUUAUGUCAUAGACAAUGAUUAUAUUAAUCAAUAAAAUUAAUUAAUUAAGUUUGAAGGUACUGAUUAAGAUGGCUUUGAUUAUUAACUUUGUUUUGGUAUAACCUUUGAUUGUCAUGUCUAUAAUUAUUUAUUUGGUUGUCUUUCAUCACAUCAUUGAUUUGUUUGUUUUCAAUUUUACCAAAGUUGUUUCCACUUAUGGAUUUCAUCACUUAAGAAAACUUAAUCACAUGAAUGAAUAAUGAUCAAGUAGGUAGACAACCAAACUCAUAUUCAAGAUAUAUCAUUGUCUUUUUUCUUAUUGUUUGCCACCCCUUUUGGUUUCGAAUUCUUCCUCAGCCUUCCAUUUUUAUUAUUUGAUUGAACUAGAGAAAGUGGGAAAGUUCAGUUAAUAUCUGAAUAUUUUCAUGACAACCUAGUGUCCAAUUGAGAAAGAAAAAGUUUGAAAAAAUUGAAGACAACAAUGUAAAAAAUGUUAAUAUAUAAUAGAAUUUGAAUUUAAUAUAAUUCAAUUUAUUCAUAUAAUUAUUCUUAAGAAAUUAUGUCUAAUAAUUUUAAAUUUUAAAUUUUAAUACAUACAAAAUUUUUUAUUAUUUUUAAAUUACAAUUUCUUUUAUAUUAAAAAAUUAAUAAAAGUUAUUUUUUUUCUUUAACACUUGAAAUAACCUGAAUGGGGGAAUGGUCUGAAUCCCUAUAAUAUCAACUCCUCCAUGUGCAAUGACCUUUGUUUUGUUUAUAUAUGGCAGUUAAGAUAGUUGUGCUUCCACGCAAAUAUAUGGCUCAAUGGCCUCCAAUUUGUUGUGUGGACUUUUCGGCUUUGAAAACUUCGUAUUCAAAAACAAAUUAAUAAAUUUGAUUCACUUGUUGGUUUGUAUUCUUUUUUUCACAUUAAAAGCAUAUUACAUAUAAUUAUUAUAUUAUAAUUAAUCAAUUGAAAUUUAUAAUUGUUUAUUUUCAUGGAAUAAUUAUAAUAAAAAAUUUGCAACUGAAAUGCUCCACAUGGUGUGGAAGCCCACAGAUUCCGAAGCCAAGAGCCAACCGUUUUUAUUGAUUGAUUCCCGUUCCACUGGUCAAAAGUCAAGCUUUGUUUGAAGCAUACGAUUUCUUACCAGCUGGUUGGCUUGGAGUUGGAGAUACCAAAAUUUGUGCCACGUUGACAUUGGACUGCCUCACGCUUGAUUUGAAAUUAGAUUUGAAUGUUUGGCUUCAAAUUCAGAAUCAACAGAAUUUGGAAUGAGGGCAGGUAAGCAUUUGUUGUUUUUUAUUUUUAAUUAAAUAAUAUAAUUAAUAUAUAAUUUAUGAAUUUUAUUAUCGAAUGCUCUAAUAAUAUUUUUUUUAUAUAAAGAGAUAACAAUAUAGAGAUAGAUCAAAUUUUCAAAACCCAUAAUUUAUUUGUACGGAGUUAAUUGCAUUUACUGUAUUCAACAUUGUUUCAACAAUAUGCAAAAUUGAAGAAAUUAUCAUGUAAAACAAUAAGUUUAUUAAAAAUAAAGUUUUAAGUAUUUAUAGAAAAAGUUAAUUUGAUACAUUGAACCCUAAAUUGACAGUAUAAAAAAAGUAUUUAAUUAAUUGAAUAAUUUUUGAAAAAUAUUCAAAUAGUUGAAUUACAUUCAUUGUAUCUUUUAACUUCAAAAUUAAAGCUUUUAACCCAUCAAAGAAGCCAAAAAAAGAAAAGAAAAGGCACCAAGGGCAAUUCUUGCAACUAAACCACAAUGUAUGUUCAGGAAACUGCAACCCCAAGCCUGUUUCUGUUGCCAUUCAAUAAACAGAACCUGGAAGGCUUAGGCUGGAAAUUCCUUCUCCUUUGCAUGUCAUGGCUCGACGGCUUGAUGAUUUGAAGCAGAAACGUCUUGAUGGAAUUUGCUUUGGUAACCACAGAUAAUUCCGAGUGACUUUGUGAGACACGAACCACCCUUGUCCAACCGGGUGGCUUGUUGAAAUUCCUGUGCAUGCUGCACCUGAAGGAUCCUGGAUGUGUGGUAGGGGAACAUAGGCAUGUGGGGGUUUGUGACUUGGACUUUGAUGAUGCAUUUUUUGAGGCCAUGAGAAAUUGGGAUGGUUCAAAAAGGCUUUGAUCAAGCGGAAAGUGGGGGUCUAGAUGUCGAUAAUUUCUCUUGUUUGUGUGGCAAACUAAUGGCAAGUUGGCGAAAAUUGGGGUUUUAUUGCUUUGAAAAAACCUGUUUGAAUUACCUUGGUAACCUUUGCUUUCAUAGUUUUUAAUUAAUGGCAUGAUCUUAUAUAGUGUUUUGGGUAAUAAGAACAGUGACAAUUGGUUAAGUGCAAUACCAAGUCAGACCAUUUCGUUUUUCAUGUAAAUUUGGAGGAACAGACCAGUCGUUACAUCGACGAAUAAUUUAAUUUUCCUUUCAAUGUAUGGAACCAAUUGGAAAUAACCAAGUUCUAUUGGCUCUAUUUAAUGGUCACUGCUAGAUACAUGCAUGACAAUGAAGGAGAGACAUUUUUAUUCCAAUUUCCAACUAUUAAAAUGACAACUAAAAUUGGCAAAAAAAAGGUCCUAAAGCUAAAAUUGCUAUGGUGGUCCAGUGCCAUGGACAUUUGAGCUUGAACCCUAACAAAGGCCAGUUAUGGCUUCCUUUCUUACAGUUUCAUUCAUGCCCUUUCAAAUUGAUCAAUUCCAAUUUAAUAUUUCAUUUAUAUUUUUGAAGCCCAGAAAUGGCUUGAAAUCUUCAGAUAAAAUCAAACUAAAACCCUUGUAAAAGGCAUAUAGAAACCAAUACUCUAUGCAUAACCUCUACAAGAAAAAAGGGUUAUGGCCUCAUAGAUAGAGUGAAGGUCAAGGUUCUUACUCUUAUACAAGACACUGCUUUUAUAUUUUGAAAGAAUAUAAAACAUCUCAUUGAAUCGUUUUUUAUUGCUUAUCUGUCAUGCUCAAUAUCUAAUUUCAAAGAUGGAUUUAAAUUGUUAAUUUCAGAAAGAGUAUCAAAUUUGAGUUAAACUUGGAUUGUUUGCUUAUCUUUGAGGUCGGUUGUGUGGGGGCAAGAGACAUACAGCUUGUAUGAAAUUAGCAACCUAGCAAGAACAAACAGCAUAACAUGCAUCAUCGUCCCCUUUAUAAAACUUGACACGUUGUACAAUUGUCAUAUUCAAAUCCACAAAUGGAGAGACCCUGAUCACACUGAUAAAGACCUGUUACCAAUUUUCCAGACAAUUUUGAUUUUGGUACAAUUUUACAAAGGAAUAUGUUGAAUGUCACAAAAACACUUUCAUGGGAUGGAGGGAUGAUUUCAGAAGAUUUGGUGAUAUGGGUUUAAUUUAUGAUGUCUUCUGCCAUUGAUAAAACAACCUACAUGCAUAUUAAAAAAAACCCAUAUCAGAACACCAGAAUCCUUGACAAUCCCAAACCCAUAAGGAGAGGAAGAAAAGUCUGAAUUCUGCUCUUUCUUCUUCUUCUUCUUCUUCCUCUUCUUCUUUUUUAUUUUGUUUAAGUAUGCAUUGUGCUUGUUUAUGAUCAUCAUGAUCCAAAACUCAAAGAGUUACAUGGUUGGGUUAUUAUGUGAGAAAAGUUAAAACCAAAAGAGAUGCGAGUCAAAUUUAUCAAUAAAAUUUAUUAAUUUUGAAACACAAUUAUUUUUAUAUUUUUUAGAAAUAAUAUUAGGAAAAAAAAUUGUCACCUCCUAUAAUAUUUUCCUCAUGGAUUAGCUUGUAAAAGAACCAACUUUUAUUUUCACAGAAAGAGUUGCAUGGUGGGUUGUGUGUAUAGAAAGUGAUAUGGCAGUUGAUCAAACUCUCUUACUGAUGUUGAUUGAAGGCAAGCAUACAAUCUAUCUGUAGUCCAUUAGAUAAGUAUAUCAUAAAGUUACCUGCCGAAUGCCACUUUUUUUUUUUUUGACAGGAUCUAACUUAGUUUUACCCCCUAAUUAAUUUCACCUUAUAAACUUGCUUAUUUAGGUCAACCUAUGGAAAUCUAGGUGUAGCUAAUUUAAUUAAUUUUUUUAUACAAAAAUAAUUGCGAGAAAGGGAUUGUAAUGAAUACAUGAAAUGGUCAAAUGGUGAUGUUUCUUGUUGUGUUGUCAUUAGUUGAAAUAUGAUAAUAACUUUUGUAUUAGGAAAUCUUUCACAUAUUUAUAUACAAAAUCAACUUGCAACGAGAGUUACAAGCAUAUUCUUGAAUUGAAAUGUUACAAGCAAGUUUUCCUCUCCAACCAACAUGAAUCCGACAGUGGCAGAUGCUACGGGGCAAGAUGCUCCUCCUAGGCACCUGAAAAAUGGGAGAAACUCUUAAAGCCGAAAGAUGAAGUCCCAUCACUCUUUCAGAUAAGAUAGCCUGUGUUUUUGCACCAUAGGAAUUAACUAAACUCUGGGUCUCUUUGGGCCUUAACACUGAGCCUAGCCACUCAGUUCAAAGCAACCGCAAUCCUUAUUGCUUAACAGCUGAAGAGCUAAGUUCCAUUCAAUUUGAUGUUUUGGUUAUUUAUUUUUUUGAAAAAAAAUGAACAAAAAUAUCAAGCAAAAGAACCUAAAUUAAAAUUUUCAUGCAUGCCAUGAACCAGUGGUUUAUAGCCCGUCGGUGAAGCUUGACAUUAACAAAACAAAAGAAUUUUCUGUUCUUCAUGAGAGAGAUGCAAUACACUUGGAGAAAAUGGUCAAGGUUCAUGGAAAAGAAAGUCAUUCCUUGUGCAUUGCUAUAGACUGCAUUGCACAAAGAUUCAAGCCUAGGGAUAACAAACAUAAUGUACAAAAUUUAGCUAUGUUACUCAAAAUAUACAAGCAAAUUAACAACCUGCUAAUUGGACUUGGUGUCCUAUCCACCCUUGUAUAGGCCUUCUAAUCUAGCAUCGUACCGUUUAGUAUAAACACGGUGCCUUCUCUCUCUUGCAUAGAUUACCCAGAAGAUCAAUGACAGCAUCACAGCAGCAGAUACAAUUACUAAUCCAAUGUAGAUCCAUUGACUAUAGCGCCACAGACCAGGACAAUAAUCAUGACUGAUAUCUGUGAAUGUAUCACGCACAAAAGUGCAGUCUUGCAAAUUAACCAGGAAUGGACCAUAGCGAUACAAACCAUAACUGACAUUCACUGCAGCUGACAUCUGAGUGUAAAAUUGAGGGGUCAGCCGUCCACGCUUUGAACAAAUCCCAGAGGAUGAAACCUGACAGGUAUAGUUCUUCCAAACCUGUUUGAAACAGAUAUAGGCGGUCAUUUAACUUUAGUUAUAUACAUUAAGAAGAAAACUGAAAACGUUAUAGUGAAAAGUUUUUGGAUAGGCAGAAGCAUGGAGACAGGCUGAGAAACUAAAACAAUAGAUAGAUUCUAAAACCUUUUAAGUCUUUUUACCCACACAUAAGGUUAUUACUGCUCCAAACAAAGCCAGAAGUCACAGCUAAACACCUUAAAUGACAGAGCUUGCAGUAUACAACAUUUUAUAAAUAAUUCUGCAACCUGCGUAGAUGAGCCUUGAACUGGAGUAAUAUAAUUGAAUGAGAAGGAAUUCUAGAAAGUAUCAAACAGCUAAAAAAGGAUCACAUGCAUCAACUUGUAAAAGAUGCAAUUAGGACAGUAACUAGCCUUAGUAAGUCUGUCAGCAUAAAGAUUGGCCUUGGUGUUUGGAACUUUUUAAUUAACUUAAUCACUGCAGUCUUUGGGAUGAAUUUUUAAGUCCUCUGAAUGACCUAAAAGUUAUUGUUUGAAACUAGGCUGAGAAUUAAGGGAAUUGAACCCAGGAGAGAGUAACUUGGCAGGCUGAGGCUUGAAAUAAUUGAGACUAAAUCCAUUUAUUUAAGCUUUUGGUUCCAACAUGUGCACUACAUAAUUGUGCGCAUUGCAUCUGAUGCAUGCAUACUUAUGUAUGGCAAAGCAAUUUCAACUUAUAUUUGGAAAGGCUAUUUAUUACCUCUGAGGAAUCGUACAAGCUAACUUCACCAGAUGCACAUUGCCGAUCUGUGAGGUCAGAAUGAAAUGGGUUGCAGAGAACUGGGACCCGUGGACCAGAUUGAUUGUAAUAUAAAGGUGCCGAUGAUGGAGGGAAAUUUUGGUUGACAACAUUAUUGAUGACGCCAUUCACCACAUUCACAAGUUGGUAACUGACAUUCUUGGUUCUUAAUAAAGUCUCCUGGGCUGUUGCAUUGUCCACACAUGGAAGAAUGUCAUCUAAUGCCGUAUGGGCAGUGGGAUUCUGGACCCAUUCAUCCAUGGCAACACACGCAUCUCCUACGACACUGUGAAGCAUAGGAGACAAUUUUAAGUUAGAGAGUCUAUCAUAUUAAAGAAAUGUAUAAGAACAGUCUUUUUUUUUUCUUUUGGCCAAGUAUAACAACAGUCUUGUGCACAUACAAUAACCUAGAAAUUAAAUCUUAAGCUAUAUCACACUUAACAUGUUCACAAAUCAGAUUAUGUCAGAAACUUGCAAAUGUGAGGAACAUAACAAAGAUAUGUACCUGCAAUCAGGUGCGAAUGAGCAAAUGAGGGAGUAGAGGAAACAUAUCAAGAAAAUGACAUUUGUUUUUAGAGAAGUGAUAUUGAAUGAUUGGUGCAUUAGAUUCCCACAAUUCAUUAUUGAUUACAUGUAUAUUAAUAAGUUGACAACAGGAAAACCUUUUAGUCUCAGAAAGAGGAAAAACAAAGACAGACAACAGAAGAACUUUAGAUAUCAAGAAAGAAAUCUAAAAUUUACCAAGAGCAAAUAAUCAAGUAAAAGGGAUGGGAUUUGGAAAGAAAGUCAUAGCAUAAGUAGCAUAGAAAGGAAAUUUGAUCCUAAAAAUUUAAGUCUAAAAAUUGGGUGUGGCAUAGACUCGUGUGGGCAAACCUUUAUCAACUUCUACAUUCCAUUUUAUCCUCACCAGAAACCAAAACAUUCCAUAUAGCAUUAAAAAGAAUGCAGGAAAGAUUUUCUCUAGUCAGCAAGGUUGUGGAAUUUCCAUCGGUGUAUAACUAAGUAGAUAUACCACUCAGGUGUUAUACGAGAUUAAAGAGAGGCCCAAUUUAUAUUUGGUCAUAACUCACAACCAAGAUAAUGCUCCAUUAAAUACUUAGUGUUGAAAGGUAAAAACUAAAAAUAUAUGAGUUCUUCUGAGAGAAAGGAGGGAAAUUGAGCAGAGCAUACUUGUGGAGGAGAUGAAAUACUCCACACAAAAUAAAUGUGCCAGCAACAAGAAUCCACCCAAGGAUCACCAACCUGCAUUCAUUAAUUAUAGAAGUGUUUGAUAAGGGAAGUGCAUUUAAGUAAUAUAGGUUCCCUUACUAUUUAUUAUGAAGCAUACAACUGAAAAUACAUUAAUGAUACUUCACUUACGUGUACACCAGACACUGCAAUCCAAGAAUGGAGAAUACUGCAGCCACUCAUCACAAUAAUAGCAUAACGUUUAGAUGAUAUUGUAAUAAUCUAAUCACUAAGAAUCUCGGUGCGAUGAGCGAACAACAAUGUAACUUACAGAAUCCAAGAAAUGCCAAAAAGAGCAUCAAAGCAGCAACAAUGAUAAGAGCCAAUCUCCUGCAGCAUUUAGCCUGAGAUCAGUUUGAUGAUCGGCACUCAAAGAUUAUUAUAAUUUCAAGAUUAUAAAAACUUCAACCUACAUGCCGUCCAAGCCAUGUUGAAUUUUAUCUUUAUUAUUGCCUGUUUGAGUAGAAAGAGUCGAAGCAGAAGAGUUGAUCUUCUUUACAACAUCAUCGAUGCUUUUUUGGACAUCUGGGGACAGAAAAACUGAAUUCACGGUAAUUUUCUUAGCUGCAGAAAGAUAAUCUGACACAUUCCUGAGGUUUUCAGCAGUAGCAUCUGCCUUAUUAACAGCAUAAUCCAGUGUGUUUAUUGUACUGCCAUGAAAUUUUCCCUGACCAGUGUACAGCACAACACACCCGCCACUGUAAUAUGAAGUUAGAUACUGAGUGAAUAAUCAUAUGGUUACAUAAAACAUAAAUAUCUUGAAAAUUUUAAAAGAGAGAGGGAGUAGAGUUACAUUGCAGCAAUGGUGAAGAGCAUAAGGAGAAUAAGAGAUAGUGCAUAAGCUGUCCUAGAGUAGCCAUAAGAAUCUAGUUGACAACAACAAUGACGGAUACAUAUGAUGAACAAGCAUAGUGCAAAUAUCACAAACCAGACUGCAGCAAUGACAAAGAAAGGAGCCGCCGUAAAACCCACAGACUGCAUUAUAAGCCAUAGAAAAAUGAUAUUAAAUACAAAAAAAAAAGAAGAAAGAAUAUACUUUACCAGUUAGACAGAUGAAAAGUUGAAAAAGAAUAUGAGAUACUAAGGAGAGUUUUAAGUUU
This 111915-nucleotide long non-coding RNA is filed under the name Durio zibethinus. RNAcentral describes it as "long non-coding RNA (DZIB_LNC000467)". The record is from RNAcentral. Lineage: Eukaryota; Viridiplantae; Streptophyta; Magnoliopsida; Malvales; Malvaceae.